RNAcentral lists this long non-coding RNA (90681 nucleotides) under Vigna radiata. RNAcentral describes it as "long non-coding RNA (VRAD_LNC010804)". Lineage: Eukaryota; Viridiplantae; Streptophyta; Magnoliopsida; Fabales; Fabaceae. The record is from RNAcentral.
UACUGUGGGUCCUGGUGUUUGCAUUUGAAGCCACUCUUGCUCUUAUUCUUUUUAUAGGUUUAAUUAAUACAAUUUAGACUUUGUACUGCCCUCUUAUAGUAAGUUUUGCUUUUAUAACUAUAUCUUAUUUUAAAUAUGAUGAUGGGAAAAUGGAAACAAAUUUGACUUAAAAUCUCAAACUGUAGACCGUGUCACCGAUGUAACAGCUAAAAUGACAUUAUAUGUUUAUUAAAUUCAAAUGGCAAAAAAAAAACUGUUCUUUGAUCAAGUGAUACCAAAGACCAAAGCUGUGUUUGUAAAUGAUAGAAGGAACUAAACUAAUAGAAGAACAGGAAUGGCUAAUAAGAUAACUAGAGUGUAAAAGAGAAAGGAAAAACUUGAAUUUGAAAAAUCUCUACAUUAUUUGGGACAACUUCAACUGUCAUCAAAUUCUUAUAUAUAAAAUUUGUCAACUAGAACAAUACAAGGUAUCAAUUAAAUCCCAUAGCAAUUUCAUUUGGAUUAAUAAUACUCGAGUCUUCAACCAAUAAGUCAACUGGGGGACGGGGGAUUUUGCAGUUAAAAUGGAAAUGAGUGUUUGGAUUACCAUAUCAGGGUUCCAAUCAUUCAUUUCCACUAUCCAAUGUACAAAAUAGAGAAGUUAACACUGCUGGAUUGAAAGAAAAAACACCGGUUACGAUCAGGUGAACUGUAACACUAUAAUAGUCACCUUAUUUUCAACUUACCCAAAAUACUCCUAUACCAAGUAAUAAUAACCUUUCCUUGCUUUUAAUAACUCUUCACCAUCAUUCCUAGACUGUCUUUGAUAUCAUUUGAAAAAGGUUGCCUAUAUCCCUCCUUUUAAUAACGUACUUUCUACUUCUAUUCAGAACGUGUAAUUGACACUUCCCAUUGAUCUUAUUACACAAAAAAAACCUUUGCAGUUUUAAUCAACCACCCACCUAUCUACACAGCUCGUCACAGUGGACGAAAGCUAAGCUGAAUUGCUCUGCUUAUGACAGAAUUUAUUUUAUUGCCUACUAAAGAACACGAAAGAAUGAGAUGGUAAUUGGAAUUUAUCGCACAAAUAAAAGAUGUUUACCAAGUCUGAGCAACUGAGAGGAGAAAACCUACAUAUUCGUUAACUCCUUCUGCAGUACGCUGCCAUCGAGUGUAAGAACCUGAUCUGCACUCGGAUAAAAGCUUCUUUGAGCUAGGGUAAGUCCAGACGAAAGACCAGCUACUGCAAAAGGAUAAGACAACUUACAAGACUAACGUAUGAAGGCCUUAGUAAAACUGUAGAAAUAAAAAUACAAUAAGUGGUUUCUCUUACCAGAUGAAACGUAGACUCGAAAUGGUAUACCGAAAUUCAUAGUUACUGCAAUAAAGGUAUAAUGCUUAUGGUCAUACUAACCCAAUGAGAGUCUGCUCUGUCAGUAUAAUUAAAAUAUGAAGGACUCUUUCUGGUUAUGCAGCUCUAAAACAAGAAGACAAUGACUGCCUCCCCCAUGGAGGGGAGGCCUUAGUAAAACUGUAGAAAUAAAGAUACAACGAGUAGUUUCUCUUACUGCCUGGAAGGUUGACUUGAAAUAUUUUUGCUUUACUGAUAUUCCGAGUUGCUGCAAUAAAGCAAUAAUGCUCAUGGUCAUAAAUCUGCUGAGACUAUGGUAAAAUAAUAAAAAUAUAUAGGAAUCUUCCUGGUUAGAAUAAGAAGUAAGACACUGACCCCCUCUCACUCCAUCAGGAUGUUAACGUGAUAGCUAAAAGAGAAAGAACAACGCUUUUUGUAUUUAUUUCUUAGCUUCGUUAUUCUUACAAUCACUACCACUGCUUGGAUUAGUCACCAGUCCGAUUACUUUCAACACAUUAAACAUACGAUGACCCAAAGCCAAAAAUUUCAUAUAUUAAAGCAAUAUUCACUAAAUCAUUAUAAAUUAGCACCACAAUAAUUAAGAUACUAAAAUCACAAACCAAUACACGCAGCUGUACACCCAGCAAGUGUAUAAACAAUAAAAUCCUUCACAGAUUCCCUGUCGAGCGAGUUAAGAAUAUUAUUUUCCGCAGGUGUCAAAUUUUCCUACAAAAGAAAAAGACAGAUAUUUAGUGAUAAAGCCUACAGCACGGCGUCUGUCAAGUCCAUCAUCAACGAACUUUCACAAUGUGUGCACGAAAACCUUUUCAAUGAAAUUUGAAGCUACAGAAUCAUGUUCUUUUAUGAUGAUCACCAAUUAAAAGAAGCUGAUUUUAACUAAAUUUGUUCCAAACGUAAAAGCAUUUAUCUGGAAGUCCAAAUUGCAAACACCAAUUAAAAUUAAGUGACAAAAACAUUGAAUCUGUGCUCUCAGACGCCAGAAUGAAGAAAUGGCAGUGAAAAGUAGAGUGUAACAGUAAAACUCGGAAUUAACCUGAUCCGAGAUAUGCAUUGACUAUGAUUUGUUAAAAAUGAAUUGAAGGAGAAAGGAAUUUGACAUUGAAACAAAAUAGGGAGGGAAAUUAAAAGCCCUAGCUGUAGAGAAACAAGGAGAAAGGAAGGGAAGAACCUUCUCGAACUCGAGAACUCUUUUAAGAUCGAGCAUUGCGUUAAUCAAACUCAUUACGUCACCUUCUCUUCUUGUUUCCUCUCUGUAUCAGUUUCCCAGUAUUAGUUUCUCCUUCUUAUGAGGAAAAACAGAGUUUAUCAAAGUAUUGCAAGAUCUCCCAAAUGCCUGGGAGUCAUAUUGAUUAGGAUUUGAGUUUGGAAUUUCAGGUAUAGAAUUUUAUUUUAUUUUUUUCAAAAGAUAUUCUUUAUUAUAAUAAAUAUUUUAUAACAUGUAACUUGUAGAAUAAUUAGUAUUCAUAAUUCUUUUUAAAGCAUGUAAUUAUCUAUAUAUGAUGAAUAAUUGAAUUUAUAAUAUAAAAGUGUAUGAAUUAUUGACAAUUUAGUUUAGAAAUUCUGAUAAACAGUGAAGAAGCAUGGCCAUGAGCAUUGGCGUGAGCAUGAGCACGAGCAUUUGCAGCACGAGGAUGAUUGGUAUAGAGAAGGGAGUGUUGGAAUCAUGCAAGACGUUAAGACAAGUGAAGCAAGUGCAUGCUCAGAUCCUCCGUUCAAAGGUGGACCACUCUAAUUCUCUGCUUCUCGAACUCCUUCUUUGUUGUAGCACCCUUCCUUCUUCUUCUUCUUCUUCUCCUUCAGCCCUUCACUAUGCGCUCUCUCUUUUCACCCAAAUUCCAAAUCCGCACACCCGUUUCUCCAACCAACUCUUCCGUCAAUUUUCUCGUGGCCCCACACCGGAGGGCACCCUUCUCCUCUAUGGCCUCCUCCGGAGAAAGGGUACCCUUCUUGACAGGUUCAGCUUCCCCCCUCUGUUGAAGGCCGUUUCCAAACUUUCUGCCUUGAAUAUGGGCUUGGAGGUUCACGGCCUCGUUUCUAAGUUGGGCUUCCAUGAUGACCCUUUUAUUCAAACCGCCUUGAUUGCCAUGUACGCGGCAUGUGGACGUAUUAUAGAUGCCCGUUUGGUGUUUGACAAAAUGUCUCAUAGGGAUGUCGUUACCUGGAAUAUUAUGAUUGAUGGGUACUCCCAGAGUGGUCAUUAUGACCAUGUUUUAAGGCUCUACGAAGAAAUGAAGAUUUCUGGUAUGGAGCUUGAUUCUAUUAUCCUUUGUACCGUGCUUUCUGCUUGUGGUCAUGCGGGAAAUUUAAGCUAUGGCAAAGCAAUUCAUGAGUUCAUUAAGGAUAAUGGUUUUCGUGUUGACUCACAUCUACAGACUGCUCUUGUUAAUAUGUAUGCGAGUUGUGGUGCUAUGUAUCUGGCUAGGGAAGUCUAUGAUCAACUUCCCUCAAAACAUUUGGUUGUUUCUACUGCUAUGCUUUCGGGGUAUGCGAAGAUUGGAUUGGUGAAAGAUGCGCGCGUCAUAUUUGACCAAAUAGUUGACAAGGACUUGGUGUGUUGGAGUGCCAUGAUAUCUGGUUAUGCUGAAAGUGAUCAGCCUCAGGAGGCUCUUGAAUUGUUUGAUGAGAUGCAGCGACAGAGAAUAGUGCCUGAUCAGAUCACGAUGCUCAGUGUCAUUUCUGCUUGUGCUCAUGUUGGUGCGCUUGUUAAAGCCAGAUGGGUGCAUUCAUACGCAGAUAAAAAUGGUUUUGGAAGGGCUCUUCCCAUCAACAAUGCCCUGAUUGAUAUGUAUGCUAAAUGUGGCAACUUGGUCAGAGCAAGAGAGGUAUUUGAGAAUAUGCCAAGAAAAAAUGUGAUAUCUUGGUCCAGCAUGAUCAAUGCUUUCGCCAUUCAUGGGGAUGCUGAUAGUGCCAUAGCUCUUUUCCAUAGGAUGAAAGUACAAAAUAUUGAGCCCAAUGCGGUUACGUUUAUAGGUAUACUUUAUGCAUGCAGUCAUGCAGGCUUGGUUGAGGAGGGCGAGAAAUUCUUUUCCUCCAUGAUCAAUGACCACAACAUUUCUCCCCAACGUGAACAUUAUGGUUGCAUGGUGGACCUAUAUUGCAGAGCCAAACUCUUGAGAAAAGCAUUGGAGCUUAUUGAGACUAUGCCUUUUCCGCCAAAUGUUAUCAUCUGGGGAUCCCUAAUGUCUGCUUGUCAAAAUCACGGUGAGCUUGAAUUAGGGGAAUUUGCUGCAAAACGACUACUUGAGUUAGAGCCUGAUCAUGAUGGGGCCCUUGUAGUUUUGUCAAAUAUUUAUGCCCAAGAAAAAAGGUGGGAUAAUGUCGGACUGGUCAGGAAAUUAAUGAGUCAUAAAGGUAUCUCAAAGGAGAAGGCAUGCAGUAGGAUUGAACUAAAUAACGAGGUGCAUGUGUUUAUGAUGGCAGAUAGAUAUCAUAAGCAAUCAAAUGAAAUAUAUAAAAAGUUAGAUGAGAUAGUGAGUCAACUGAAGCUAGUUGGUUACACACCAAGCUCUUCGGGAAUUUUGGUUGAUUUGGAAGAGGAAGAAAAAAAAGAAAUAGUUCUCUGGCAUAGCGAAAAAUUAGCACUGUGCUACGGGCUAAUUAGUGAGAGAAAAGAAUCAUCAUGCAUUCGUAUAAUUAAAAAUCUUAGAAUUUGUGAGGAUUGUCAUUCCUUUAUGAAACUGGUCUCAAAGGAGUACCGAAUAGAGAUUGUUAUGAGAGACAGGACUAGAUUUCACCAUUUUAACGGUGGAAUUUGUUCUUGUAGAGACUAUUGGUGAAUUAUUCCAAUCUGUAAAUUGAAUUAAACUGGCAUAUCCUCAUUUUGGGCCUGCCCUGUAUAUGCCAGGGCAUGUACUUCAGCUUGGUGAGGGUUAUCUAUUAUAAACUUGAUCAUCAUUUCUAAUUUUGUUUAAAAUUACCAUAAAUUCAUUUUCUUUUGGUUGAAUACCGCUCAUUUGGCAGUAAAUAAUUGAAAAUUUUGACCACGUUACUUUACAGAUACCAUAUCUAUAGUAAUGUUAGACUGACAUCAAACUCGAUCCAACUUGGCACAGGCAUAACAAGCUUACUUUCCAAAUAUGCUUUGUAUGGGAUAAAAGGCGCUUCUAAACCUUCAUUAAGCGGCUAGAAUCUUCUUCCCUCAAGGAUCUACAAAAUUUCCUUUACCAAACCCAUUUCAUAUUGUAAAUCUAAACAAGUUAGUAUUUGACUCCGGCGGAUUUUUUUUUUCUAUUAUUUAUGAACCUUUUUUUCUUAAAAGAAAAAUGUUUAAAAAAUCAAUCGUGACUCUAAAGAAUAGGAGAAAUUGUCAAUCCUGAUUAAUACUACAUAAAUGAAUAGAGGAGAUGUGUAUGUUCUAAAGGAGUUUCCAAUAGUAGCAGUAAGGAUCAAUCGUGUUCCAUUAAUUUAUCAUAAAUACAUAAAUAAUUGCUUUGACGAUCAGGUCUCAGUAGUUUAUGACUUAAUGGUUACGGAAAAUCAUUGCACUUGAAGAAUUGGAAUCCAUGCGUGGUUGCCUAGUGGCGGCUACCAUUCAUCACGACACCACCAACUCCAAAAUGGCAUAGUAGCCUAAUCAUGAUAUUAUGAUUCACACAAGCGUUAAAUCUAAUUAAGUACCUUAAUUAUCACAUUUCAUAAUCCAUCUUUAGCUGCAACAAAUGGAUUUAGUCCUUCGCCAUUUGAUUUGUGUUGCUUUAAUGGACCUUUAUGGAGAUUCUAUGCCUCAACCUCAAGAAAACUAUCGUCAGCCACAUAACAUAACGUAGUAAGAUAAAAGGAAAAUCGCAUACUAUCAUUACAUAAGACAAGUUGAUGAUGACAUUCUCCAUUAUAGCCACAGGGCAGUGAAAAAAAAAAUCAUUUUUUGUGCUUGAAAGUCGAGGGUUACAGAGCGAGAAGUUGACCAUAGGAGCUUCUUUAAUAACAUAUCCCAGAUAAGUUUAUGGACAAGAAAUGAUUGCUGAUAAAAUAAAUAGACAACAAAUGAUAGCGUCAAACCUCUGAACAAUUUGUUUUUCAAUUUAAUAUUAUCGUAUAUAAUCUCGUACCAGUCGCACUAAUAGAUUGGUCCCAUAUUAUUUAGUAAAACUGAGAUGAAAAGGAGUGCUCAAAAACAGCACGUUGAGCCUAACAUCAAAUGCCACUUGACUUGUAAAGUACGUUAGAUUCUUUGACAUCUUUUGGAAAGAAAGAAAGAAUGGAUGUCAAAUUCUGUUUCCAUGCGAAUCAUUUCCAGGUGACUAUUGCAGAAGGAAGUUGAAGAUAACCCACAUGUUUACAACGUUCUUAAUUAACAGAGGGAUUAAUCUUUUAAUCAGAAGCAUUAAGAUAUUUACAUAAUCUUUUUCCAUCUUAAGCAGAAAACGUUUGUGCGGUAUGAUCUAGAGGAACUUUUGGAAGAGAAUGGUUUCUCUGCCGAUCAGUCACGUGUAGAAUAAAGUCGGGAUUAAACAGUUUAUCAUGGAAAUUAGAUGUCUGCUGCCAAGAAAGGAAAACAGAGAAAAAAGAAGGAAAGAGAAGAAAAAGACGGAUGAAGCGAAAAAGCACUCUCUGUACAACAAGACAAAAUGAGAAGCAUAGCCACAAAAAGCUAAGUAUAAACUUUAUUUGAACGAAAGGAAAGAUAGUUAUAUGAUAUUCCCUGUUCCCAACUUGCAGGUUCCUCUGUUUUCAUCAGUGCAAUGUGAAAGUGGAGGAAUUGGUGACUUGAGAAGUGGUGUUUGACCUGCCACUGUACUUGUUUGACGGUGAAGUCAAAUCGCUUGACCUUCUUCUCAGCAUCUGCCUCAUCCCAUCAGCCACUCUAACCGCAGGAUUCGAUUUGAUCUUCCCACAGAAUGACAUGUGAGCUUUCACAGCUUCAUCCAUGGCAAAAGGCAUUUUCCCUCUGUUAAUCUCGUCUCUCACUGCUUCUGAGCACAACCCACAUAACCAUUUCCCGUCAAACUUGGCCUUCACAUCGCGGAUAUAUUCUUGGGUGCAAUCCUCUUUGAGGCCACAGCACUCACACUUGACGGAUUCCACUUCCAUAUCUAGCUGUAAAGACAAGUUCUUUCUGAACUCUUAUCUUCCUUUUAAGGAGGAGAAUGAGAAUCUUCGGAUAAUGGCAGCCACGGGUGGUUCUUUUUUUUUUUGUUUUGGUUGGAUUCGAGCGCAAUGAUGACAGAAACAGUCUUGGUUAUUUACUUUAUGUUGAAAGUUGUGCGCUUUCUGAGUUGGGAUUGAUGGUUUUUUUGCUUCAAGAACUAGUAAGAGUGUGUUGUUCAACUAGAGCUUUUAUGGUGUUUGAGAUGAAAGAGAGAAUGGGAAUUUAAGUAGGGAAGACUGCCAUAAUUUCCUCCAUGUUCUAAGGGACAUGGCGGAUGUGGAAAAUAAAAAGGGAGUGGUCGGAGGGGCCUUGCUUUUGACCCCACUUUGCAUUUAAUAACAAUUAAUAAUGUCACACAUCAUCAUCUAAUCAAACAAAUGAAUUACCUUAACUAAAUACUGCAACUAUCUGAUAUCUGUCUUAUUCCUUGUUAAUAACUCAUCUCCAAGUUUCAGAAAUCAGAAAUUGAGAUAAUCAAGGGUCAAAAUUACAUGAAGGUGGGGCAAUGUGCGGAUGGAUUCUUUUAUAGCAUGUUUAUUUAUGUUGUUUUGUGGUCGCUUUUGGUAGUUUGUCCAGUAGUUCUUCUGAUGUUACGUGAAUUUCAUUCUCACAACUUUAUGAUUAUCAGUUUGAGGGAUUCAUUUUUUGCUGUUCACAAUUCUACUUUAUUGAACUGACACUGAGGCACCUGCUUAAUUAUGGAUAUGAGUUGUCUGAGUGACUCCUUCUUCUUUUCUGUUGACCUUUGCUUUCGGUUUAAAAGAUAAGUGCCUUGUAUUUAGCUUCAUGAUUGUCUAAUCCUUUUUCCUCUCUCGUGUAUGAACCUACUAUAUACGACACCUAUAUUAUACGAUAAUGUAGUCAUUUAUUAAGACUCAGUAUUUCUCUGUUUCAUGCUGGUUCUUUUUUUUUUUCUAAGACUCUCUGCAUCAUAGUUUUUCUCCCCACCAUUAUUGAGAAAUAAAGGAGAAAACUGAGAAACUCCCAAGCACAUGGGGCAAUAGGUAGUCUUGUUCAUCUGGUUAGCUUAAUGAAUUCUAUGAAUUUGGAGUGCUAACUCGUUAUUUUCCUAAGGUAUUUAGUGAGGUAAGACAGUCACAAUCACUGUUAAGAAAUAUCUUCUAGCUUUGUUGACAAGAUGACAUUAAAUGAUAUCACUCUUUACCUAAAAUCUUAAGAUAAUAGGUUAAUAGAUCUCAAUCUUACAUAGUGUUUUAAUUUCUCAUCACUUGAAUUCUCAAUAAUUUCUUUUUAAGGGUGAGUCUCUUUCACAUUGUUACAUUCUAUCUUCAGUGAAAGCAUUUUAAAAUGAAACAUCGGCUCUCUUAAUACUGUUAGAUCUAUAAAAGAGGAGGUUCACUAGAAAGAUCCAAACACUAAUGAGAUCUAAGUAACACCACUUUCUAUCAAAAAUCUUAAGAGAAUGAGUUAAUGAAUCUCAAUUUUAUAUGAUGUUUUACUUUUUCAUUUUUAUCGACUACCAGACUUAAACUCAUCUUAGAUUCCCAUCAGCUUUUUGUAUUAGAAUUUUCGUUACUGAGCUAUGAAGAAUGGACUGGUUGAUUUAGCUUAUGAAAACGGAUUUACAUCUGAGAUAUCACUUCUGAAUGCACCAAACUUGAAAGUUAACAUGGCAUACCUUUUGUUUUCUCUUAUUUUCAACAACUUUAUGUCAUACUAAGCAUUAUUGUUAUUCACUAAAUCGCUAUAAAAGAAAAUUCAAUUGCCAAAUGAAUGUGACAGAACAAUGAAUUGACAACUUGACUACAGAAUGCCGAAAUCUCUACAUGCAAGUUGCAAUAAUAGAACAAAUAUUGUGGAUUGUUUUUAUCUUUUGGCAAAAACAAUUAUGUCUUUUCUAAUUUUAUUUAUUUAUUCUCUUUCAUGUACAGCGAAGAAACAAGAUCUCUUUAUGUGAUUCUAGUCAAAAUGGUAUGUGCAAUGCUGCUUAGCCAGUUAGCCUGCACAUGGCAAACGUACCCUUUGCUUGGUUGUCUUGGCAAAUCAAGUUUGCAGUGUUAAAAUGAAGGAAUUUAAGCAAAUGCAAAAGGUUUAACUUGAAAAUAAUUUUGAAAAUGAAGAUAGAAAAUCGAGGACCCCACUUGCAGUGUUGGCCAUUUCUCCAAUCUGUGAUUAGUUCACUGUCAUGGGUCUCCUUUUAUGUGACGCGACACUGAGUGUAUCCUAACAUCAUUAAAUUGAAGUUAAUGAAUUAUCAGAGGAUUGUGUCAUAGUGGUAGAAUUUCCUGGUGGCCUAGGGCAGGUUGCUAUCUUCUUCUUGAAGGUUGCUUUCAGCAACAUUGUUAAGUUGGGUCUAAUGUUGUUGAUUCAUUUUCACAACCAAAUACAUAGACACACGAGUAUUCUGGAAUUCUGAUGUGUGUAAGAUCGUAAUUGGUCUUACGUUGCCCACCAACUGAAACCUUCACGAAUUGUUUUUAUGAGAAAAGAGAAGCUAUUCAAAGUCGAGUUGGUGCAUGUUGAAAGACAUGAACAUAUAUGAAAGGAAACAUGAGCAUGUGCAACUUUGAAUCCACCCCCUUCACACUUACCCAACUUUUGGUUACAUUCUCAUUCAAAUAUCAACUUAUUGCCUCUUUCUUUCUUUAAAUACCACACUCAACCAAUUUCUUCUUAAUUACUUCUCACUUUUAGUAGAGAUAUGAAAACGGGUAAUCCAGAUCCGGUCUAUUACGAGUUAACCACUUAGUGAAUUAAUUUAAUCUGGUUCAUUUAUUAACGAAUUAAAAAAGUUUGAAUCCUACUUAACCCACUAAAAAUCGAUGGAUAAACGGAUCGGUUCAUUGGUUCACUUAAUUAUAACUUUUUUAUAAUAAAAAAUUAUAAACUUUCUAUAAUUCAAAUCUAAAAUAAUUUCACUCCCAACAUGUGUGUUUAAUUAAUUUGAAAAUAAAAAAUUUAAAUAAUUUUUUUAAGCAAAAAUAAUAAUAAAUAUCUUUUUACAAACUCAGUCUACCACAAGUUCAACCCACAUGAAUCGGAUUUAAAUGAAUUGGAUUGAAAUUUGACUCACAUAAAAAAAAAAAUACAAUUUUUUCGAAUUUAACUCGAUCUAAAACUGUGAUAGGCCAAGUUAACCCGCGGAUUAGAAUCCAUUUUAGUAUGAAUAAUAAUAAUAAUAAUAGUAAUAAUAGUAAUAAUAAUUUUAUUCUAUUUAUCUUAAAAAAUAACACACAGCACAUGGUUAUUUAUAAUAACAGUUUCAUUUAAAGUCUUUAUUAUUUGUGUGUUGUUUAUCAGCUCUGAUUUUAAGACACAUCAGAAAAAUAAUAUUAAAAAAAUAGUAUCCUCACUCCAAACAUCUAACGUUUCCUACAAAAUAUAACUAUUUUAACUAAGAAUGAGUAUUAAUAUCAUAUAUAAUAUAAUAUAAUAUAACUUUUCUUAAACACAAAAAGAGAAAGGAUGAGUAGUUAUCCUAUAACUAUACCUACCUUGUUACUUGUAUCAUAUAUAAUUAUUGUAAUAAAAUUAUUCAAGUAAUCUUAUAAUUCUUAUUUUAUUUAUAUUUAAAAAAUUGCUUUGAUUUAAAUAUUUAUCAUAAUUAUUCCAAUUUUUAUUUUGUUUUUAAGUUAAUACAAAUAUAAAUAACAAUAAGGUAAUUAUUAUUAUUUUCAAUUUUAAAAUUAAUGGUUAAGUAAAAAUAAUAAUUGACGAUAAUUUUUCUUUUCACUCUCGUGUCCCAUCAAAAGUUGAAUAAUUGGAAUGAUCAAGGAAUUUCUGGAACCUUUGAAUUGCAUAUUGAUUAUAUAUGAUACACUUAUCAUUGUACAACCUUUUUUCAGGAUAAAUAGUGAAAGAAAGAAAGACAAAAUAGAAAAAUAAAAAUGAAUGAAAAAAAAAAUAACUUUAUUGCAUCAUUAUCUUAAGUUAAUCAUUAUAAUCUGAUGGGAUUAAUACCUAAUUUUUCAAAUAGAACUAGCUUAUUACCACUAAACUUCAAAUCAAUAAUCAUCAGUGUUCCUUUAAUAUCUUUCUCUGAUAUCAUUAACAUCACUCUCUCAAAAUUAAUCUUUUCUCCAAUGAACUUCACCUAACUCCUUUAUAUAAUAUAUAUUACCUAUAUACAUUAUAUUAUAUUAUAUGUAAAUAAAGAAAUGUUUUUAUUCGUAUUUAUUUUCUAUUUUAUUAUUUAAAUAAACAUUUUUUAAAUUAAAAUAAAUAUUUUAUCAAUUCUAUUUCUUAAUUGAUUGAUUUUAUAAAUUUAAUUGUUUUUCUGACUUGAUAGUUUUUUAAAUUUAAUCCUUUUUUAAUUAUAAAACUAUCCAAAAAAAAAUAAAAUACAAUAAAGUUACAAAAUUAUUUUAAUUUUACAAUUAUGAUAACAAUGAUUUUAUUAUUUUUAUUAUCGUAAAGAAACAUGAAGACGUGAAUGUGAUACAUAUGCUUUUACUAGUAUAUAUAAUAAAAAUUAAUAUUUGGUUAAUCAUUUUAUACUUUACAUUUGAGUAUUUAUGUAUGUAUUAUAAAUAUUGUUAGUAUCUUAUAAUUAUUAGAAAAAAUCAAUCAGAAGUUGAAAAUAUUUAUUUUAGAAGUAUGUUUAACAUAAUAAUAAUACAUGUUUGAAAAUUCUCAACCCGAUUAAUCAAUCUGGAGUCCUUGUACUUUAAAUUUUGUAUAGUUUAAAAAAAUUGUAAAAUUGAUACAAAAUUAAUAUAUAUAUAUAUAUAUAUAUAUAUAUAUAUAUAUAUAUAUAUAUAUAUAUAUAUAUAUAUAUAUAUAUAUAAAGUCAUCUAUAUUGAACCGGCCCAGAAAAAAUGAGCCCGUAGACAAGUGGACCGGCCUCAUUUUAUAAGGCCUAUUCUCAGAAGCGAGGCUCUCAUGCAAAAUGUUUACAAAUUCCACAGAUUUGAGUGUUAACUCAUUAUUGGUUAAAUUUGAUAAAAAAAAAAUACUUAAGUUUUGGUUUGAUCAAUUUUUUUUCCUAUAAACGUAAAUAAUGGGUAAAUUUGAUACUGGUAAAAAUUAAUGAGUUUUUUUGAAAAAUUGUAUAUAGUAGUUAAAAUAAGUAAUUAAACAUACAUGUAAAUAUUGAUAAAAAAAUGUUACUUUAACAAACUGAAUUUGCAAAACUUGUUGGAUUAAUAAAUAAAUGUUGGUAUAUGGUUCUUCAUCUUUAUAAUAAUGAAAAUCGAUUUUGUUAUUAUUGUAUGUAGUUUAUUUUAAUAGAACAUGUUUAGCAAUUUACAGAGAAACAUAACAUUAAUAAGAUUAAGUUUAACCACAUAAAAUAUUAACUCUAGUGACAACUUAAAAUCUUAAAAACAAUGAAUUUAUUAAUUUUCAUUCUUAUACAAUAUUUUUUAUUUUAUUUUUAUUCAAUGUAGAAUUAGACUUACACUUAAAUUCCUAACACUAUACAUCAUACAAGGAAACAAAAAAAUUGUUCAUUUCAAGGAAAAUAAGUUUUUUUUUUAUAUAAAAAUGAACAAACUUGUUUAAAUAUUUGCUUGACAACAUAUAAUUUAUUAGACAAAAUGAGGAUUUGAUUUGAUAUUAUGGAUAUAAGUUUGUCUCUAAGGAUUUUUCUUUAGAAAAAAAAAUCACAAAAUUAGAAUUAGUUUGUAAAUAAAUUAAUUUAAGAAAACUCGUUUCUUUUAUCAUAUCUAAAACUUUAUUCUUUUAACUCAAGCAAAUAAGUUUAUAAAAUCUUGUAACUUAUUCAAAUAAGUUUAUAAAAAAAUCAUUUUAUCUAUUUAUUUCUCUUGUGAGUACUUUUGAUAAGUUUCUCACAACAACAGCAUCAACUUCAAUUCAAUCUUUUUUACUGAAACAACUAGAGUUCAUACUUUUUAGUUGAUUCCUCAUGAACCCUUUUCAGAAUGCAUGAUCGUUGUUAUGUCCUAUGAAGUAUGCAAACAAUAUUUGCACAUCAUUAGAAAUAGAAUCAUUUAUGUGGAAAGACAAUAAAACACAAUGCUCACAUAUGUAAAAGGGUGAUGAACAGUUGCUACUUAGAGAAACGACAUAUCUGUAAAUGUGUCUGCAUAAUUGGUAACAAGUGAAAGGAAGGCUUCCAUUGUUAACUUCUUGGGUUGGAGAAGGUACAAUAAUGUGCAUAGAUGUCAAACUUGAUAAGAACAACACUAAUCAAAAUUCAUUCCAAAAUAUAUAAAUACUGGUAUUUAGGUUAUUGGUUACAUUGAUUAUACAUUUAUUGACCGUAAUAGUUAGUUACAUUGAUUGCUUAUUUAUUGAUAGUAAUAUUAAUCAAACAAACUAACUUUAGCAUAAGAGUGUUUUAUGCAAAAAGUACCUGAGUUCGACCGAAUCACAAUUAGAGUAAAGUGAAAAAAUAACUUAGUCCUAAAAGUAAAUAUAACACGACACACAUUGAUAUUUAUUAGACACGUUUAACAAAGAUGUAAUGGUCUUGAAAGAGUGAACUUUUGUAGUUUUUUGAAAAAGAAAAAAAUAAAAAUAAAAAUAGAUAGUGUCAAACGAAUGUAAAAAAAUUACAUGUAUCAAAAUAUCAUUUUUUUAAGUCCUAAACUUGGAGUUUGAAAGUCAUGUGGAGAAGUAAAUCUAAUCUAAUAUAGACUCCUUAAACCAAAACAAUAUGAAAUGUAAAUAUAUGUUAUUAUUGGUGGGCUUAAUAAAAAUUAUAAAAGAGGGAGAUAAGAGAAAACGACACUUAUGUAGUGUUUUGAAAAGGAGAAUCCUUUUCAAAAACAAAAAAGGUAUAAAGUAGCAAAAACGAGUUUUCCAGAUAAAUAGAAUCCACUUAGAAAUCCAAAAUACUAGAUUACCUAAAAGAAAACCACUAAAUUAGAUAUUAUAUAUUAUAGAAGAAAAAAACUAUUUUGACAUUUUUAUUUUCACUUUUUUUACUAUUAAGAAAAACGGUGUGAAAUGAGUAUAACUCAACAACAUUCAAGUGUUGAUAAUAUAGAAUCUUCACUUUUGAAUUUUGGGGUGAGUGAUAGAGAAAUUAAUAAAAUGGGACAGGGGCCAUGAGGACAAAAUGUGCUUCAGUACAAAAACUACCAAUCAACCAAAUCAAGGUACGACCAUAAUUGUUAGUGUCUUCUUCUUUUAAUUCUCCCUUUCGAGUAAUUUCUUCUAGUUGAUACGAUGAGAUUGGUCUUACGUGCGGUAAUUAUAGUAUGUAUUAUUAUUAUUAUUAUUGUCGAAAACUUUAAGAGCAAUGCAAAACCAAAUAGCAUGCUCCUAAUUCAUCGUUUCCAUAAAAAUCUUCUCUACAGUAUUUCAGCCUUUCAUUUUCAAUCCUUUCCACCUUCUUCUACCCAGAAAGAGAGAAACAGAAAGAACAAAACCAGGUACAGUGGAUCCAGGAUCUUUAAGGACCACUUUAUGUCCCAAAAAUGAAUCAACUAACAAAAAUCAAAGAGUUAUUAUUACUAGUUCUUUGAAGCAAACCAAAUAAGGAAAGAAGGAAGGAAGGAAACUGAUCUAUGUCCCAUAUCAAUCUCCAGCUUUCAAUUUCUUCAUCCUCUCUUCCAACAGCAUUCCCUCGUCACGGCAUUCACGGCUGCAAAAUGCCCUCUCGCCCCUGAAUUUUAAACCACACAACCACACUCAUAAGCUCAUCCAACAUAUUUUCACUUAAUUUUGUUCAAAAUCUGUCUUUUAUCCAAUCAUCAUCUGUCAAUACUAGAUUCAAAGUUUCCCAUCAGUAUCUUCUUCUCAGUUUGUAAGCUAUUGGAUUAAAAAAACAGUCAUUCUCUAAUCCAACUUCAAACUUCAACUCACUGAUUCAUGUUAACGUUUAAUAUAAACUUUGAUUAUACAGAUUGUUCAGAUAAAAACGCAAAUUCUAAUUCAAAAAACUUCAUCAGAGUGUUUUCCAUGAAUCAAAUGUGUCUUGACAUUCUACUGGGAGAGGCCAAAGAUGAAAGUCACUAAAUUAUACAUCCAUUGUAUUAAAUUUAACUCUGCCAAGUGAUCUGAAGCCAAUGCAAAAGGUCAACAAUAUAAUACAGUUAUGAUAAUAUCACUUUAAAUUUCAUGCAGAGAUUAAAAGUUGUAGUCCACAAACACGUCAAAUUUUCUGUCAAUCCUACAUCUUAAUUAGAUAUGCGCAUCCAAAUCAAGUAGCAAAACUUUAAAAGGUUGUCACAACUGCAUAAAUUACAGUGGUGUUUAUGGGGAUGGAUGGAUAUACAGAAAAAAAAAAAAAAUACCUGUAUAUGUAGAUGUCCAUAUCCUGACCAAGAUUUUUAUUGCAGUAAAAACAGAAACUCAUGAAGCUUUCGGUGGAAAAACUGGUGUGGGGAGGUAGAAACACAUUUUCCAUCGGAGAGGAAGAACAUCCAAAAUCAAAACAGCCACUCUCAACGAUGCAGUUAUCAAAUAUGUGAGUAGUUCUUGGGUUAGGCCCGUGAGAAAUCACUCGAGUGUAAUCCUCUGAAAGCUCCAUUUCACUGGCAGAGAUAGAUCCCGUGAAAACUUUCGAAGAUUUGGAGGGUUCGAGGGUUGAAUUAGCGGAACCAAACACAGAUUUAGGUGAUUGAGGAGAGACUGUCGGAUGAGGCAGUGGAGGAUUCUGAAUCUUAAGCUGGGAUCCAAAGAGAAUCAUUCUGGUUUGUGACUUUGAUGUUACUUCUCCAGGUCUAUUGUCGUCAACAAGAGCAUCAACAAGACCCUUUGAAUCCAAUUUAUCCCAAUAACGCUUGUGUUCGCCAACUGGGGUUCUGGGGCUGUUUGCUUCUGACCUGAAAGGGUUUUUCAAGCCAGACAAAGGCUUACUGUCGAGUAUAGAGGUUGGACUCAUCGCAGUCUCAGUUUCACACAACACUUUGGAUGUGAAAUUGGCGAAUAGCUUAGGAGAACUGAAGAAAGAUGAUACCAGUUUCUUGUAUUUUUCUGAGAUAGACGGUGAGGAACUACAAAACGCCAUCAAAAUUAGAGCUUGUCAAUCAAUAGAGGUUGCUCUGGGUGGAUCUCUCUACCACUACAGUUCAUUUUAAUUCUACAUGAAAACAAUCAGAACAGUUAAACACCACCCCAAAAAAUUAAAACAUACGGGUUAUGUUAUGCAUGUAAAAGUAGGUGAGUGUGUGCAGGAAAGAGAGAGAGAGAGAGAGAGAGAGAGAGAGAUUGUAGUAAUCACCUGAAGGGACACUACCAUAACUUCGAGAAGACAACAUCAAAAAACCAAUUCUGUGUUUUUAUCUGCAGUGUUGGAGAGUUGUACAACUAACCAGUGUACUACACUCUACAACACAUGUGCAAAACUGCAGUCAAAUAAAUUCACUUUGGUUUGCAGAGUCAGAAGGCAGAAAUCGGCAACAAGUUUCAAUGAAAAAACUUGUGUUUCUCUCUCUCAACCCUCUUGUUUAAAGAUUAUAGUAACAGUGUUAAAUUGAUUAGAAAAUCUGGGGAGAAGAAAAAGGAAAAAAAAUUCCGGCUUUGUCGUGGUGGUCUGAGGUAAUAGAAUCAAAAGGGGAGUGAGAAACGACAUGCAAAGAGAGUCUCAGUGGUCAUGAUCAAGGGACCAGAGGUGCAUGCAUCAGACAUCAGAAACAAAGAAGGGUUGUUUGUAUUUUUGCUAGCUUUCAAUUUAGUUUGCGUUGGUGUGUGUGAGUGCCAUUAUUUCCCAAACAGAUGAGAAAUAGAAGAAGGGUGACUAGAGAGAGUAAAACCAAAAGGAAAAGCAAAAAUGGUCCCUAAAUUCGGAUUUGAACAAUAAUGGCGAGAAGAGAGAGAGAAAAAGGAAUUGAAGGUUUGGUAGUGGAGUUAUGUUGUUCUGUGUUUGGGAUGAUGAAUUCCUGAAAAAAUGGCCCAUAGAUAGGAGGAGACUCAGUGAGGCAAAAACAGAAAGCGGUUUCGUUUCUUCUGAUAAAGACGCUGUGCAUAAGAAUCAGUGGUUUUUAUCACAAAAUUAAAAAAAAAAAAAAAAAACAUUGACUUUCCUCUCACCACUGCCUCUCUGCAAUUAACUUUCUUUGGCAUGGGGUGGCUUUCUGUGUCAAUCACAUUAACGCAUCACACCUCUCUCAUGUACAUAUUUUUUACUCUUAUAACUUCAAAAAUAUUAAAUUCAUUUCAUUACGUUUAAAUAUAUUAAUAAUAAUAAUAUUAUGUUUUGUGAAAACAGACCACCUCACCUGAUAAGUUCACUACGGGUUUAGUUAGUUUAUCAGUUAGUCAGAAGAAAAAUUCGGCUCAACCCAUCAUACCAAUUGGUAGGUUAAAUAGGUUGAACUCAUUUAAAUUAUAAUUUUUAAAAUAAAAUAAAAUUUAAAGUUUUUGUAAUUUAAAUAUAAAUAAAUUUUAUUUUCAUGAUGUUAAACUCAAAAUAAUAAAAAAAAUACAAUACAAUGAGUAAGAUGGUAUUUUUCAGGAUUUUAUAAGAUUAUGAAUUAAUAAAAAUAAAAUUAGUUGAUCAAUUUGCUUCACCACGAGUUCAACUCAUAUGAAUAGGAUUGAAAAUUAACCUGCAUAAAGAAAAAGUAUUUUUUUUAAUCCAACUUAAUCUAAAUUCAUGAUAAGCUAAGUUAAUCCACAAGUUGUAACCUAUUUUGAUUGUUAUAGUUUUAUACAAUAAAUAUAUUAAAUAACCUAAUUUAAUGAUAUUUUUUAAAUGUUUUUUAUUAUGAAAUAAUCCAAAUUUAUAUUAUUUAUUUAGGUAUUAUAACUGUGAAUAUUAUUUAUCAUAGUGUUAAUAAUAGAAAUAUAAUGUCACAAUUUAUUGAUCUAUAGAUAUAAUUAAUGUUUUUUUUAAUGAAUAUUCACUCUCAUCAUAUUUUAUCAUAAAUACUAAUUAUAAAAAUUUAAUUCUUUUACCGAAUUAUGUGUCAAUAUUCUGAAUUCAAAUAAAAAUUUGUAUUAUAACAAAAAUAUAUUCUAUCCAAAUUAAUCUGUUAACGUCUUAUGAAACAUUAUCUUUUAAUAUUUAAAAUAGAGGUUAAGCUUUAUCCUGUAAGACCCAAUUUAGAAUGUCUUUUAUAUUAAUUAUUUUCACUGAAACAUUAUUAAUUAUAAAUCUUUUUUAUUUCAAGAGACGGUUAUAUUCAUUAAUGUUUUAGCUGGUUUAACUUUGUUUCGUCUUUAAUAAAAGAAAAAAAAAUGUGUUGGGAGUUUACUUCAGCAGUUAAGACGUAUGGCCAAUCAAAUUAAACUAAUAUUUAUAUUAAUUAUUAAAUCUAAUAACGUUUAAAAAUUAAAACAGGAAUAUUAGUUUUAGAAGUAAUUCUGAAAAGUAUGUUUAAGCUCAAAGCAAAUUUAAUUGUAAUAAUUACAUUAGCUAUUUUUUUACCUAAUAAGUUAUUUGAAUAUCUGUAAAUUCCCUUUACAAUAUAAGUAUGAGUACCUUUCUCUUUAACACUCUCCACACACAGCACAUGAAUUAUAAAAUCUGAGUUUAUUUAAGCUAACAUAAUUUAACAUGUUAUGUUUCUCAAAUUUCAUUAAAAUAUAAUACUAAUAAUUUAAUUAUUUUUAUUUUAUUAAUGAUAAUGAUUAAAUAUGUACGUAUCAAAGAUGUCAUAUUCGAGAAUUCAUUGUAUGCAGUCCGUUUGCAGCAUUUGUACUCUAGUCAACAAAUAUACAUUACUUUUUCUAGAUAGCAUGUAAUUGGUGUUAGAUUCUACAUGAUUAUUAUUCAUAAACAUGAUUAAUUAUGAAUGUCUAAAACACAUUUUCAUUAUGUCUUCACCACUAUGACAUUUUUUUUAUUCUUUUACUAAAAGAUCAAUUACCAUUUUUUUAUACUCUUUAAAAUUAAUUGUAUAUAUUAACAAACCAUUUUUUUUCCUAUUUUUCAUUUAAUUCAAAUAGUUUUAUUUUUUAUUUUAUUUAUUUAUGAUUAUUAUUUUCCAUUCCAUUCAAUUCAAAGAAUUUUAUAUAUUUUUAUUUAUUUUUAAAAUCUUUCAAUUUCCAUAACCUUUUAAGUACAUGAAUAAUGACAGCAAAAGCUCGAUUAUGGUCCACGAAUGAAAUAUCUUCAGCUGGAAAUUGAUAUAAUUGUCUAUACAUUUAUCACAAAGAUGUGGUGUGAAAAAGCAUUGCACAACUCAUUAUUUCUCUGGUCUUACUGUAAAUGAUUAGCAUAAGGAAGAAAUUUAAAGGAAAUGGGAGGAACAAAAGGAUUAAAUAUGUCGAGCUUUAAUAAUUAAUAAAUAAACAUAGUUAUUCAAUCAUUAAAACUAAAAUAUCGAACAUAAUAUAUUUGUUUAAAUUCAUCAUUUAUGGUUUAAGAGACGUUGGCUUGAUGGCUGAUACAUAAGUACAUUAUUUUUUAUACCUGUUUUAUUUUAACUAUGUAAACAUUAAGAUCAAUAAUCAAUUAUGUAUAAGUUUACAAAGAAGGUUCAAAAAACUGAACGUAUAAAGAUAAUCAAUUAUGUAUAAAUAAAUAUAAUAAAAAGCUUAUUUUUAUAUUAUAAUAUAAUAAAAAUUAAAAUAAUUUUUUUUAUAAUAAUACGUGUGUUUACAUCUUUCACAUUAAAUGAUACUAAUUAAAAAUUACAAUAUCAACCAACAUAACACAUAAAUUUAACAUUCAAACUAAAUAUUAUUAAACAAUGAUAUAAUGUUUAAAAAAUUAAAUUAUUAAUUUAAAUAAUUAAAAGUAAUAAAUAUUAUGGUAAAAAGCUCAUGAAAAAAUGAUAAACAAAUAAGGGUUAAAUAUGUUUUUAGUCCCUAUACUUUGGGGCGAUUUUAGUUUCAAUCUCUCUUUCAAAUUAAGGUACAAUUUAGUCCUUCAACUUUAGAAAACUCUGGAUUUAGUCAUUUUUACCAAAUUUUUUUAACUUUAUUGGCUGUUUGAAACGCGUUUCUUAGUUAAUAUUAAAGCAAAAAUGUGUCAAACAGUGUAAACAAUCCAAAUACUAUAAUGAAACAUGCUUGAAACAGCAAAAAAAGUUAAAAAAAUUUGGUAAAAAUGAUUAAAACCAGAGUUUUCUAAAGUUGAAGGACUAAAUUGUACCUUAGUUUGAAAGAGGGACUAAAACCAAAAUCGCCCCAAAGUAUAGGGACUAAAAACAUAUUUAAUCCAACAAAUAAUAAAAUAUUGUUAUUGAUAGAUUACAAGACAAAUUUAUAUAAUUUAGGAAUUAAAUGAAUUGGAUUUAAUUUAAUCCAUUUUUUUUUUAAAGAAAAUAUAAGUUUAUCUAAUUAACCCAGAUUAAACUGAGUCAAAAUGCAACCCAUAUGUUAUAUAUAUAUAUAUAUAUAUAUAUAUAUAUAUAUAUAUAUAUAUAUAUAUAUAUAUAUAUAGACUUGUCAAAUAGGUUCCUAUAAUAGGUCUUGACCCUAUCUCAUGUGGGUUAGGGCCAAAAAAGCUUUUUAUUAAAAAAGCUCCAAGGGCUAAAAAGCCCCAAAGCCCUGUGGGUCAGGGCCAACCCAUGGGCUUUCAUUUUUACAAAAAAAAAAUUAAAUAUUCAAUAAUAAAUUACAUUUUUAUAGAGAAAAGAAACACUUAUAUUAAGUGUUAUAACUUGAAGAAUUUAAAUUAUGAAACACACAAACUCAAUUAGAGAAAAAACUAUCAACUUAUAUAGCAGCCAGAAUCACAAAUAGUAAAGAAUGAUUGUCAAAAAAACUUGAAUGUGAAGAUUGGUGGCAAUGUUUAUUUUAGAUGCUCUAUAAUCAGGCAUAGUCAGUUGAUUUACUCCAAUACCUUAUUAACAUCAGUAUCUGAGAAGUAAUUUUGCCUACUAUAAUUAUUGCAUAUUUGAAACAGAUAUGUCCAAUGAGAAAAAAAAGAAGAGAUAUUGUAUACAUCCAGAAUUGGAAACUAAAAAAAGAGAUAUUUUUAAAAUAUAUGAUUAUUUAAUAUUAAUUUUAAUUCAAUAAUGACUAUAAAUUGUUUUAAUUAAAAUAUAUGUGUGCUUGAGUUUUUUUUUUAAAGAAAAAAAUAAAAAGAACAUUAUUAUCAUAAUUAUAAAAAUGAAUAUAAAUAAUUUUUAUUAAUUUUAUAAAUAAUUUUAUGUUAAAAUUAAUUUUUUAAUUUAUCAAAAUAGUAAGUUUUAGAAAUAAUUAAAUAAUUAAUAAUGUUUAAUUUACAAAAUAUUACCAACAGAAAUUAAUAAGAUAAUAAUUUUAAUUAAAAUAUAUAUUUAAUAAGAUAAUAACGUUGAAGCUAAUUUUAGUUUAUGAAAAAUAAUUAUUUUUAUUUUUCUAUUUUUCAAAUGUAAUCAUUUAAAAAAAACACUACACCAACGGUCUCAAAACUAACAAAUAUUAUUUUGUGAAAAAAUAAUGUUUUGACAAAGUUUAUAUAUAUAAUUAAUUGACAACUUGUUUAUAAUAAUAAUAUUAUAACAAUAAAAUUCAAACGUUAGAAAGAAAUAUUUAUUAUAAUAAUAAUAAGAUUUAAUAUAAUAUAAUAUUUAUAAUAUGAGAGAGAGAUUAUAUUAUUUCUAAACUUUAAUUAAAGUUUUAGAGUGGGAUUAAAAUUUAAUUAAGUUUUAGAGUGGGCUAAACCCACUUUAACCCUGACCCUAACCCACUUGAGAGGGGGUUUUAGGGGUUGGAGCUUUUUUCUGACCCCCUAAGGAGACUUCUUAAAAUAGGACUUUUUCAACAGUAGGUUGGGUUGGGACUAACCCUGAGACCAUGGGUUAGUUUGACACCUCUAUCUGCACAUCAUUAUACAAGCAUAUUCAAAGUUUGUUUUUUGUUGCUGAAAAUUUAAUUUUCAUACCAAUAUAUCAUAUCAGAGCGCUUUGCUAAUUUUUUUUUUUUUUUGUUUCCAGUUAUGCAGGAACUUUUAAAUAUUUAUUUAGGUGUUUAUCAUUUGGCAAGAUUUUGAGUCACAAUGACUGUUUUUAUGUUUAGAGUAUGUCCUAAUAACUAAACAUCAAUAUUUUACUGCUAUCACAACGUCUUUAUUAUUCAAGUUCAUUGCAUUAGAAAAAGUAUAUAUCUUCAUAAUUGUACAUUUGAACGUUAUUAAGAGACAAUUUUCUAAUAAAAAAAUACAUGGAUGAUCAGUUGUGAGUGAAGUGAAAGUAUAUCAAGAAUUUUUUUCAAUUAAAAAAAAUAUUACAGUGAGUGGUUUUGGAUGUGAAUACUCGUUCCAAUUUGGGUCGAGUUAUUUCAAACACAUUUACUGAUAGUCUAAUAAUCUUUGUUUUCAUUCUAUCGUUGGAAUAUCUGUCAAAGGUUAUCUAAUUUUUAAAUCGGCCAUACGGGAUUCAGAACAAUGAUAUUAAAUAUACAGUAAAUACGAUCACCUAACUUUUACUUUUGAUCUUUAUUUAUAAUUUUUGAGACGAGUCUAAGAUUAAUGACUUAUUAAUAUGGACAAAAUCUCAACUUAUUACCACUAAUUAUUAUUUAUCUUAAUUCUGUAGAAAAAACUUGUCUUAGAUAUUUUUCCUUCUCCAAAAUCGUCCGACCCAUUCAGUAUGAAUUAAUACGCAGGAUCGUCCAACCCCUAGAACACUUCUUAUUGAGAACUAUACAAAUAUGACAUAUAUGUAAAAAGAACCUUUUACUUUUUUUUUAACUAAUAAAAAAUUGAUGUCUAUUGUCAGUUAAGAACUCAUUUUCAUCGGUACAAAGUGAUUGAUUUACAUUAAAUAUAAAAUAAUGGAUUUUAAUUUAUCAAUAGUAUUUUUAAAGGUUGACUUAAAAUAUAAUAUUUAAUAAUAAGGUAAUUCUAUAUUGAAAUCUGCUAAAGUUGACUCUAUGUAGUAUCAACCAAUCUAAAUUAAAUUUAGAUAACGUUAAUUAACACCUUCUGUUAUAAUAAGUUGUUACUGAUAAAUAGUUUGUGCAUUGUUAACUGAUAAUUCUGGGCAACCUAUUUAUGCAGACAUUUUCACCAACCUAAAGCUAUGAUCUCAUUUUCCAAAAGGACGGUGCAAUGCUACAACAAUCAAAUACAUCAUCCCUUUCAAUCGAAGUCAUGGAUCCAUCACGUUUCUAUACGAAAAAUAAUACAUGAUUUACUUACCUUGCGUGUAAAUUCAAGCGUAUUGGCAAAUCUGGGAAACAUUCCUGCAGGAAUCACCGACAACGGAAGAACACAGCCAAAAUAAGGGUUUGAAUGAUCAAAUUCAGCAAACUAAGGAAGUUAUUUGAAGUAAUUAGAAGAAAACAAAACACAAUAACCUACUUCUCCUUGUUUUAUUUAGGGCUACAUGGUGGGUGCUCCUUCCUUCCAUCAUUCACUCGAUUUGCAGUUACAUUAACCGGCAAUGGAGAGCUAGGGAACGGGAUCGAAGAAAGAGAUGGAGAUUGACAAGAAGAGAAGAGAGCACGCACGGCAAAGGUAUGUGGUGACAUAAUUGCAGUAUGUGCUCCCUUUCUUCUGUCAAUCACUCUGAAAGCUCAUCGUGUUAGGUUUUGGUUGAGCGAUGUGCAUGCCCUAGGCCCAAUAAUAUAUAUAUGCCUUUUUGUGUAGUGCUCUCCUUUUGAUUUGUUUUUCCUUCUCACUAAUUUGAAUUUUCUGGGAAAAAGAUGUGUGAGAUGGGACGAUGGAACGUUAUGGAAGGAGAAAAGGUGAGGGGCCGUUUGGUUUAGGUGUCGAAUUAGGAUUCGUCUGAGGAAGUUAAAUUAAAAACGGGAAAAUAUAUUUUUAAUCGUUUUAAAUAUACGAACCAAUAAAAUAGUAACAUUAGUAUUAAAAAAUUGUUAAAAUAUCACUAUUUUUAAAAAUGGUUUUAGAGAAUGUAGCUUCUGAUUUCUAUAUAUCACUGUUAAACUCUUGUAAGGUUCCUAUUUUGGAUGAUUCUCUAAUUCUAUAUUCUUGAUAAUAUUUUUUUUUAUAACAUUUUAAUGCUAUUUAUAUGUUAUUUUGUAAUUAGUCUAAAAAUUACUUUAUCGUAAAUAAUAUUAAAAUAUUAUAAAAGAAAUGUUGUGAAAGUAUUAUUAUUCUAGUAAUAAACUCCAAAAUUAUGAAUGUUAGUUUUAUGUAGUGUUGUGCUGUGCUAGGAUGCAUUAGGGAUGUGCACUUUCACGGUGUUACAAAUCAUAAACUUUUAUGACUUUGUAAUAGUUUUGAUGGGUUUUGCAGAUUUUUUUUUAAUGCAUGUAAAACUUCAUCAGUAUCAUCCUUGAGACAAUUAACAUAUUAUAAUCACAGUGGAAAAUAAUGUCAAAUAUUUUAACAAAGAAAAAGAAUGCGUCCAAAACAAAACAUAAAUGGACUGAAUUUAAUAUUUAAUGACAAUUUCACGUCCAAAACAUUCUGUAUCCAACUUCCAUGUAUCCCACUUAUGACAAAACUUAUACUUAACUUUUAUCCAACUUCUAUGUAAAAAACACCAUUAAUAAAGUUGUUCAGAAAAUUUCAAUAAAACUGUUCUUAUCAAGCCUAAAAGUGUAGUUUUAUUUUUUCCUCUAAAACUUUUCACAUAAUUUAAACAAUUUGUUUUGUUUAUUUUUUAAGGAGUGGAAAUUGAUUUUUUUUUGUUUUUAUUUUGUAAGAGUGGCAAUUGAAUAAUGCUUGAAAAACUAAAAAUACUUUGAUUUUAAAAAAUAUUUAUCUUCCUUACCUAAAUAAUACCUAUAUAAUAUUUAAUAUUAUAAUGAAAUAAUUAAAAAGUUUAUUGUAAAAAAAAAUCUAUAGAAAAAUAUUUUUAAAUAAUAAAAUUUAAAUGAACUAAUCAAAAUUUAUGUUUAGAUCGUUAAAAAAAAGAGAGUAAGUUUUUGAAAAAUUUAAGAUUAAAAGAUAAGUUGACGUUAUUAUUAUUACUAUUGUUAUUACUUUAUAAUGAGUUAUUUACUUUAAUCUUAUUUAUGAUAACAAAAGAUAAUACAAUUAUAAUUAUAAAAGUAAAUAUAAAAAAACUUGUAUGAUAAAAUAUAUUUUUUUAUUGUAGAAAAUUAUUUUGGUUUUAAAAAAUAAUUAAAUUUUAAAAAGUUAAUAUAAAGAAAGUGAAAAAUUAGGAUUUUAUCCCAGUCAAAUCAAGGGACAUUUGAGGUAUUUAAAAAAAGAUGGGGAUGCAGAAAACAAAACGAGGGGCAUGAAGAAAGCUCUAAAUACGAAAUAGUUUGAGUGGGUUUAGCCCAAACAAUGCCCAAGCCCAAUAAGGGUUUUAAGGAAUAUAAAGUGAGUUAACUAAUAGUAGCUGCGCUUGGAGACGAGGCUAGGGUUUCAGUCGGCUGCGGAGAAGACCAGACUUGACAAGACCUUGAAGCAGCAGAAGAGCAACUAUGGCGGUCGGAAAGAAUAAGAGGAUUUCGAAGGGAAAGAAGGGUGGCAAGAAGAAGGCGUUAGUGCCCAUUUUCUUCGUUUUUUUCUCUUUAACUGUUCUGUUGCAAUCUCUUUUUUUGACUAUGUUCUUCUUCUUCUUCUUCCAUCAAUCCGCAGCGCCGAUCCCUUUUCCAAGAAGGAUUGGUACGAUAUCAAGGCCCCUUCUGUGUUCCAGGUCAAGAAUGUGGGCAAGACCCUCGUCACUCGUACCCAGGGCACCAAGGUUUUUAUAUCUAUUUUCACCAUCGUGUGUGUGUGUAUAUAUAUAUAUAUAUAUAUAUAUAUAUAUAUAUAUAUACACACACACACACACACUUCAAUCUGUUUUUGUCCAUCUAGCAAUAUAGAUUCAUUUUUAUAGAUGGCAUUGCAUAUCUGAAGUGUUGGAUCUUCAUAUAGUAAUUUAUACAAAAGAAGAGUAGAAUUUUGUGUAGGCAUUUGCAUGAUGAAAAGUUAGAUGUUGUGCUGGCUGUUCUUUUUUAUCUCUACAACCUCGGUUGUUGUUUUAGUGUCUUAAUCAAUAUUUUCUUUUAGUAUUCUAGGCUAUUCUUUUGCUUGUAUUAUUUUAUGACUUUGUCCAUGAUCUGGAGUAUUGUAGUUGUAAUAAUAUUUGGGAAGUGUUAUUCUGCGUACGUGUGCACUUCAAAUUUCUAAGCUUAUCGUGGGCUUGUGUAGUUGGUGGUGGGUUUACUGACUGUUUCAAAUAAUAGAUUGCUUCGGAAGGACUCAAACACAGAGUGUUUGAGGUCUCAUUGGCUGAUCUUCAAGGGGAUGAGGACCAUGCCUUCAAGAAGAUCCGUUUGAGAGCCGAGGAUGUUCAAGGAAAGAAUGUUUUGACAAACUUUUGGGUAAGCUGGGGGCCGAAGUUAUUUUUUACACCCGACUCAGAUGAUUUCAAUUAAUUUGGGACUGUAUCUUUUUAGGGAAUGGAUUUCACAACCGACAAGCUGAGGUCUUUGGUCCGAAAAUGGCAAACUUUGAUCGAAGCUCAUGUAGAUGUGAAGACCACUGAUAAUUACACUCUGAGGAUGUUCUGCAUUGGCUUUACUAAGAGGCGAGCCAACCAAGUGAAGAGGACUUGCUAUGCACAAUCGAGCCAAAUUAGACAGGUACCAACUCCUUAGAGGUUGUAUGCUAAAGUUUUUUUUGUUUUCAAUUUAGUUUUAAAAUAUGCAGGGAUAUGUUUUCAUGUUAAAUUGAACAUGUUUUAAUUUCAUUUCUCUCUAUUGUACCUAAGAAAGUAAUAUAAAUUUUGAAGGAUGUGAACCAUGUUAUUAUAUCAACAUUUUCUUUUUGUAUGCACUUCAGCACAUGUGCUUGUAUCCUAAAUUGCCUUCCAUAUUUAUGAACAUGUUUUCUGAAAGUAUCUUCUCUUGUUUUCUUUUGUUUAAUAUAUUGUUUAAGGGAUGAAUUGUUACAUAUAUGAGAUUAUUAAACUCACUGUUGUCGGUUUAGAUCCGCAGGAAAAUGAGAGAGAUAAUGGUUAACCAGGCAACAGCCUGUGAUUUGAAAGAACUGGUCCGCAAGUUCAUCCCUGAGAUGAUUGGGAAAGAGAUUGAGAAAGCAACAUCAAGCAUCUAUCCCCUACAAAAUGUGUUCAUUCGUAAAGUUAAGAUCCUGAAAGCUCCAAAGUUUGACCUUGGCAAAUUGAUGGAGGUACGUCCUUUUUGUUUGAAUUUUUAGUCAUUGAAGCAUUCAGUCAAGCAUUGCUGGAUUUGUCUUUGAUCGGUAUCGCCAAAAUGGUUUAGUCAAAAGAUUUUCUUACGCAUCAUGGGAUUCCCAAUUUUCUAUAUUGCCUUGUUGAUUUUUGACCUUAGUUAUGAGUAAUAUUGUUGGGAAUGAAGCAAUUUCAGCAUAAAAGUUUUACUAUUUUUAGUGUACAAUCGUGUGGUUUAUUCUUGUACGAAUAUCAUAAACAAAACUUUGGUAGGUUUUGUAAUAUUUUACUGUGUUUAUACUUGUAGGUUCAUGGGGAUUACUCGGAAGACGUUGGAACAAAGGUUGACAGACCUGCUGAUGAAACAAUACUUGAGGGAACAACUGAAGUAGUUGGAGCUUGAACUGGCUCAUAAUGAAUUUUUGUUUGUUUAGAAUCCCUGUUGCAUUUACUAAUAUUUAUACUUAAAUUUUGUUUUGGCAUUUAGAAGAGCAUUUGUUUUUUCGAUAUGGAUUUUUGGUUUUUAAGCUUUAUUGGAGACGCUAAAAUUUCUCUGCCUAUUCCAUGUGCUUCCCUAUGAUAAUUUGUGCAAUCUUUGUAUAUUACUUUUCCAUCGACUGUGCAAUGGGAUGAGAUGUGUGGCUGCGUAUCUGAAUUGAACAUCCAACCAUUUGCAAACCUUCGGCUACUUUGCAACAUUCUUUUAGCCUUUUACUUCACCUUCUCAGCUGUUAGUUCCUCAGACAUUCGACGAAACAUUUUUCAAUCGGUAUACACAUAAACCUAAUUUUAACCAACCUUUUGAUAUGUAUGUUUGGAAUGAAUGAUCCUGUCUCUGUAACCGUUAGUCGGUGUUCAUUAAACAAUAAGUUUGUGGUCGUAUUAACUGUGUUGGGUUGAUUUUUCUUAUUUCUAUGUUUUGCUUUUUCUAUUUUUAGGUGAUAUUUUGAUCCUAAUAAAAUUAAAAUAAUUUUUAUUUUUUUAUUUUAUUUAAGUAUUACUCAGAACCGUUAUUUAACAUAUUAACAAACCUAAACCCUUAUUUACUUAUUAACAAAACCUAACACUUCUAUAGCAUAUUAACAAACCUAAUCAGAACAAACUAAAUGCUUAAUGAUAUUUUCAAUGUUCCCUUAUCAAUUAAAGUGUUCCUCAAGAAUACUUUAAUCGAUUUUUGUUCAAGUUUUAACUUGUUAAAAUAUCUAAGAAAACAACAACUCUAUAAAGCAUACGUAAGUACAUUUGAGACAGUAAAGAAUCUUCUUUCAAGAUGUGUUCGAGCAUUCCUCUUGAAUUCAUUAAUACAUAUCCUCAAAAAAUUAGGUGGGAAUUUUAGUUCUCGUAAAAUAGAUCUUAGUUCAAACUAGUUUGUAGCUGCAAAUUAAUUCGGAAUCAACCAGAGUGGAUAAGGGUUCCAGAAGCUCUUAAUUGUAUGCUUUAGGCAUUAUAGAUUGUGAUCAGCAGCAAUAAAUCUCCUUACAGAAAGAAACGCUUCUUAAUUUUGCAAGUGAAUUACACCAAUAAAAACGAUAGGAAGAGUAAAACAAAUUAAGUAGAUGAAAGGUGGGGAUCAGUAGAGAGAACACUGAACAUCACCAUAUCUCUGGUUUUUCCUUUGAGGAACACAUACUUCCUAAGAAUUCCCUCCCUCUGAAAACCAGCUUUUUCCAGCACUCUCUGAGACCCAACAUUCAGCACAUCAACAAGAGCUUCAAUCCUCUCCAAGUUUGGCAACGAUUGCUCACNNNNNNNNNNNNNNNNNNNNNNNNNNNNNNNNNNNNNNNNNNNNNNNNNNNNNNNNNNNNNNNNNNNNNNNNNNNNNNNNNNNNNNNNNNNNNNNNNNNNNNNNNNNNNNNNNNNNNNNNNNNNNNNNNNNNNNNNNNNNNNNNNNNNNNNNNNNNNNNNNNNNNNNNNNNNNNNNNNNNNNNNNNNNNNNNNNNNNNNNNNNNNNNNNNNNNNNNNNNNCAUCAUCCAGGUCAGAGAGCUCAAGGGGUCGAAGAGAUAUUCGACUCAAAUCGACACUUUCUUCUUUUUCUUCUGAUUUCUCCAUUGGGUUGAUAAUGGGGUUCUGAAUUUUACAAUAUCUAUGAAACACCGAAAAGAAACUUGAACGGAAGAAGAAGAAAACGAAAGGUAUUAUAUAGCUCGAGAAUGGGAGUAGGGAUUGAAGGAAGGCUGCAGUAAGCCAUGGUUGACUUCCCUAGCCGCCCAAGACUAUGCUUUCUUCUGAACUAUGAAAAACAUAUUUUUUAAUAUUUUGAAAAAGAUGGAAGAGUUGGGAAAAUCCACAAUAACUCACAAUUAAUUUAAAUUUCCUUCACCAGUUUAAUGCUUUAGCAAAAUUAAUUAAUUUCUUUAAUUAAUAGAUAUGAGGUAGGUAGGAAUUGUUAUAAUCUCAAUAAAUAAAAAGUGUGUGGUGUUAAUAUUAUUGAUUUUAUUUUAUAAUGAUAAUAAUAGCGUAAAAGCCAUUAAAACAAUUUUAAUUCAGAGAGAAGCGAGUCGAUUUUCUGGUAAUGAUGAAAAAGGAGAGUCGAUUCCUUUCUGGUGUUUGAAAUCUUUUCUUGACAUAAUCGAUUAUCCGAUUCUCAGAAUUUAUUUUUAGCUUUCGAUUUUAUUACUUUUCUCAUGUUCGGUCCAUUCAGAAGAUAGUUCACUGUGGAGAUAAAAUAUUAAUAAAAUCUGAAUUUAAUCAUAUAGGAAUUAAUAUCAUUCUUUAUUUAAAAAUUUUAAAAUAAUGGACUAAUGGAUGUUUCAGUGUAGAGAUACAAAUAUUAAUAAAAUUUGAAUUCAAUCAUAUAGACAUUAACACAUUUUUUAUUCAAAAUUUCAAACUAAUAAAUUAAUAAAUCUUUUAUUUUUACCUUUAUCUUCAUAUAAUAUAUAAUGCUCUACAUUUUUUUUUUAUCUAAUAUCAUACUCAUACUUAUAUUCUCUAUCUUUUUCCUCACAUAUCCCUUCUUUUUUUUCCCACUUUUGUAGUGAUUUCUGAGAAGGGUCACUGACAAAUUAGUUAUCAAAUCGCUGUAAAUUCAUUGAUCCAAAUAAUAUCGAUUUUUGUUUUACUGUCUGCGUGUAAUUUUUUAUAAAAAUGUGAAUUAUAUUAUACUUAAUAAUUAUUAUCAAAACUGUGAAACAAAAUAGAAGAUAAAUUUUGUGCGAACAAUAUAAUUAUUUAUAUUAAAAGAUAUAUAACUGAAUUUUAGUUUUGAUUUUAUUAUUAAUGAAUCCAGUAAAUUAAAAAAAAACAAAAAAUCUAUUAAAUAUAUAAAAAUUAUUUUAUAGUUAUAAUUAUAUUAAUUAUGUAUUUAUUUUUAUUAUAUUAAUAAUAAUAAUAAAUUUUCAAUAUAUUAUUUUAAUGAUAAAAUAAUAAUGAUAAGAUCUGCUAGUAACAUCGCCAUGGUUGAUUUUCCUAGCGACCGAAGUCAUGCAAUGCUUACUUGUGAAACAAGAAAAUAUAUUUUUUAAUAUUUUCAAAAGGAUUGAAGAGAUACAAAAAUUUAAGGCUUAAUAUCCUUGAUGAUCCCUAUUUUCGUCAAGUUUGUUCACUUUGGUCCCGUGUUUUUUUCUGUUUAAUGUUGUCCUAAAGAGUGUAAAUUUUGUUCAAUUUGGUCCUUUUUGUUAACGCCGUUUAAAUUGUUAACGGCCAGAUUUCCACAUGUGCAAUUAGGGAGUGAACUGUCAUUUAUGUUCUGAAGUGAACUAGAUCAGUCAUCUUCAUGGAUCACAUUCAGAAAUAAUUAACAGAAAUGAGGACUAGAUUGAACAACUUUCAUUCAUUACAAAACAUAGAGCCACAUUACCAUCUUCUCCAACCUUCAGCCCAACCAAAAAUAGAAACCCUACUUUCUUUCUAAAAAUCUAACCCUAGCGCCGCCACACCUACACCCUCAGGCCACCACCGCAAUCACCACAUACCUGCAAACGAAACCCAGAAGACCAUUACCAUGAUGCAGCUGCAACCACCUCCACGCACCACCAUCUUCAUCGCGCGCCUUCACCAUCAUCUUCUUCCCAGUUCGCGCUGCCACCAUAGUGAUUGAGGGUUUCGAUUUGGGGGUUUUUGUUGUGUUAUCUGGUUUUUGUAAAUUGGAAUGUAUGACUUUCGUUUCAAAAUUGAUUUGGGAAAUUCUUGGUUUUUUUCUGUUUUGUGAGUGGUUAGGGAUUUUGUUCUUCCCUGCAGGUAUGGGUUUUGCGAAGUGGGGGAUGAGGGUUCAAAUUGGGAAUGUUAGGGUUUUUAAACUUGGGGUUUCGUGGUGGUUGUUGUUGGAUGCACGGGUGGCGCCAAUGAAGGUGCUGGUAGGUGGCCAUGGGUGGUUGUUGGACAGAGAAAAUGAUGGAGGUGAGAAGAUAGUGGCUGGUCUGGCGACAGUGGUUAGGGUUAGAUGGUGGCUAGGGUUUUUGUGUAAGGGGAAAUUAGGGUUUCUGGAGGUAGGAGAUGAUGUUGACGUGUCAAGGGUGAUAUGUCAUUGAUUGUACAACUGGACAGUUGGCCAUUAACGAUUUAAACAACGUUAACAAAAAGGACCAAAUUAAACAAAAUUUACACUCUUUAGAAUAACAUUGGACAGAAAAAAAAACAUAGGGACCAAAGUGAACAAAUUUAACAAAAAUAGAGACAAUCAGGAGUAUUAAGCCAAAAUUUAAAUAACUCAAUUAAUUCAAACUUCCUUUACAAGUUUAAAGUUUUAGAAAAAUUACUAAAUUUCUUUCAUAGAAAUUAUUAUAAUCUCAAUAAAUAAAAAGUGUUUAUUGGUGUUGAUGUUAUUGAUUUUAUUUUAUAAUAAUAAAUAAUAAUAAUAAUAAUAAUAAUAAUAAUAAUAAUAAUAAUCCCACAAGAAGAUAUAACGUUGAAUAAUUCUUGAAUGAUGAAGAAUACUUCCUGAUCCCACAAGAAGUAUUGCAACAUGGAAAAUCUUGGAGCAAAACGAAAAAACAAUUCAACACAAAGCUAAGAAGAAUUCAACAAUUCAAACUUUAGACAGAGGAAUGAAGGUGAGGAUCGGUAGAGAGAACACUGAACAUCACCCUAUCUCUGGAUUUUCCUUUGUGGAACACAUACUUCCUAAGAACUCCCUCCCUCUGGAAACCAGCUUUUUCCAGCACUCUCUGAGACCCAACAUUCAGCACAUCAACAAGAGCUUCAAUCCUCUCCAAGUUUGGCAACGAUUGCUCACCGAAAGCAACCUUAACCACUUCUUUCACAACCACCGUGGCAACCCCUUUACCCCAGUAUUUNNAACCNAUAACAUAGCCAAGUUCCAUGGAUCUGUUCCUGCUUUGAUCAUGCUCUGANUUGGAGGAAAGAGAAACACACCCAAUAGCACGAUCGUUCAGGCAUAUUGCUCUGCACCACGCCAACUUGCUGGCUAUGUUUUGGAUGAAAUUGAUGCCCUCUUCUUUGCUACUAUAAGGAUCCCAAGUGCAGAAAGNUGCCACCUUUUCAUNGGAGGUCCACACCAAGACAUCAUCCAGGUCAGAGAGCUCAAGGGGUCGAAGAGAUAUUCGACUCAAAUCGACACUUUCUUCUUUUUCUUCUGAUUUCUCCAUUGGGUUGAUAUGGGGUUCUGAAUUUUACAGUAUCUAUGAAACACUGAAAAGGAACUUGAAUGGAAGAAGAAGAAAACGAUGGGUAUGAUAUAGUUUUAGAAUGGGAGUAGGGAUUAAAGAAAGGCUGCAGUAAGCUAUGGUUGACUUCCCUAGCCGCCCAAGACCAUGCUUACAUCUGAACUAUGAAAAACAUAUUUUUUAAUAUUUUAAAAAAGAUUGAAGAGAUAGGAAGAUCCGCAAUAACUCACAAUUAAUUUAAAUUUCCUUCACCAGUUUAAUGCUUUAGCAAUAUUAAAAGAAUUUCUUUCAUUAAUAGAUAUGAGGUAGGUAGAAGUUGUUAUAAUCUCAAUAAAUAAAAAAGUGUUUGGUGUUAAUAUUAUUGGUUUUAUUUUAUAAUAAUAAUAAUAGCCUCAAAGCCAUAAAAAAAAUUAAUUUAGUUUUAGUAAGUCAAUUAAUACUACCUCAUUUUGUCUUAUUAUUUUAUCUUUAUUUAACUGUUAUUUUUCAAGUCAAUGUUAAUUAAUCAUCUGAAGAAAAGAUUUAUCAUUGUUUUGAAACAAUUUCUGAAAUUUACGGAUCAUAGUUUUAAUAACAACGCAGAAGACAAGUGAUAGAGUGCAAACUAAGGAUUGCAUGGAGAGUUUUAUUGAUUAUUACAAUGCAAUUCUUGAUACAAGUCACUCGUACAAUUCUCAUGGAAGCUAAAACAUACAUACAGAUUUGCAAUAAGUUGCUACGAUCAGAUAAGUCUAAAUUGAAUAGUCUCUUAUUUCUUAUGACAAACCUUCAAUUUCACUAGCUAUGUUAACAAUUGAUAUGCUACUUGUAGAAACAUCCCAAACAAAGAAAUUACUCACAACAUACUUAUUCCUCAUUAGUUGAAGGCUUUGAACAUCCACAAGCACACCCCUUGCGCCGCCUUCUGCUAUUUUUCCUCCCAAUGCGAAUAAAAUCCUUCAGCAACACACCUGUUGUUGGUCUACAGAUUCUGUUGUUCUUCAUAUCAGCCAGUUUGAGCAGAAUAUAUUGGAUGUUCUGCACUUCAAACUGCAACCUUCCUAUUUGCUCAGAACCUCUUCGAGCCUGUUCUGAUAACUUCUUCCUUAUCACUUGUACUUGCUGCUUUUCCAACUUUCUUGUGUUUGUGUCUGAAGGUGAGGCUGUGCACAGUUCAAAAUCUCUUGCCAGUUGAUCAUACAUGCCAAUUUGUUGCGUGACGGCUUCCUCAACAUCUUCUAUGUGUCUUUUCACAGCUUCAUACUCAAUCUCGUUUACCUUAUUGCUUUUCUUCUUUGUCUCCGGCUUUUUCUUCAAGUCUUGCAGAGUCAUUUUAAGAAUGGCCAGCUUCUGAGAAUCGGAGGCAAGCCUCUCCAAGAUCCUCCUCUUGCCAUCUUCACUUGUCUCUUUUCCAGUCUUCCAUAGCUCUAGCUUGUCAACCCCUAGUUCCUUCUCUCUCUCCAGUUCUGAAGAGUAAUUUUGACAUUUUUCUGAGUCAUGCCAUGUGAUUACAUCUUCUACUGAAGUAGAAUCCAGUUUAGCAUCUUCAGUAACAUCAUGCUGAUCAGUUUCACAUAGCUCAAGCAUAUGGUCAUUGCUUCUACUGAGCUCUCUCUUACAAUACUUGUUGUAGUCCGGAUCAUCCUUGUAGUUAUCGAGAGGAAUGUCUAUCAUUAUCAACCGUUUUUGAGAUUUUGUUCUCCAUGCAUUAUGGCCACGUGUGCUGUUAUCUUUCUUAAUUUUCAUCACCAGCUUUUUGUUGUCAAUUUCUGGAUAAGUAGCAGCUUCCAGAUUUGAGUGCUCUGUCAUUUCUGAUACUGCUUCUCCUUCCACGUUUCCUGUCAGAUUUUCUUGCUUCAUACGUCUUUCAAGUUCUUCCAUCAUCAACUUCUCAACUCCUCUAAUCCUUUUCUGGAUGCUUAGCAAAUCUUCAACCACAUCUGGUUUUAAAAUACUUUCAUUUCCUUUUAAACUUUGAUGGGUAUUUUCUUGGAGACAAGUCUCAGAGGCCACAUCCUGGAUAAACAUUCAAGGUAGACGUGGAUAAGUAGAAAAUGUAAGUGAACUACAUAAGCUGUUUUUACAAGAGAAAAGGAGGAAAAAAAAAAUACAAGUACAUAAUAUCUAGUUCAAAGAGGAUGCUACCUUCUUCCCCCUGUUGCCUACAGCAAAAGAAUUUUUGGUGCAAAGCAAGUAAGUGUGCUCUAGAGAUGCAAAAUCCUCUUUUAAAGAAGUAACUGUUGGAGUAUAUGCAGAUAAUUGCCCCUUCAGCCCUCUAUUUUCGUUUUCCAGUAAACUGACCCUUUCUAUCAUCUGUUCAAUCACCAAGUCUUUUCCAGCACCUUCAUCGUCAAGUCUCUUGCAGACUCCAGUAAGUUCAGUGACCUUGCUUUUCAACAGUUCUUCACUAAUUGAUGAAAUCUGAAGCUGCAAAUAAAACGCAGCAGCCUCAGCCUCCCAAAGCUGAAAUUCAUUUGUUUUGGCCAACAACUCAGAAUUCAGUGUUUGCUCCUUAGCCUUGUGUUGUUCAACUUCUUGAGAUAACGAUUUCAUCACCGACUUCAAGCUUCUAUUUUCUUCAUGAAGGUGUUCAAUUUCUUUUUUCUUAUUCAUGCAAUUUUCUGAUAGAUCAAGAAUCUGCCUGUCAAGGUUUAAUCUGGUCAAUCUUGAUUCUUCUUGAUCCAUCUUCAGCUCCUCAAUAUAUCUGCAAAACUCUUCAUUUAAUGUCUCUGCAGCCCUCAGCCUUUUUAUCAUUUCUAGAAGCUCUACGUCCUUCUUCUCGAGAAGAUUCUCUGAAUUCUUAACUUGAUGACUUAAACGGCAAUUUGCACCUUUUAUUUCCUGCAGCUCUUUAUCCAUCCUCUCAGUAGACUCAUUCAGAUAAACAUUCUCGGCUUCUUUCACCUCAAUCUUUUUCCUUAACAUAUCAAGUUCCUGAUGAAGGUCACUGUUUAAACGGCUAAGAUUACUGCUGAGAUAUUCAGAAAGUGCUUUUUGCUCAAUGACUUUGUCGGAGACAAGGUGUUCAUAAACUAAGUUGAGGUUGCUUAGGGCUAGUACCUCUCGUAGGAUCAUGCUGUUUUCAUCUUCAGCCACGGAAAUUGCAUCUUUUAGGUCCAAAACACUCCUAAGCAGUAAAUUCUUUUCCUCAAGGAUCUUACUAUUUUCUUCCUGAAACAAUUGAUUUGUUCUUUGCAAAUCAUUCAACUCUGCACGUACAGCAGCCAAUUUGGACUUUGAUGCAUUGGCUCUUUCUUCUCCAUUGGCCACUGCAGUCCUCAGUUGGCUGUUCUUCUCCAGGAGCUCAACCUUCUCUUUCUGCAACAUUGCGUUCUUCUCUCUCAGGCUCUCAAACUCUUGCAGCAUGAUAUUUUUCUCUGACUCCAUUUUUUCUCUCUCAGAUCGAUUUUGCUGAAGGAGAUGCUGCUUCUCCUCUUGGCUUUUCACACAAGAACUUUUGAAGCUCUCAAUGAUGUCCAAAAUAUGCAAUAUUGGUAUUUCCUCUUGCUUGGUUCCUUUGUCAUGACCAUCACAUGAAUCAAUCUGAAGAGCCCCACACACUUGAUGAAUAGCCAUUUUAAGCUUUCUAAUUUCAUUUAACAAAACCUCUUCUUCUAUCAGUUGCAUAAAGUUUUCGGCCUCCAACUCCGAGAUAACUUUGUUACAAAAUUUUGAUGCCUCAGCAUGCUUUUCACAUUCAGAUAUCAAGGCCAAAUUCUUCUCCUUCAGAUCUUCUAUACAACUUUGCAAAAUGAACAUCUCGACCUGAGCAUUUACAGCUCUGUCAACUUCUUUUUCAAAUUCUAUCUUCCCCAAACGAAGUUCUUCCUGUAGUGCAUGAAAAAUAUUCUCCAAAUUUGUCAGUCGAACUUCACUUAACUGUUUAUGAUUAGCAUGCUUUUCCGUUUGCACCAAAAUUGAAGCAUGGAGCUCCCGUACUUGAUGGCAUGUGCUUUCUUUGUCCUUCUCCGAGUCGGCAUAUUUUUCUUCUAGUUUUGUGAACAUCUUUUCCAGGUUACUUAGCUUUAACUCAACGCUUUCCAACUGAGAUACUAGAAUGCUUCUUUCGUUUAGAAGAUCGUACUUCUCAUCGUUUAACAACUUGCAAAACUCUUCCAAGUCACUUGAUUUUGCCUUCAAACCUUCCAGCUCGAACUUUGAAUCAGACAGGGACUUCUCCAGCAAGGCAUUCUUCUCCAAUAGCUUCUGCAUACUUUCGGUGACUAUUUGUAACUGUGAAAGUAAAGCUGAUUUCUCAUCAACGACAGUGGAUUUUUCUUCCCGGAGAACAUGGCAAGACUCUUGAAAUUUCUUCACUGUUGCUUUUAAUCCAUCCAGUUCAUCAUUUAAACUUGAAAGGGAAAAUUCCAUGAAGGCGUUCUGUAGCAAAAGUUCAUCCAUAUCCUUUGACUUUUCACGAAGAGCUUCUUUCUCAUUACGCUCCACUUUGCAGACCUCCUUUAGAUUUGCGUUCUCGUUUUGUAAAUCUUUCACAGAUGCUGCAAAACCUUUAGGAUCCAAACCUAAAGUCUGUAGUUGUUCCAGCAUAGCAUGGUAUCUAUUAUUCAAGUACUGGAUAUCAUUCUUUAUUUGAUGAGCUUCCUGCUGGAGGGCAUCGUUUUCUUCAGAGUUUGCAACGAAUUCUCGUUCAAGCUUCUCUUUGAUCUCCUUUAAUUUAGUGAUUUCCAUUUGCUGUCUUCUGAAUAAUGACCUAGUGGAAGAGAAAGUAAGUUCACUCAGCAUUCUAUUUUCUUCCACGCUCUCUUGCAUUUCAUCCUUAAAACCUGGUUUGGAAAGCUCCAAGUUCUUCAACAACUGAAGCCCAUAUUUAAGCUCCAUAACAAGAGUUCCUUGCUCCUGUUGUGACUUGGAGUACACCUUUUGCAGAGUCUGCAGAGUGGAUUCAAUUUCAAGAAAGUGAGAGUGCUCUUCGUGCAUUAGAGUCUCCAGCCUCUCUAACUCAGCAUGCUUCUCUAAAAGUGCCUGAUCCUUCAUGGCUAUCUUCUGCAAGAGAUUUUCAGCCUCCAGUCGAAGAGAUUGAUUUGAUUUCUCCAACGUAUCACAAUUUUCUUCUGCAGCCUUAAGCUUUUCAGUGCCUUUCUCAAUCUCCCUGCUGAGCUUUUCGGAAUUUUCUUGGGCACGUGAAAUAUCAUUCUCCAUUUUAGAUAUUUUCUCCAAGCAUCGAUGGUAAAGGACAGCUAAUGAUUCUUUCUCUUCAGUCAAUUCAGCAAGAUUUUUUCUCAGUGCUUUAAUUUCUGCUUCUGCUCUUCCAAGUUGCUCACUUAACAUCCGGGAGUUCUCUUCACCAUGGGUUAUCCUGGCUUCCAGAAGAGAGAUCUUUUCAAGAUUCUGCUUAUAUUUAAGAAGACCAGCAUCUUUCUGAGCUUCCAAUUGGCCGAGUUCUUGCCUUAGCUUUUUUGCUUCGAUUUCAGCCGUAGAAUAUUUCUCAUCAAAUUCCUUGGCGUCCAUCUGCGCCAGAGAUAGCAUAUUCUCUAGUUUAGCUAUACUUUCUAGACACUGGUUGUACUGAACUUGACCAGCAUCCUUCUCAGAUUUUAACUGUGCCAGAGCUUCCUUCAGAACUUUAGUUUCAAUUUCAGCUUUACUCGCUCUUUCAUCAAGGCCUCCUGCAUUUUGUUGUGCCUUAUUAAGAUUGCUUUCCAUUUCAGAUAACUUCUCCAUACUAUUCUGAUACUGAAGAAAGAUGGCAUCCUUGUCAGACUGUAUUUUUGCCAGGGCUUUCCUCAAGGUUUGAACUUCACCAUCUGCUUUCUCUGAAUGCUCAGACUCAGAAUAUAAUGCAGAAGGAACUCCUGGUGUGUGUGAUUCAACACACGGUGAAUCAUCAUUCAGCAUGUAUUGUGCUUGGUUGGGAAAUGCUUCUGCCAUGGUUUUAUGGGCAUGACGUAGCUCCCCCAUUGCAUGAUCGUAUCUCUCUGCUAGAGCACGGUAUGCUCGGUAGAACUCCUCCACUAAUUUCAUGAGCUCCGGCCGCUUCUUGUAGUACAUUUCUGCCCUCCUUGCAAAUGAAUCUGCUUCCUCAUCAAUGAGCUUGAUCAUGGCUUUCACUUUGGCAUCUAUGUCUGUAAAAAAAUAGCACCACUUCAGUCAAUGUACUAACCAAGAUAUGCAUCAUGGUCCCUAACCAGCUUCAUUUCCUUAUUACUCGCACUUACAUAUGAUAGCAUCUUCCACAAAACAUAACAGCCAGAUUCAUUAUUUAAAAGAUGUCUGCAUCCUCUUUUGUUUAUGUCUUCCUUUCAACAUUGUCUUAUUUCACAUGUUCAUAUAAUUUCUUAGAUGGCAUAUUUUGCACAACUUUUAAUGCCACAAAGUCGAACAACGAGUCCAAAAAAAUAAAAUGUAAAAGUGGUUCAAUCUUGGUUUGUGUAUAGAACAGGCAUCCCAUGAAAAGGAAAUAUUGUCUUCGUAUUCAGAUCCUUGGAUUCGCUAUGUGUUAUUAUUAUUUCAAUUUUACAAAAGAGGUUACAAGAAAAAUUAAUCUCAUAUCUGAUUUACUGAAUUUGGAGUUACACUUGCUUUUCACUUUUUAAAAAUAACUAGAAAAAGUUUAAGAACCAUAUUCAUAUAUACAUACUCAUCAACUGGUUUGAGCCUCAAUAUCCAUCAUUAAUUUAAACGUAAUGAGUUCUGAUUUAAUGAUUAUGUUGGCAUCCAAACAGCAAAAUGAAAAGUGAAUAUAAUAUUCCUGCUGGGUAGUUGAUGGCUCACACUUUUGUCUUUUAGAAGACUGAUGGUGCUAAUGAUUUUAUUUUAUGACAAUAUGAUAGAGGAUUUUUUGAUUUUGACACAAUAUGAUAUUACCAACCAACGAUAGAUCGGCUAAAGAUGCUAUAAUGAAAUUAGGUCAUCUUAAUCCUAAGCCUGUGAGAGAAAACUAACGGUCAUCUUCAAAAAAUUAAGAAUGCUAAUCAUAAUUAUAAACACGUACACUUUUUCUAUUAUUUGAUUUUUCUUCAUAGAGAAAGAGAAAGAGAGAGAGGAAGAAGACACACCUGCAAGGUUUUCCUGAAGCCAUUUUGAAUUCUUUGGUAGGUGGCUAUCCCACCACCAAGAAUAUGAGCGCCGGGACUCAGAAUGAGACAAGGUUGCCAUGACUCCAGAAAAUUAUGAGAACACAAAUAGUUUUGAUUUGCCAAAAGCCUAAUACUAGAUACAGGCUAGACUAUAAGAUCAUAUAUUUCCACCACAAGCGUCUUUCUAAUUUGAGACUCUUCAGGACUGUUUCACCAUUCUGUGUACCUAUCAUCAAAUGAAUGUCAACAUAAGUACAUUUGAUAAGGAGUGCUCCAGAUUCAUCAGAAGUCCAACUUUAUUCCCAUGGCUUACUGUAUAGAAAGUUGCAAACUCUUUCCGUUCUAUUACCGGGCAGAUUGGACACAGCUUUAGCUGAUCAGUGAAAGGAACCUCUUGUUUCAGCUGCUCAGACAAUUUGAUAUUGGGGAGAACUGCCACAAAGAAGGGAACUAGAAAGAGUAAACAAGAGGGUAACAGAAUAGCACGGAAUAUGGAAUGCCUGAUAGAAGCAUCAAUCCUUCACGAUGAUCAAUUCAACUGUAUUAGAUAAAACAAAUACUUCUUAAUGUAAAAGGGUUCCAAAAUCCAGCCACAAAUGCAAUAUACAUUUUCUAAAUUUGGUAUCUAAAGGAUUGAUGAAAAAAUUGACCUCAGGGAAGAGCAAAUUCUAUAAUCAAAAUAUGCACCCAUGAAAGACCAACAAAAUGUCAGCAGAGGAAGUAUACAAAUAAAAUAUCAGGUAGGCGGAUCAUAGUAAAAAUGAUUGAUGAUCAUGAAUAGUUAAAGGAGAAAAGAGAAAUGCACAGUAAAAGUUGCAGUCACGGAAAAGAAAGGGUGCAUCAAAAGGUAGUGGUGAAGAUAAAAACGAUUUAUGAGUUGAGCAAAAGCCUGUAUGAGAUCAUGUACUCACCAAGCGAAUGAUCUUGAUUAACUACCACUUCAAGGAACAAAAUACCAUCAAACGAAGCAAAUGGGUGUCUAGAAAAGCAUAAAAAGCAUGGUUCUUUGGAGCAAUUGGGAUGAAACAGAGCCAAGAAAGGUGGAAUCUGAGGCCUGGAUCUUCACCAGCAGCUGUGAUGCUGAAAACAGAACCCCCAGCAGCUGCAAAACUUCUAUCUUACCCCAUUUUCUCAAUCUGGAAGACACAAAGUGGCAAUCUUUGAAGUGGGGUAUUGGCAAUAUAGAAUUGUGUCGUGUCGGCUCUGACACAUAUGACUCGUCAACUGUAAAAAGGAGAAUGUACAAACACAGAGCACGGAAAAGAGUGCUGUGGUUUAGUUAAUAAUCAUGUUGUUUUGGAGAGAUUAUUAUAAUAAUUAGCGUUACAGUAUCCUCUAAGGAAAGGAUGCGUGCGAAUGCAUAGAAGAAGAAUCCACCAUUUCAACCAACGUUAAUGGGAUCCAAAAUCAUGAUUAUGUUUUAAUCACUGCAAUUAAACAUUAUAAAAUUGGAUAACGAUAUUUUCACAAUAUUCUUUUAUAACAUUUUAUCCCAUUCUUCUUUGUGACAGUCAUGAUUGAAUUAUUAUUCACCUCUCCUCACUCUGAAAAUUUCAAACAAAAACAGUGCAUAUCAUCUCCGGGAAUCAAGGGAUUUCUUUUUUAAAAAGAAAAUCAUUUUUUUAAAUUUAAAUUAUUUAUUUGUUGUAUACAUAAAUACAUUCACACGUUAUUAAAGAAAGAAAAAAUGUUUUCUUUCCUGCAAUUUUAAAGAGACUUUCCUACUACACAAUUUUGUCUAUAUUCGUGAACCUUCAAUUAUAGAAAUUAUAAUUUUUAAAUUAUGUUCCAAUAGUAAAAGAUCUAACUAGGAAAUAUUCAUAUAAAAUUUCCACAAAUUUUUAUCAAGGUAUCAAAUAAUUUAAUACAAUAAUAUGCUUUUUUAAAUAAUUAUUUAUGGAUUAUUGUAAUCAUUUUUGGAAAACAUUGAUUUCUUGCAAUCUUUUAUUGUAAAACUCAAACCAAAUAUAAGAAGUAUUUUUUAUUUUAUUUAUAUUUUAGAUCCCUAGAAUUUACUAAUAUUUCCUUAAUUUAAAUAUUUUUAAUAUAUAUUGUUUUUCUUCCUCUAACUAAUUUACUUGCGUCUUUUAAGUACAAACUAUUAUUAGAUAAAGUACUUGGAUCCUACUGAGAUAUAUGCAUGUGGUACUUUGCAAUCAAACUAUUUGUACACAAGGGUAAGAAAUUAACUGUAAUUACCAUUAAGUUUAUCAUGAGGAAGGUUAAAACACAAAAAAUUGUCCGAUUAUUUAAAACAGUGCUAUGAUUAGUUUAAAUAAUUAUUUAUGGAUUAUUAUAUUAAAUAAUUUCAUUUAUUUUUCAAACUCAAUCUGGUCCGAAUUCGUGAUGAACCGGAUUGGUUCACGGAUUACAAUUCUACUUAGAAGAAUUAGUCUCUUAUCCCAUGAAAUUAUAAAUUUUACAGGCUUAAUAACUUCAUUAUAUCCAUUGCCGUUGAAAGGUUGAUGAUAAGUUAAAUAAAGCUUUAGAAUGGUAGUUGGUUUUCAAAUGAAUUCCCUAACGAAAGGCAAACAUUAAAUUGUUUAAUUAUUUCGGUAGAUACAUAAGUUAGAACUCCAACCUAGAUCAAUUUAUAGAAAAAUGAUAUUUUGAUGUAUAAAUUUUCUUACAUUCGUUUAGUGGGUGUAAUUUUUAUGAGUUGAAUUAAAUUUAAUUUUUUUAACAAUAUAGUUAAAUUUAUAUUAUAAUGUUUUGAUUUUCAAGCAUAUUGAGUGUUAUUGACAAGAAAUUAAUAGUUUGUAAGUAAUGUUUAAUGAAUGUAGAAGACAAUGUUAAAGUUGUGGCAAUGAUGUUUGUUUCUUGCGGGGUUGAAGGUAGAAAUAAUGAUUAGUUGGUUCCAGCUACGUGUUUUUUUGUUUUUGACCGAACCGACAAUAAAUGGGGAUUGGAUUGGAAUAUAAAGUUUGUAAGUUUUGGUGCUUCAUAUAUAUUUAUUCGUAUAUAUAGAAUGACAAAAAUUGGAAUAAAGAAAAGUGGGAUUCUAAAGUCAAAAGGUAUGGUGGUUGUAAGAGUUUGUCUUUUGUAAAAUACAAUUCAUUAAACAAUUAUUAGACCUACUACUAUGAAUACACAUUACAAAUAAUUGUGGUUUAUGAAGAAUACAGUGUCGUGAGACUUCAGCGUUAGAGUGUUUUUUAUAAUACGCGUCUGUUCGAUUUGAAGAAGAAAGAAGGAAGAAGAAUGAACUUGGGAGAACAAAACGAUCGCUCAGUCUACAACGUAUUCGUCUGGCCUUCAAGAUUCGUUUGGUCUUAGAGACAAGGAAGAAGGUUUGUUCGGUCUUCAACUUGGAACAUUUUGAACUACAUCCGUCCACUUUGAGUGCUUAUGUCCAUCCUAAACUGUGUCCAUCCGGUCUUAAAGUUAACAUAGAGUGUUUUGAACAAGAAGUCCCAUAUUUAAUCGAAACAACACACAAUCAAGUUGAAUUUGCAAUUGGAUAAUGAUAUACUUUGAUAAUAUUUUUUUGAUAAUAUUUUAACACUACUUAUGUGUUAUUCUAUGAUUGGUCAAUGUUAGUGUUUAUAAUUAUUAGUAUUGAUUGUGAAGUAAUUUUGAACUAAUCACAUAAUGACAAGUAAACAAUUUUAAAAUAUUGUCAACAAAAUAUUUUAAAAGUAUCAUUAUUCUUUACAAUUUUAUGACACUAUUCAUUUUUGUUUUCAAACCAGGAUUAAGAAUGUUUUUGUUUUGAAUGAUGUAAAGUAAUGUAGAAGAAUUCUGCAUUCCAUUUAAACCGGUACGGUAAGUACAUGUAUAAAUGGAUUUCGAAUCAGAAAUUUCACAUUAAAUGUAAUAAUAUGUAAGAAGAUUUCGAAGAUUUCAUGUUAAGUAGAAGGAAGGCAGAGUUACAGUAAAUAAGUGGUUUAAAUCUUAAAUAAGGUUUUGUUUUAGAGAUGUCACAUUUACUAAAAAUAAUAUAAAUUUAAAAUGUAUAAAUUAGAUAUUAAAUAAAGUUUUGUUUUAGAUAUCACGUUAAAUAUAAAUAAUAAAAAUUUAGAAUAUAUAAAUUAAAUAUAAAUUUUAUUUUAUUAACUAGUUUUAUAGAAUUGAAUUUGAUUUAAAAUUGAUUUUACGUAAUGUAUUAUAUGAUCAUCCGAUCAAUUACAACUUGAAUCGUCAACUAUUAUAGACGACAUAAUCAUUAAGUCCAAAUAGUUACGUAAAAAACUGGAUGAUUAAUAAAAUUAUAUGAAUGACUCAUUUAAUUCAGACGGUUGAUCAUCUAAUAGAUCUUUCGAUCAUCUAAUAGAUCGUCCAGUCAUACAUCAAAUCGGAUGAUCAAUUAAAUUAUUCAGAUGACAAGUUGUUGAGCUCGGACAAUCACCUAACAAAUGUCUUGGCAUAUAUUAGUCUGGAUGAUCAACCAAACCACCUGGGUGACUAAUUGUUAAACCCAGACAAUCACCUGACAGACUAUCUGAUCAUACAUGAGACCGAUCAGUCUAAACAGUACGAAAACAUAUCAAUCUUAAAAUCGAUUAACUAAAGAUUAAAAUAUAAUUAUUCACAUUUGAGUCGUAGUCAUGAAGACUUUAAUUAAAAGAUCAUCAUAAAAUUUAUAAAUAAAAUUUGAAGAAUAAGGUAUGUUACAUAUUAAUUAAAACAUUCAUUAUUAUCUGUCUUAAAAUAUCAAAAUACCUUUAAUAGAUACCAUCCAAACUGUUUAAACACACGAGACCUCUCAUUGAACAAAACCUAAACUUUAAAUGACACAAUAAAUACUAGAUAGUUAACCUUAACCUGAUACCAAAAACACACAACAAAUUUACUAUACUAAAGUUUAAGUUAAAGAUAAUCUCAUAUGACUAAUAUAGUAAUAUAUGAAGUGAUUCAUGAGCGAAAACUCGUUCAAUUCAGGAUGGACUCUAAAAGAAAGGAAGAAAAAUGUUCCUUUUUAAUGAUUUAUUUUGGUGGUAACUCUUGAUUUGAUGUUACUAGCCAACCAAAGUGAAAUGGUUAGAAGAGAGGUUGGAAAGGACGACCCACAUGAUGUGAUUUUACUCCUCACAUUUCCCAUUCUCUCUAAACAUCAUUGGUUGUACGCAAACCUUUGUCAAGAACACACAUAUUGGAGAAAUUUAGGUUAUCUCUCUUCUUAAUUUCAACUUCUAAGACCAGCCCAACUCUCACCUACCUCAACACCUACAAGUCUUUCAAUUUCCAAAUCUAGAAGCCACCCUCUUCAUUGCAUCGUCCCAUUAUAGAACUCACAAUACAUUCAAAUCUAAAUCUAUUUUUUCCUUUUAUCAGUUGCACCCACUUUAUCUUUCAUGGCUCUUUUAUUUUUUCAAGGGUGGUAUUAUAUGAAAAUAUAUAUUUUUACACAAUUUUUUUUUAAUAAUUUUAAUAAAAAAAAAUGACACAUUAAAAUAGUUAAUAUUUGUAAGAGAAUAAUUACGUUGAAGUCAAAGAGAUUUUAAGGAACAGUCAAAGCCAAUCCCAUAUUCAUUCAACAUUCAACAUAGCUCAUCAUUGGUCUACAGAAAUUUUCGAAACCUUAUUCAAUUCAAAAUUUUCAAUAUUGUUGGUAAAUAGAAGAUUUAGUGUUAUCUUAGGAAGGAGCAAUCUGAGGCAAUGUUUUGAUGGUGGAGAUUUCUGAAAGAAAGCUUGCUCACACCACGAACACUGAAAUAGUGAAAUCUCACCUCUCGUAAUAGCUAUUUCAACUAACAGAUGAGUAUGUAUGAGUGAACCCAACCACCUUUUCUCUCAAAUCAUUCAGACCAAAGCCACUUUUUCUGUAAUAUGUAACUAUGAUGUCCAUCAAAACAUUCAGACAAUCCACAAAACAAAUAACUAAAUUACUAAAUAGUUUUAGUGCUGGUAGUUAAGAAGUGUAUUUGCAACCCACAAAUGUACUCCUUUUAUCUUUUCAUAUGCAAAACUUUCAAUUUAUUCUCUCACACUCAAUAUAUAUACAUAUUAUAUGUAUUAAUGUUUUGAUAGGAUUAAGAUCGCUAAUAUAAAAACAUUUAAAGUUCUUCUAAUUUUAGUCUGGGAAGGGUGCAUGAAAAAAACAUUCCAACAUUCAAACAUUCCAACAUUCAAGUUAGUAACUUUUUAUAAUAAUCUUGUAAUAAAGAUUAAUCAUUAGAGUUAAAUUACCUGUUUAAUCUGUUAGACAAAUAUUUAUAAACAUUACAAUGAGCUUACUGUUACGUCUGACUUAUUAAUCACCAAUAAAUGACAUUAUUCCUAUUAAUUAAUAAUAAAUGACAAUUAUAUUCAUUAAUUUUCCUAUCCUGACAUAAUAAUCCUACCACACAAUUAUAAUUUUAAGUAUGAAUUUAAGUUACAUAUUGGAUAAAAAUAAGAAAAUAAAACCAUUAAAGAUCUAUUAAUCUAUUUUAGAUAGAAAAUAAUAUUAAUUUCUUAUGUGGUUAAACUCAAAUUUUAUUAAAAUCAUACAUUUUUAAUAAGUUUUAAAUUUAAUUUAACCUCCCACAACUUAUUUAUAAAAUAAAAUUUGUAUCUAUAUAUUUAAAUGAUUUCAUUUAUAGUGAAAGUGAAACUUCUUUGUUACAAUUUAGCAACAUAUUUGUUAGAAUAAAAAUAGAAACAAAUGUUUCAAUUAUAAUACCCAUUUUAGGAAAACUAUCAUGUCUUAGUUGUUAAAAUGUCACAUUUUGAAGGCGUAAAAGAAGACUGUGAAGUGUGCACUAGUUUCCUGAAAAUUCUGUAGAAAGACAAGUUAAAAAGAUAAGUUGUGGUCCAAAGCUAAGUUUCUUUUUUAUUCUCUUCUUUUUCAAGCACCAUUUUUACAUGAAUAAUAAAUGCAAAACUUUCUCAUAAAUAAAUACAAGAACAAUGAAAGAAUAAAAAAUAUGGAGGAGGUCAAAACCAUCAAAGAGCACUUACAAAUUAUGAUUUUUUUAUCCUUAUAUUUGUUCCUAAAUUCAGAUAAGAAUAGAGGUAUUAAUUUUAUUUAAAUAUUUUAAUUUAAAGAGAUUAUUAAAUAAGGAAAAAAGUUAAUAUGAGAAAAUUUGUUGUAUUAAUAUUUUAUAAGCGUUGUCAUUUUUUGAAUAAAAAAAAAUAAAAAAUGUCUAUUUAUUUUUUUGAAAUGGACUUAAUAAUAAUUAGGAAAGAAAAAAUUGUCUGAGUUAUAAAUUUUGUUUUUAAUAAAAGUUAGUAAUAGAUGUGUAGUAAAAAAAUAAAGAAUAAGAUAAGUUCAUUGAAAAAAUAAUUAUUUAGUUUAGAGCACACAUUCCAUGAUUCAAGCAACCAUACUAAUAACUUAGCUGAAUAUUAGGAAAUAGCAAAUUCAUUAACGUUAAGAAUGGAUUCAAAACAAAGCAAAUUGACUUACUCAAUAAAACAAAUAUGAAAGCUUCUUCAAGAUAUAUGCAACAUCUAAAAACUAAGUGUUUUUUGCUUUAAAUUUGAUGAUGAAAGAAUGCCCUGUAUAUGGAGGAGACAAAAGAGCAGAAUCAAAAUCAAAAGUAGAUGUGUAUAGUUUUAUGCAAUGGAUUCAACAAUUUAUGCACUUGACAGUCACAAAAUUUCAGUCUUCUGUUUAUACCUGGAAGUCAAAACAGACAGUAGUAGUAGGAUUCAACAGAUUAUAUUAAGAUGCAUCCUCAGGAACUUAAUCAUAAAGAAAUGGCCAAAAUCACAACAGAAAAAUGUAAAGAUUAAUCCCCGGGAAUGAUUAUAACUAUUACUUAAAUAGUACAUUAUCCAAGGAAUGCAACAUAUUAUUACCAAAGUAAAACGGAGAUCAAUAUAUAUAAAAAGACUAAGGCGUAGCUUCUAUUGCAACAAACUAAGAACAUGAUUAACAGGGAAGAAGAGAGAGACUAACUUAGAACCCAUUCUAAGGGUGAGGGGUGAGAGAAGGAAAUGAAGGAAUGGAUUGUAAUAUCAACUUUCUGCCACCUCUGCGACUAGGAGAUGAUCCCAUGUCACAGCUGGGAGAGGAGAUCCUCUUGCCAUUUGGAGAAGAAGUUUUAAUGCAUGUGAUAGGAGAGGUAUCACCUAGUAGAAUAUCCUGCAUUUCAUCAUCUGGGACACUUUGAAAAUGCUUGGAUUGAGACCAAAGAGAGUUUGUUUUCCCAAGCUUUUGGCUGGCAAACAAUGCAGAGCCUGAGAUGGUGGUAACGAAGGAUCUUGGUGCCUUUCCCUUUGAUGAAAAGGGCAACGGAACAAAAGGCCUGUCCCACGGAAAUGAAAUAACAUAUAAGAGACUAUUCUUUUGUUCAUUAUCUCAACUGUACAAAAGUCAGCAUUCCAAACCUGGAGAGUCGUAAUGGUGUUGACAUAGCAGCAGAAUCAGGAUGAUCUUCAGCAGUGUUCUGAAUUUCUAUUUUCUGUGAAGCUUUUUCUGGCAUACCCUUGUCAGUUGCUUCCGUUUCUUCUUGCUCAGUUUCUAUGCUUACAGGAGCAGAACCUGAACCAAAAAUAAGGAAUUGUGUCAAUUCAUAACUACAGGAAUAUUAUUUACCAUUUAAGAAACAAUCGAAAUGCUGAAGACAUUUCUAACUGAUGAAAUUGAUAGUCAACUAGUUCAUCCUGACUGAAAACUUACCAUCUUUUCUGCCGAAAGCAUUCUUGCAUCCUUCACAUCUACAGCCAAUGGAGCAACCGACACCACCCUUCAAAUAAAAAAAAAAAACAUUUGUAAUUCAUAUUAUAACUUAAAUUGAAAGCAUACAAGAUGGGAUGAUGAUGGACAAGGGUGCAAACCUGAUAACAUUCACAAUAUUUCUUUAGGCAGCUGGAUUUUUUGCAGUUGCAUCCUCUUUUGUGUCGUGCUGAAGCCGGAGUUUUAUUUGGAUCAUCCUGCAAGAAGAUAAUAAUUAACACCCAACAAAAGGUGGUUUAAAUUGCACACGUGAAAAACCAAGUUUAUUUUCUAACCCCAAUUUCAGGAACAGAAUCAGAACUUCUGAUGACUUUAGGAGCAAAUGCAAGAGGGUUUCGAGAUUCAAUCUGCUUGCGAGUUUGAAGAACAGUGUCUUCAUGAACAGGUUUGUUGAAGCAAUCCUGACAGGAGCAGGGUUCUAUGCAGUAGACACCAGCAGCAAAGCACUCGCAGUAACUGAUACAAAAAGAAAAGGUAAAUAAGGGCAAUUUCAAAUUUUGACUACUUUGAGGUCAUUUUCUUUUCCUUUCAUGCAAUGAGAGCUUCAUAAAGUUAGGACAUUAACCGAUGUACCAUAUUCCAAUUCUGCAACCCAAGAAUGAAUAUAAAUAAGAUUCUUUUCAAACUUACAGCUUCAAACACUUUGACUUCUUGCAGUUGCAGCGUUUACAGCCCUCAGUUUCUCCAGGUGUCUCCAACUUACGCCUGCAAAUCAAACUUGAUAUGAGCUAAUGAAGAAAGGAAAAGUUCAAAACAACGAAAUGCACAGGGAAUCAACAACUGCACUUGCUUUUUCUUUCUGGGGCUAUUCUUAUUGAAGUCUUCACCAGCCAUGUAAACUGAUGGCUGGGAACAAUCUUCGGUAGGCUGAAGCCCAUUGUCUGAUGAAUCCAAAUCUCUUUCAGAUGAUACAGGAACCAACGAUAGAUGCUGCUGUUCUUGGCUUGUAGAGAUUUGCAAAGAAGUAGAGUUGGGCAGACUGAGUUGUCUUCCAGAAGACAAAUUUUCAAUUUGUAUUCCCUUGUAUUCUUUUAAGGCAGCAAGUGCAUUCAGGUGUAGACCAAUUCCCUGCAAAAUCCCCCUCUGAUUGAGUUUUGCUGGAAGAAGUUGCUUUUCAUUGGCAACAUUCCUCUCAUCAGACUCGGAUGUACUUGAACUGCCUUUUGAAUUAUCAUCAGAGUUCUUCUUUUGCACAUUGGCCAUCUCAAAGUCCAGACAACGCCUCCGUAUGGCACGGUGCGUGACAGAAACAAGCUGAAACCAAAACCCAACAGUGCUUACAGAUUAGUUUGAUAUAUUCAUUUAUAAACAAGCAGGAAGAAGACAGUUUCAAAUGUAUAAAGCACCGAUCGGCUAUAACUACAUUAAUAAAGUCACAACAAAACGAGGGAACCAACUAUAACAUGCAAUCAUACACUUAAAAAUGUGGAAACAGUGCAUCAUUGUACAGAUGAAUUUUUUCUGUUGAAAAAUAUUUAAUUGCCGAUAUACAUAUUUCAUACCAAAAUCAAAACAACAGAUUUCACAUGCCUACCUGAUCAUUUGCGUUCUCGUUAUAAUUGCUAGUUACCAAAACAACAUCGGCAAGAUUAUCCCGUGUUUGAUCCGUGUCCGUGGCUGCGAUCGUUGGCUGAGAACAGUGAUCUCCUAUUUCAUGUUCAGAACCUGAAGCAACCGAAUCAACAAUGAACAUUUUCCUACCAUUAUGGACAGCAGAAAGUGGCAGCACAGACAUAAAAUCGCUCAGUCGUAUAGAAGGAUCCAACGGUUUGUUCAUCAGACCCUUAAAAGCUUCUGCUUCACCUGGGGAAUUAAAAAUUAGCAUAUCAGAGCCAUCAGGAAUUAAACUAUCCCAAUAACAGUCUGGAUCUUCACUUUUUGGCUCCAUCUGACAUAUUUCCUGAAGAUGAACUUCACUCUCGACUGAAUCAGUUUUACACCCUUCCUGAACGUAGCCAGCAUCUGCUGCUGCCUCACCGGGCAGUUCCAAAAGAGUGUUAUCCUCAUGAUCACAAAUUGAGGGAUCAUAGCCAGGGCUACCGCAAGUGUCAUACUUUAAACUUUGCUGCGGCUCAACUGAGAAUUUUAUGUGCUCGCUAGAUAGCUCAAUUGAAGCCCUUUUUUCAGUGUUCUCCUGCGAUUCACUCUUGUUAUGAUGGGCACGCUUAGAAUCUGCAAGAGUCUCUUCUUCACUUGUGUGAACUUUAUUUACAUCUUCGGAAGAAACCUUAGGCUUCCAUGUGCCCAAUGGGAUAUGUCUAAAGACGAACAAUUGCCAAGAACAAUAGAUGGAUCACUAUAUAUAUAACUCAAUGUUACCAAAAAACGACAUAAAAAUCAGAAAUUUUCAAAAUUACCGUCUGAGGAAUCUAGAUUCCUUGAGACAGCUGACGUGGGGUGAUGUGAAAACGGAUGGAGGUGACGAAAAGCUCAGUGAAUUGAAAGUCUGACUAAUGGGAACAGACUUCACGGGCUUUAUAGGAGACAAACUGUUGAUAUAAUUGAAAACAGGUGAAUCCUGCAAAUGGAAAAUGUUAAAAAAAAUAUAUAUAUAUACUGGAUAAAUUGAAGGAUACACACAGGAAUAAGGUAACUUGAGCUACCAAAAAUAAAAAUAAAAAGGGAGAAAAUCAUUCCAUAAUUUGCCGACAACUACAACAAAUCAGAAUAAUUUACAAAUCAUUCUUAACAGACCAGAUCUGACAAGAAUUACUCGUUGAACAUUAUAAAACAAUACGAGAAUGUACUACGUAACUGAUUGUAGAAACUGUUUGUGAAGCUUGUGGUGAAACAUCAUUCUUAAAAAUGUAAAGCCAGUCAAAACCCGUUUUAGCGAAUUAACCGUCUUUAUGAAUGCAAAUGCAAAAAAUAAAUAAAAGAAAACUCGUGGAAUUUUCUCAAUUUGAUGGCACUUACAAAACCUUGUUAAAAAACGAGUACAGCAACCCGCAAAGUUUAGACUUGUAUCAACAAAAGCAUAAGAAGAAGAGAGAAAAAGAAUAGUAGAACACUCCCACAAAAACAAAAAACUGUAAAAAUGACCUCUAAAAUGAAGUUGAAGAAAGAUCUAAAGAAGUGAAAAAAUUCGUUCCAAAAAGAGAAACUUUGACACUAUGACUUGAACAAAAUCUGAAAGAUACGACAUUUAGGUAAGAUGGAGAAACGUUUGAAGCAAAAGAAAAGAGUGGAAGCGAAAAUUGAGAAGAAAGACAGUGCAGAAUGAGAGGCAUGCAGAAAAAAGUAGAGAAAGGAAGUGUUUAACAAGAGAAAGAGAUGAAAUUGAAAUGGUGAAGGUUUAGAGAAUGAAAGAAGAAGCAAACCUCAAACUUAGAGAGGGUAGCACUGAUCUGGUUCCUCUCUGGGGUGUCCAUAUCAAAAAUGGCAGCACCAGAACAUCAGUUUCUCCCAAGAAAGUGGGGUGUGAUAAGGAAACAAGAAGAAGAAGAAGAUGAGGAUGAUUCAAGAAGCGGGAAGGCGGGAGAAGAAAGAUUUUGUGGUGGGGACCACAACCCCUUCUUCCACAGCUGUCCCUUCCUCUAUCUCUCUCUUUUCUUUCUUUCUUCUCUUUUGCUUCCUUCUUUUCUCUCUCACUCUCUCUUCUUUUCUAUUUUGUCGCUAAAGCAACACAUAAACAGUUAACCACCCACAUCCUCAAUCUGGAUUUUCUCCUUGUUUCUUUCUACCCUCUCUCCUUUUCUUUUCAUUCAUUCCAAUAAUAACUGCUGCAUUAUGUAUUAUGUAUUAUGUAUUAUGUUGCAGAUGUUGUAGAUCUUCCAUUAUCGAAUGCCUUCAACCCUGUUAAUUUCCUUCUGCCAUAAUCUUGUAACUGCUCCCAACUCAUUCUAUAAACAAAAAGUUUCUGAAAAAAAAAAUCUUUUUUUUUAUUUUCUUAUCAUGCCAAAAACAUCGUAAGAUGUUCAUAAUAUAUUUACGUGUCCGACGUAUUUAUACGCGAAACCCGACAUUUAAUUUUCAAGCUAUCUGAGAAACCAUUUAAUUAAGAAACGUUUCAGCCUCAUGAAAAUUCAUGAUUGACUAUUUAAUUCAAAAAAUGUUUGAUGAAGGUGACCAACUAGGACAGACAUGGUACAAUUACUCAAUAAAUAUUUGUUACCGUUUUAUGUUUCUGAAAAUUAUAGUAAUAAUUAAAUAUAUCUUUUUCGUACAUUAAAACAAUAUAAAUUCUUUUUUUUUUUAACGGAAUAAGAGGGAUUGAAUAUCAGACCUCCGUUAAAUUAAUGACGACAAAAUAAGCAGCGUCUAUUCUGUAUCAGAUAAGAUGACACUCUCACACUCACACGAAUACGAAAACGAAGGCAUUUAAUUAAGGCAUUGCGUUUUAGCGCGCUGAGAAUUUGAAAAGGGAGUGUUCUGGUGUGGGUGAGGCACAGGGAAAUUGGUGAACACUCGCCUACGUGCUACGCUGAUCAUGCAUACCUGAAUCUUGGAAAGUUGAAAGUCAAUGACGUACCUUCUGAAGUGUGGAGUACGCAACCCCAUAACACGCACUUCCACGCAUGGAAUUUAGAAUCCACCGUUUGUUUGGAUGACAACUAACCUAAGACGUUGUUCUCCGUUCGUUGGACCGUUCCCGUCAAACUUUUUUACUGUUGACCAAUGGAAUCCCAUUGUCGUGUGGAUGUCAUCGUAAAACGUCAAAUAUAUUUAAUGUUAUUAAAUAUUCGGUAUUUUCAAUUAUUUCAUAAUUAAAUCUUUAGAUUUUUAGGUUAUUUUGAUUAAAUAAACAUUAAAAAUGGUUAGAGUAAGUUAUAACUACUAGAAAAAUACUAUUAAUAUGAUUCAUCACGUUUCGGUAUAUUUAAUAGUUUUGUAUGGUUUAAAAAUUAAGAUUAAAAAAAUUAAAUAAUUUUUUUUAAAAUUUUAUAAGAUUUUCUUACAUAAUUUUUGAUGAGAGGUGUAGGGUAUAUGGUUUGGUGGUGUGAUGAUAAUGAUAGAAUGUGCAUUUAUGUGAGGCAGUGAUGAAAAAUUAAGAUGUUCAUGCUUGACAUAUGAGUCUAUACCUUAUCGUGAGGUGGUCCAUGUAAGUAACAUAUAUGGUAUAAUACGCACAAGAUCACGUGAUUGAUCCCGCCACCAUGAAUACGAAAAACAAGGUAUUAAAUAAAGAUAAUAAUGAUGAAAGAAAGAGUGGCAGUAGCAUUAAACUAAGAAUGAUAUGUGGUAUUGGUCUUUUUAGAUGCCUUAACUCACCUGACAAACCAACCAUAUUCAGCGCAACCUUGCUUUCUUUUUACCCUCUUAAAACCAACACACACUUUUUAGUCUUUUCCAUAUUAAAUACCAUUUCUUAUUAAAAAAAUAUGAUAAAAAUAAAACAGCUGACAUAAAGACCGAAAGUGUUUUCUUAAAAAUUUCACAUAUGGUUCCUGACAGACAACAUUCUGAUAAGAUAAUGUCUUUGUGGUGCCAGACCAACAUACGUAAUAAUCUAUCACUAUUUUUUAUGCCUCUCUCAGAGACACACCCAAAUUCAGUUUUUGCUUUAACUAAUUAUUUUUAGUACUUUUAUUUCACUUGGUUUACACUUGCGGAGGAAGCUUCUCUUCUCGUACAUCUAAAUUAUUACUUUCUUUUUCAUAAGUGAUACAUUUUAAAGUAAAAUUUGCUGAAAUAAUAAAUUUUAAAAAGAUUUACAAAAAUAAAUUUCGAAAUCAAGAAAUUAUAUUUUUAAUACACAAUUUUUAAUCAACUUUACAAAAUCAUUUGUAUAGAAGUUGUAAAUCAGUAUACAUGACUUUUUUUUCUAUUUUUUAUUUUUUAUUAAAAUAUAUUCUUUGACUUACUUAUAUUUUUCACAUUUAUUUAAUAUUAUUAUUUUUUUUUUUUUUUGAAAAAAUAUAAACUUUACACUUUUAUAAUCGUUUUAACUUUAUAUCAUGUGUCAAAUGAAUGUAUAUCAUGAUGCUAUUACUCUUUUCUAUUUUCACAAAGCGUAAAAAUAUAGAUAAAAUUAUUUAUUUAUAUUUAUAUAUAUAUACAUACAAUAAUACACAAAAGAAGAUACAAAGUGGCGCCGUAUCAGUUUUGCACUCUGAGUCUCAGCUAUACUCCUAAGAGUGAAGACGGCCCAAUACAGGAAUUGCCUUAUUUACAAUUAACUCAUGCAAAAUUACAAAAUUACAGAAAUACUCAAAAUCACAUAUUAAGGAAAAGGCGAACCCAUGUAAUGCCGAAACAAAGGGUUGUAUUAUUUUCACACCCAACAAAUUUUACUCUCUAUAGUUGUUCUCCUGAACAUUAAAAUAUAUACAUACAUAUAUAUAUAUAUAUAUAUAUAUAUAUAUAUAUAAUAGUACAGAAAAAUUCAACAAAAAAGUCUAGAUUCACAAAUUUUAUCCUUCAAAUAUGUAUUCUUUGGCAACUCAAUUUUAAGAUAUUUUGAUACCUUUUUUGUAUUUAUCAAAAAAGAAAGUUAUUGAAAGAUAAAAUAGUGUGUAAAAUUUGUUGGAUGUGAAAAUAAUAUUAGGAAUGUUAGUAAGAGAAAUGAUAUUUUGACAGACAUCAAAUUUUCAUAUUUAUUUGACACUACUAUUUAUUAUUAUAAUUAUAAUGUGUGUGAAAUUAAUCAUUGCUGACGUUGUAAUAUAUGAUCAACGUCUGGCGGGUUCAACGCCGACGGUCUUCAAUGUCUCGGCAGUUCGAGGACUGCAUGGAAGAAAGCGAAAAAUAAGCAGGUGAUGAAUGAAUAUAUAAAGAAUGAAAGAUAGUUAGGUUUACCGGGUGAAAGGAUUAGGGUGGACGGGAUCGUUGAGUGUGGCCUUGCUUUCCUGAAUGUGAGAGACUUUCCUUAAGAACGAACCGUCGAUGAAUUUGGCGGCGGAGUUCAUGGUGCGAUCGGGAUCGGAAACCUCCGGCACUGUUUCUCUUCUUUUCUUGUUCACGUGAACUUGUGGAGACCGCACCAGUUGUUGAUACCCUGUGUGCGACGCAAUCGCCAAAGCCACACACACCAUUCCGCCCACUAUAUACACUGGUGCAAGCUCUGCCUUCACGCUCAUUCUACCAUCCAUUACAAAAUACAUUCAUAUCAAACACUUUACACAUAUCAAACACUUUCUAUAUAUAUAUACAUUCUUUCACUUCAUAUCCAUACCCAGAGCUCGAGUUAUGAUGCUCAGCAUCCAUCACUCGCGACACCGGUUUCAUUUUUGGAGUGGUCGGACUGGUAAAUGCUCGCCUUCCACUUCCCAAUUCAAUCAACGUCAAUGGAAAAUUUUUCUGCAUGUAAGUAAUAUCAUACCAAUUACAUUUUCGUUUUUUGCAUUCUUGACGUAUUUUGCCUUCAAAAACAAUAGGGUUAGCUAAAACAUUUGCUAAAAGAUGGAAAAGGAAUUAACUUACAGCUGCCCUGAAAGCCAUUUUUUGUUCCUGUGGAAUGAAAACGAAGGUGAUAUGAUUUGUAUUGAUUCUCCUCUGUGGGAAGGAACCCAUAUUUAUAUUAUGAGGAACAUGCAGAAAAGGAAUAACACAAGGCCACGUGGUGGGGUAUUAUAGGAUACUGUUUUUGACCGCAUGCAGAACACAGUUUCCAAUUGCUGCAAGGGAGGCUGUGGAUAAUCCAAACUGCUAUUUAAUCGCCGUAACCGUUAACGUUUGGGUAUAUGUAUAGAUUAACUAAAUAUAUACAAGGUGGUCGUGUCAGUUGAAUCCGUCAAACUUCACGAUUUCUAUCAUAGCUGACCAACCAUGCAUGUAUUACCUAUAAGACAGCUUGAAAGUUGUAAUUGUUAUUACACUUUAUUAAAAUAUUUCGUUUUUAAUGAUAAAGAAUGUUUAUAUGCAGUCUUAACUAAAUAAUUGUUUUUUUUUUUUAUCAAAAUAGUAUUUCCUCCACUAUUUUAUUAAAACUGAAUUAAAAAACGUUGUUAUGUAUUAUGCAAGUGCUAAAUUUGAUAGGGUGCAGAAAGUAAUACGCAAGUGGUAAAUGUUUACUGAACAUGGGCCUAACGUUAAACAACCAUCUCCUUACUAAAAACACCACGUUUGAGCCCAAAAUUAAAAGCGAUGUUAGAAAGGGAAAUUGAGAAAACGUGAUUGUUGAGAUGAGGAUAACAGGAUGGAAAAUCGCAUAAACCAAUAAUAUUUGUUCUUUUAUUUUGGUAUAUAAUAAUAUUCCUAAGUAUAGUCCUUGGUGUUAUGAAAUUUGAUGUGCAGAAUAUGAUGGGUUGUCGUGUUGUAUACUCUGUCAGAUUCUGAAAAGCACUUCUUGAUAAAUAUUGUUCUUUCCUUGUACCAUUUUCCAAUGAUCAAUAGUUCUCUGUAUUCAAACCUUGGAAGACGCAUUCUGUAGCAAGUUUCUAUAUGUUAGUAACUAUCAUUUUCAACCUUAGUUCAUCAUUCUCAUACAUACAUAUAUAUAUAUAUAUACAUAUAUAUAUAUAUAUAUAUAUAUAUAUAUAUAUAUAUAUAUAUUAUAUUAUAUGUGUGUUUGUAAUAUGCAAUGAAAUAUUCAAUGUUAUGAUGCGAUAUUAUAGUUUGGGUAUUGACAUUUGGAUCUCGUGUGUCCAAUUAUUUAAUCAAUUCUCUUUUGUACUUUAUCUUUGAUUUAAUAACCACUAUUAUGGAUUACAAUUAAACCCAUUGACUUUUUAAAUUGAUGCAUCAAAGCAUGCCCCUGUUGACUUUGACCUGGUAAUUUCAUUAAAUAUUCUCAAAUUUAUGUUACAGGUGACUAAAGUAAGUCAAAUAAUAUAUUAGGUCAGAUAUUACACUCUUUACUAAAAAAAUAUAAUUCAAUAAAUAUAUUAUAUGCAGAUUUAACGUGCUAUGAACUUUAAAAUAACAUUAACUAACUAUAUAAGCAAAGAAAAUUUCAAAAUGCACCACAAUCGAAUCUUAAAAAACUGAAAAAGUAUAUGAGAGAGAACAAGUGAAAGGAAUAAAUUAAUAAUAUAUUUGGUUUUCAUACAUUUUGAAAGUGAAAAGUUUUUUAAUAAUUAUUUUUUCACAAUAUUUAUCGAUUUGUUUUAAAUAUUUUUUUGAAUAUAAAUUCAAACAUAUUAAUAAGACGUAUCAAAAUGUUGUUAAAAAAAUUGUGAAAAUAUCAUCGAUUCUUAAAAUUUAAUGAUUGUAAUUGAUAUAUCUCAACAAACAUAGUUUGACCAUUAUUGGCUAUGUAAGUUUGCUAUACAAAUGCUGUCCUAUAGAUAAGUAUGUUGAAUUUUGAAGAAAAUAAGAAAUAAAAAUAAUUCUCGUUUAUUAUGUAAUAAAACAUAAAAUUAAUGUUGUUUUUAUAAGACUAACAAAAACAAUAAACUUUAUCAAUUAAACUAAAAUUAUGGUAUUGUUUUCAUCUGACACUGACACUGUACAUAGUUAAUCUAAAUAUUGAUACACGUAAAAGUAUGUAAUUGAGAAAAAAUGUAAUUAAAGACAUUAAAAUUUGCAAAACGAUAAAUAAAUAAAAUUAAAAAUUAAAAAAUGUAAUGUUUAAAAAGAUUCUAAGUAGUAUUUGCUUAAAGGAAAUGAUAAAUACAUGCCUAAUAAUAAAAUAACAUUAAUGCAAUAUUCAAACCAUCAUUAAAGAUAUUAUUAAAUUCACUAUCACUUCCUGAUUUCUAAUUAUAAAAAUAAGAAUAGUCUUAAACACUUCUUAAAAAUAAUUAAUAAAUAUUGAAUUUUAAAAAAGUUUAAGAAUAAUUAAUAAACAUUGAAUUUUACAAAAAAUUAAAAUUAAGUGUAACAUUAAAUGAAUUUAAAUCUAAUAGUUAUUAAUUUAGUUUUAUUUUAAUCAAGAAAAUAAAAUACUCAUAAGUUAUACAACUAUAAAUGAUAAUUUAUUUGAUGUACAUAAAAAAAUAAAAAAUGAUUAAAUAAUAAAAUAAUCUUAACGCUAUUGUACUAUUUUUCAUUAUUUUUAACAGGUUCUCUUUCAUUAAUGUUGCUAAAAAUAAAAAUUUAAUUAAACAUAAGAAAACCUAAAUUAACAUAGAAAGAAAAAAAAAACAGUAUAUGAAAUAUAAAUUAAUAACUGUUAAACGUCUAAACAUUUUAUUAAAAAAUUAAAACAUGAAUUUAUAUUAUUUUAAGACUUAAUUAAGUUUAAUAUUUAAAAAAAAUUGAAAACUUUGAAUUGAUUGUCUAAUAAAAUUUUAUGAUCUAUUGAGUACUCGAAAAAUUUAUUUAGGUUUUGACUGUUAAACUUUUUUUGUUAUUUGUUUAUGUUCUCAUCACAUAUUAUUUUAUAAACUUAUUAAAAUACAAUAAUAUAAUAUUAUUAUAAGAAUACAAAAUGAUAAAGUUAUAAGAUUGUGAAAUAGUAAGAUUUUAAGAUAAUAAAAUCAUAAUAUUUUAAGAUUUUAAAUUAAAAAAUUUGACAGUUGAAAAAGUUAAAAGAUUAAAAUACUAUCAAAUUAAAUAUAAAAAAUAAAAUUAUAAAAUAAAAAAAUUGUAAAAUUAUAAUUAAAUAAUAAUAAUUUUUGAAUAAUGUUAAAUUUGUACACUAUAAAUAAGUAAAAAUAUCAUUGUAAUAUAAAUUCAUAGCUUUUAUUUAUUUGAAUUCUCUGAUAUUUUUUAUUUUCAAAAUAAAAAUUUUCCUAAAUAUAAUAAAUCAAUACACAGUAGCUAAUAAAUAAAUUGAUACACAAAUUCAAAGACUAGGUAAUAACAUUAUUAAAACUCAUGGUCCUUAUACACUCCCCCAGUAUUUAACUUUUGUAAUUUUGUUUUUCAUUUAUACUAUUAUUUAAGUCUACUGAAACAUUAACAUUUUUAAUAUAUUACAUUAAAUAAUAUUUUGGUCAACAAAUAAUUAAUGUUUUCACAUUAAACACGCUUCAAGAUUAAACAACUAUAAUUUUAGAAAGGAUAAGGUUUAUAAAUUGUGUAUACCCUUUGUAAUAAAUGCCGAUGCAAUUCAUUAAAUAAAUGAUAAAUAUAGUUAAUGCAAUUUAUUGGGUAUUCUUAUUUUAAUUGUGUAUCUAAACUUUCCUAUUAUCUAUUUUAUAAAAUUAGGUUUAUUUAUACAAAGGAUCACCCAAUAAUCACUGUUUUUAUACAUUUUAGUAUAUAAAUUCGAUUUAUCUUUUUUUUUUAUGGUCAAAUUUUUACUGUUUACAGAAUUUUCAUGCUGAUUCACCAAAUUAUUUACUAUUUCACGAUUUAGUGGUAUAAUUUGAAUAAAAAUUAGAAAAUGUUUUUUUAACAACUUUUUUUAUAACUUUUUUACACUUAGUAAUUUAUGAUUGGUUUUUUUAAAAUAUAGGAUAUAAUAUGUUAAUAAUUUUUUAACAAUUUUUUUGAGAAUAAAUUAUAUGUUAUUAUUUUAUUAAUCUGUAUAUUUAAAGAAUUUUUAUUUUUAGUAAUUUUUUAUAACUACUUAUAUGAUAAUUUAUUAUUGGUCCGUUUCUAAUAUAUGGAUCAAUAAAAUAGUGAUACAUAAUUUAUUGUCAAAAAAUUAUUAAAAAAUAUUGCUAACUCAUAGUCCAUAGAAAUUAUGAGUAUAUCCUUUACAAGAGUCUGUCUUAAUUCAAUUUUUAUUAAUUUUAGUGUAUACAUCACUUUUUAUAUUAUUUUACAAUUUUUAUCUAGGCAAGUCUUAUAAGAACUAGAUUCCUAUUAACAUUUUAUUUAGUUAUUGCUUAGUAUAUAUGUUUUCUAAGAUAGAAAAAUAUAUUUUUUAUUUUUAUAAUCCAAAAUCUCAUCUAAAAUUAUGGAUCUUAAUUUUUAUGUCAUAUGAACAUAUUUUAAUGGUAAAUUUUAACUCAGAUUUUAUAAGAUUUUUAUCUUAAUUUUAUAACCAUGACCAUCCAAUAAUUAUGAUGUUAGUUUAAUUUUAGGAGAUUUUUUUUUAUUAAAUUGGAUUAUUUUUACUACGCAGAUAAUCAUUCUAUAUUAAAAAAACAUAUUUAAAUGUAUUUUUAAUUUAUAAAUAUAUAAAAAUAUUGUUGGUUUUGGAAUCUAUAAUUGUUACAAUUUUUUUUUUGAAAAAAAUUAUUUGAUCUACUUAAACUUUUAUAUUUAUUUCACACAAUUCUUACUUAUUCUUUUGUUUUUUUAAAAUACAAAAAUUUACAAUUUUUAUUAUUAUUUUAUUUUUAUACUCUAUAUCAAAUAAAUGUAAGUAAAAAUGUGUAUAAUACUAUUAUACUUUAUUUUUAAAAGAUGUAUUAGAAAUUUGAAGAAAAAAAAUAUUUAAAUUUUUGUUGAAGUGGAUAGAGAAUUAUUACUGAAUGCAAAGGAAUACUUACAAAAUAAAUGAACCUUAAAUCACCUCAUUUUAGUAGUUGUUGAAGCAAAAGAUUUAUGAAAACAAAAAACAACAAACAAAUAUAGGAUAAGGAAUCAAUGUGUCUGUCUCUCUGUCUUCCUAACUGAAUAAUCAGAAUCACAAACUGUCAACUCACAAACAAGCGGUUUAAUUUUAUUUUAUUAUACUAUUAGACAGAUCUUAUAUAUAUAUAUAUAUAUAAUACAUUAAAAUUCAAGACAGAGCAACAGGAACAAGGUAAGCUGAGAUAUGAUAUAUGAUAUAAUAUUGUAAUUAUCUGUUGCCUUUCAUUUUUUUCACCUAUUUUCAAACAUUCUAUCUCUCUCUUCCACAUUUUAGGGAACACCCGCGCAUCUUUCUGGAAGGAUUACCGUUGUUUUUAUUUUUUAAUUUUUUAACUUUGAUUUUUGGGGUUGUUUAUUUGGCUGUUUCUUUUGCUUUUUCCCGUGGCUUUGCCCUUCAAAAUCGCUCCUCUAACAAAGUUUGAGCGAUGGAUUGUUGGGAUUGGGUUCCUGUUGGCAUCUCAGAAUUGGUGAUGACAACUUCCGCAAUGCUCAUUGCAUCAAAACCCAAAAGCCUUUGAUUCUUACAAAAGCUAAAAGGGUAUCCACACGCUCUGCGGUAUUUUUGGGGCCAUAAAAAAAGGUCAAAUUUUUUGUCACAUUUAGCGUAAUUCUUAAUCUGAUUUUUUCUUGUUUCCUUUGAUGCUUCAGCUGGCCGCUCGUUUCUUGCUGACUUCUGUCAAGGUUUGUGCUUUGGUAGAUACCUCUUCUUUUGUUUUAAUUUUUCACCCAAAAUAAUUAUUUUUAUUUUUCUGGUUCAUUGGUCUUAGUCGCCGAAUAGUGCGAAUUGGGUCGUUUUCUGAUAGCUAUUAUUUUCUUUAUUCUGGUACUAUUUUCUCAAGGGAACUAGUCAAUAAAACAAUUGUUUGGCAAGAGAAAAAUGGGUUUGAAUAACGAAAAGUCAAUUUUCUAAACAUGAUAUAAUAUACAGAGAAAGGCAUGCUCUUUUUGAGGAUGCUCCUUGCUCCUUAAUUUUUAUUACACAUACGUAAAUUUCGAAACUUUUUUUGGUUUGUUAAAGUUUUAUGCGAGCGUUUUUCUUAUAAAUUAUUUUGACAUCUUGGGGGUUGUACAUAUUGGUUUUGGAAUUUGAAGUGGUGAGUGGUGAAGAUGGAUUCAGAAAGCGAGGCUGUUAAGACACCAAAGAGGGAAUUGGAAGCAGAAGGGGCUCUGAAUUCAAAGAUGAAGGGUGCUGGAAACAUAAGCAGUAAGGAUAUGAUAUUCAGAGCUGAUAAGAUUGAUCUCAAGAGUUUGGAUGCCCAGCUGGAAAAGCACUUGAGCAGGGUUUGGUCAAGGAGCACCACUGAGGCAAAACGGCCCAAAGAAGACUGGGAGGUCGAUUUGGCCAAAUUGGAUCUACGAUAUGUUGUGGCUCAGGGAGCCUAUGGUACUGUAUACAGGGGCACCUAUGAUUCUCAAGACGUUGCUGGUAUUUCCACUUCUUUUAUUUAUUUAUUUUAUAUGUUAUUCUGGAUGAUUUUUCUUUUCAUAAAAUGUGAGGGAAAGAGAUUGGAUAUGUUAUUCAUUAUUUCUAUUUAGAUGCUUAAUCGUUCUGCAUAGACUGCAUUCUUUCUAGCUUUUGACAAAAUUGGCUGGUUUUCUCAUAUUCUGGAUGAUUUUUUAUUUUUUUUUUAAAUCAACGUUAUAGUCAUUGCAAUAUGGUAUGAUUGUUCAAAUCUAUGCCUGGAUUUGAUGAUGCUGUGGGUAAGAGAACAUGGCUUCAGCAGUGUUGAAUGAAAAUAACCAAUGAGAGACAAUGUUUUUUUCUCCAUUCUGUUAGAUUCUGGUCUAGGGACAUAUUCAGUUUUUUUAGCAAUGAAGUUAAAUGCUGAGAUGGUGUUUGAAACUUACUAUACUAUCAAACUUAAAGAUUUACUCCUCAUUUCCAAGUCUACUAUCCUUUUGGAUUGUCGUGUUGAAUAUUUACAGUGAAAGUAUUGGACUGGGGUGAGGAUGGUGUAGCUACCCCAGCUGAAGCUGCUGCUUUACGGGCAUCUUUUAGACAGGAGGUUGCUGUCUGGCACAAACUUGACCAUCCUAAUGUGACAAAAGUAAGAACUCAUAGUAUUCAGUCUUAUUUAUUGAAAUGAAUGACGACUACUUGAUACUUGACAAAGUUGAAGAAAGAAGUGAUUGCUACUGAUAGCACACGCUUUUAGUAAUGAUAUUUUUUUUUUACUUUGUUCUGCUCUCUUAGCAUGCUUAGAUCUCUGUUCUUGUUGCCUGCUCAGGAGGAGAUACGGAUUAAAUCCAUAUCUCUGCACAACAAUUUUGUUUUGAUGUAUAAAUUUUCAGAUUAGUAAUUGUGUUGUAUUGAUAUGUGCAACAGUUUGUUGGAGCUUCGAUGGGCACUUCAAAUCUCAAGAUUCCCUCAAAAAAUUCGAAUGGAGAGGAAGAGACUCUUCCUUCUAGGGCAUGCUGUGUCAUUGUUGAGUUUAUCUCUGGUGGGACACUGAAGCAAUACUUGAUCAAAAAUAGGAGGAAGAAACUAGCUUACAAGGUUGUGGUUCAGCUGGCUUUGGACCUUGCAAGAGGGUAUGUCCUAUUUGAGCAUCUCGACAGUAACAAAACUGCAUACAUUUUACUAAUACAAAUUCACUGUUUUCCCAAAAAUGCAGUCUUCAUUAUCUACACUCGAAGAAAAUCGUUCACCGAGAUGUUAAAUCAGAGAAUAUGUUACUAAGUCCUAGUCGUAAUCUGAAAAUAGCUGAUUUUGGAGUUGCUCGGGUUGAAGCUAUGAAUCCAAGCGACAUGACUGGUGAAACUGGAACCCUUGGAUACAUGGCCCCAGAGGUAGGUGUUUUUAACAAGGUUGUCUGUCAAACAAAAUCACUUGCGGUUAUUAGCUUUAAUCAUAGGAUUACACCAAAUAUAGGUUCUGGACGGGAAGCCUUACAACAGGAGAUGUGAUGUCUAUAGCUUUGGCAUUUGCUUGUGGGAAAUUUACUGCUGUGAUAUGCCUUAUCCAGAUCUAAGUUUUGCUGAUGUGUCAUCUGCAGUUGUUCGGCAAGUAAGUUAACACGACAAACUAUGAUUUAUUCAAACACUCUUUAUGUAAUGUCGGGCAUCAUUGAUAUUGCUUGUAUUCUUGCACAGAAUUUACGACCAGACAUACCAAGGUGUUGUCCAAGUGCCUUAUCAAACAUCAUGCGGAGAUGUUGGGAUGCAAAUCCGAACAAGCGCCCAGAAAUGGACGAGGUGGUGAGAAUGCUGGAAGCACUUGAUACCAGCAAAGGUGGUGGAAUGAUACCAGAAGAUCAGAAUUCAGGGUGCUUCUGUUUUGCUCCAACCCGUGGCCCCUGAUUCUUGAAUCCAACGUUGUUAUGUGUUUUUGUUCAACAGAUGAACUGAAGCACUGUAACUGGCAAUUGGUAUUUAUAUUUUUGCCAGUUCACAGAUCACACCCUUUCCUUUGGCCAGAUUGAUUGUGAGAAAGAAAGGAAGGGCAUUGUAUUUUAUUUUUUAAAAUUUUGGCUAUAAAGGGGCGAUUUCACAGCUUCUUAAUAUUGUAUUUAGUACUGCAAACUGGAUUCUUUUGAGCAUCAAAACGGAAAAUAAUCCUUAAUCAAAGUUUACCCUUCUAAUACUACUACUACUUCUGUUCACAAUUUCUGUUGUUUGUCAAUUCUGAUGUGGAGAACUAAGAUUUUCUGGCCAAAAAUUGUAAUCCAUCAUGAAUAAGUUAUUCAAUUAUAUAUAAAUUUGCUGAUAUUUUAUAAAUUUAGAUCUUAAUUCUCUUAGCCUAAAUUACUUACUGUCACCUUCAACGACCUAGACUUCUGUUUGUGCAAUCAUUCUCGACCAUUAAAACUUCAAUGGAUAUGCUUCCCAUAUAGAAAUAGAAACAUCUUAACCACUCUUUCUCUCAUGUAUAUACAUUGCCACUCUUAUCUUUAUCUUUUCUUCUUCUUGUCUUUCACUAUAUAAUGUAGAAAAAUUAGCAUUCAACAACAUGGAAAAGAUUUUUGGAAAAAACUUCCAUAAAUAUUUUAAAAAUAAAAAUAAAAAUAUGAAAUUCUUUAGGGGUUCUCAUGAGAAAUGAAGUUCAAACAGGACAAGAUAUUUGUAAUGUGUGGAUAUGCUAUCUCAAUUUUUUUGAUAAAUAAGAUAAAGACAGAAAUUGGUUUAUGCCAUGCUGUCAUAUCUACACAGAUUGGACUCAGAAGAUCAUCAUCAAAGAUAAAACUGUUUGUAUUCAGAAAAAAAAAAAGGAGGAGAAAUUGAACCAAAAUCUUUUUCCUACACAAAAUGAACCAAGAUUAAUGGAAAGAUAUAUUUAGUAUCAGUUGUAUAAACCAUAACAGUGUUUUUGUUUUCAAUAUUUUUCUGAAUUUUAAGCUAUACUGUAACAAACAUGGAUUUCUAACUUAUAAAAUUGUUGAAUAUAUGUUAGUUGCUGUUGCAUCAUCGCAGAGGGGCAAUGGCUACAACCCUUCAACCAUCUUUGAUUGUUUCAGUUCCCACAAGCGUCAAGGAAGCUAAACCCAUAACCACGAAAUCAUCCCAAAAGUUACUUUCAAACUGCAAAACCCUGAAUGAACUGAAGCAGUUGCACUGUGACAUGAUGAAGAAAGGGCUGUGUCACAAGCCUGGUGGUCACUUUAACAAGCUCGUUGCUGCUUGUGUCCAGAUAGGUACCCUUGAGAGUUUGGACUACGCUCGAGAUGCUGUUCAGGAUGAUGGUGUAAGCAUGCCCUCUUUGUAUGUGUAUAACUGUCUCAUUAGAGGUUAUGCCUCGGCAGGGUUAGGUGAAGAAGCAAUCUUGCUUUACAUUCAGAUGGUGGUGAUGGGCAUGGUGCCUGACAACUACACUUUUCCAUUUUUGCUGAGUGCGUGCUCUAAGACUAUGGCGCUUUCUGAGGGUGUUCAAGUUCAUGGGGCGGCUGUUAAAAUGGGUUUGGACGGAGAUACCUUUGUCGACAACUCUUUGAUACAUUUUUAUGCUGAAUGCGGGAAGGUUGAAUUAGGGCGAAAGGUGUUUGACAAAAUGCUUGAAAGAAACGUGGUGUCUUGGACUAGUUUGAUAAAUGGUUAUGCUGGGAGAGACUUGGCAAAGGAGGCUGUUUCUUUGUUCUUUCAGAUGGUUGAGGCUGGUGUGGAACCCAAUCCGGUGACCAUGGUCUGUGUUAUAUCUGCUUGUGCCAAGUUGAAGAAUCUUGAAUUGGGUAAAAAAGUGUGCGCUUAUGUAGGUGAGUCGGGUGUGGAACUUAAUGCACUCAUGGUGAAUGCAUUAGUUGAUAUGUACAUGAAAUGUGGGGAUGUAUGUUCGGCUAGGCGGAUUUUUUAUGAAUGUACUGAUAAGAAUUUGGUUAUGUACAAUACUAUCAUGUCAAAUUGUGUGUACCAUGGGUGGGCCGGUGAUGCGCUCGGGAUUUUGGAUGAAAUGCUGCGAAAAGGACCACGACCGGAUAAGGUAACCAUGUUAUCUACGAUUGCAGCCUGUGCACAUUUGGGUGAUCUUUCUGUUGGGAAGUCAUCCCAUGCUUAUGUCUUACGGAAUGGCCUUGAAUGUUGGGAUAACAUUCUCAAUGCCAUCGUUGACAUGUACAUGAAAUGUGGCGAAAGAGGAGCAGCUUGCAAAGUUUUUGAGCAUAUGCCAAACAAGACGGUGGUGACAUGGAAUUCGCUAAUAGCAGGUUUGGUUAGAGAUGGUGAUGUGGAAUUAGCUUGGAGAAUCUUUGAUGACAUGCAGGAGAGGGAUCUUGUAUCUUGGAACACAAUGAUCAAUGCGUUGGUUCAAGCAAGCAUGUUCGAGGAAGCAAUUGAGCUAUUUAGAGAGAUGCAAAACCAAGGGAUAGAAGGAGAUAGACUGACGAUGAUGGGUAUUGUUUCUGCCUGUGGAUAUUUAGGAGCUCUCGAUCUUGCCAAGUGGGUAUGUACUUACAUCGAGAAAAAUGGCAUUCACAUGGACUUGCAGCUCGGCACAGCUUUGGUUGACAUGUUUUCUAGAUGUGGUGAUCCCUCAAGUGCUAUGCAUGUUUUCAGAAUAAUGGAGAAACGGGAUGUGUCUGCCUGGACAGCUGCCAUUGGAGUUAUGGCAAUGGAGGGAAAUACAGAAGGGGCUAUUGAGCUUUUCAACGAGAUGCUCAAACACAAGGUGAAACCAGAUGACGUUGUUUUUGUGGCACUACUGUCAGCAUGUAACCAUGGUGGUUCUGUGGACCAAGGAAGGCAAGUUUUUUGGUCAAUGGAAAAAACCCACGGAACAAGUCCUCAGAUUGUCCACUAUGGAUGCAUGGUUGAUUUGCUUGGCCGAGCUGGGCUGUUGGAAGAAGCUCUCCAUCUCAUACAAAGCAUGCCAAUGGAACCUAACGAUGUUAUGUGGGGAUCUCUGCUGGCAGCUUGUCGGAAACACAAAAACGUUGAAUUGGCACAUUAUGCAGCCGAAAAGUUAACACAAUUGGCCCCUGAAAGAGCUGGAACUCAUGUUCUGUUAUCCAACAUAUAUGCAUCAGCUGGGAAAUGGACGGAUGUAGCGAGAGUGAGGUUGCAAAUGAAGGAGAAGGGGGUCCAGAAAGUGCCUGGAUCAAGCUCCAUUGAGGUACACGGAUUGAUUCACGAGUUUACCUCGGGGGAUGAAUCACACGCAGAGAACACCCAGAUUGAAUUAAUGCUACAGGAAAUAAACUGCAGGCUAAGUGGGGUAGGAUAUGUUCCUGAUACAACCAACGUCUUACUUGAUGUUGAUGAGCAGGAAAAAGAGCACUUACUCAGCAGACAUAGUGAGAAGCUAGCCAUAGCUUAUGGACUGAUCACUACUGCUCAAGGUAUACCCAUACGGGUAGUAAAAAAUCUUCGAAUCUGUUCUGAUUGUCAUUCAUUUACAAAAUUAGUGUCAAAACUAUACAGUAGGGAAAUCACAGUUAGAGACAAUAAUAGGUAUCAUUUUUUCAAAGAAGGAUUUUGUUCUUGUGGAGAUUACUGGUAAUGGAUUCUCUAAGAGGGAACCUCUUCCCUCUGGUUUACAAAUCAACUUUGCUGUCCACAAUUAGGUCAAAACAUCUACUGUUGGCUUCUAUUUUUUUCUUCAAAGACACUUGAACCACUCAGGGAAAAAAUAUUCCCAAACAUAAGCAGAAAUUAAAUGAAUCAGGAUGUAUUUAGAUAAACUUAUCCUUAAAUGCUUUAAGAAAAAAAAUGAAAAUAGGUUUUGACAUAAAUUAAAUUUAGAUACUUUUCACUAGUAAGUUAAUUUUGUUUUCGUAUAAAAUAUAGUUCAUUUUUCUUUCUUUCCGUGGUGAAGAAAUCUUUCCCAAGUUAAAUUGUGUUAGAAGGAAGUAUGGAUUUGUUCACUCCUACUGUAAAUGAAAACUUGUAAAAAUUAGUUGGAUAUGUAAUUUAAUUUUAAUAUCCUUCAUAUGCAACAUAUUGUCAUCUUUAUAAUUGAAGAGUUGACAAUUCAUUAAAGACAAAGAAUGUAAUGAAGAAGUAGAAGAAAAACUUGCAUAAUGACUUAUCUUUUCUCAUACAUCACAUCAUUGAGGCAUAUUUCUUCAACAUGUGCUUCUCUAUAUAAUGAGAUUUAUGGUUAUCAAUAAUAAGACUCUCAAUUACUAAAUGGAUGAGAUGAAUGUUAUGUCAAUGUAAUAUUACUUGUAUAGUUUAUAUAAAAAAAUUUCUAUUUACUAAACCCUAAACCUUAUAAAACAAGAUUUUAUAACACUUUUUCAACAUUUACGUAAUUUAUCAAAUUAUUUAAAAAUUUAUUCCACUAUACAUUAUCAUGAUAAAAUAAUAUAAAUAGUUUAACUAAGAGAAAUAUAUUUCGUACUUGGGAAAAAAUUAUAUGAUGUACAAUUAUUAUUCAAAUAUACCAAAUUUAAAAACUAAGUUUAUAAUAUGAGUUCUAGUGUUGUAAAAUAAAAGAAGUUCUAAUUAAUUAUCUUUUAAUUUUAGUUCAUACUUAUAUUUAUUAGAAUUAAAUUUAAAUAAAAACAUUUUAAUAUUUCAUAAUCUUAUCCAAUUAAUUUUUUCCUUAUAUUAACCAAAUCUACCUCAUUUGUUCAUUGAUUUCCACCCUAUUCAAAUCAUAUCACUUUCAUCUUUUUUUUUUUCUAUUUUCUUUAUUUUCUAUUUAAAGCAUUACAUUUGAUGAAGGAUAAUGAUAUUUUGAAAUCUAAAAUCUAUUUUUUUAAAAUUUAUUUAACACUUUUUUUAUUAUAUAUAUUUUUAUAUAAUUUUAGUAUAAUAAUUUUAAUUUUACAUGUGUUGUGAGAUGAUAGUUAUGUGUGAAACCUUUUUCCUUUGAUGAAUCCUGCUUUUGGGUUAAAUCUUCCUUCUCUGAGUAAUCAUAGCCUAAAAAAAUGUUUUUCAAGUUCGGAAUGCGGAACCUCUUGGCUCACCGCUUCUCUCCCAGAAUCACCGCCGCCAAUGCCUCACACCGUUACCUUUACCGGAAUCCUCUCUGCACCACCGUGGAGUCACCUGACCUCCCACCGUGGCUCAAGUUCUCCGACACCCCGACCCCUUCCCACGCUGAGUUAGACGACGACUUCGUUAUCCCUUCACUAGCCAAUUGGGUCGACUCCCACAUCCUCACCUCCAAGCCCAAACUUCCCGCACAAACCUCCAAGCAAAACAGCCUCGACCAAGUGGACGCAGUAUCCACACUUCUCAAAAAACCCUAUUCUUCCCCCGAGCUAGUAGGUGAAGCACUUAAUGGACGCGGUUUUCAGCCAUCAAGCGAUUUGGUUUCGCAGGUUCUCAAGAGAUUCAGUAACUGUUGGGUCUCUGCUUUGGGGUUUUUCAAAUGGGCAAAAGCUCAAACAGGUUAUCGGCAUUCUCCCGAAGUGUACAACUUGAUGGUUGACAUACUGGGAAAGUGCAGAACCUUUGAUUUAAUGUGGGACUUGGUGAAGGAAAUGUCACAACUCGAAGGGUACGUCACAUUGGAUACAAUGAGUAAGGUAAUGAGAAGGCUUGCCAAGGCUCGCAAGCAUGAAGAUGCAAUAGAAGCAUUUCGUAGAAUGGGGUUGUUUGGUGUUAAGCAGGAUACUGCAGCGUUGAAUGUUCUCAUGGAUGCGUUGGUGAAAGGAGACAGUGUUGAACAUGCCCACAAGGUUGUUUUGGAGUUUAAGAGUAGGAUUCCUUUGAGUUCUCAUUCUUUCAAUAUUUUGAUCCAUGGGUGGUGCAAAGCAAGGAACUUUGACAAUGCCAGGAAAGCAAUGGAGGACAUGAAGGGGCAGGGGUUUGAGCCUGAUGUAUUCUCGUACACUAAUUUUAUUGAAGCUUAUUGCCACGAGAAAGAUUUCCGCAAGGUGGAUCAAGUUUUGGAGGAGAUGAGAGCAAACGGGUGCACCCCUAAUGCUGUGACUUACACUACUGUGAUGAUUAAUCUGGGGAAAGCAGGGCAAGUGAGUGAAGCUUUGGAGGUUUACGAGAAAAUGAAGAGUGAUGGAUGUUUGGCUGACACUCCAUUUUACAGCUGUUUGAUAUUCAUCCUCGGCAGAGCUGGAAGGCUAAAGGAUGCUCGCGAUGUGUUUGAAGAUAUGCCUAAGCAAGGGGUUGUGAGAGAUGUGGUGACAUACAAUACUAUGAUUUCUACUGCUUGUGCACACUCGCGGGAAGAGACUGCUCUCAGGUUGCUUAAGGAAAUGGAAGACGGAUCGUGCAAGCCGAAUGUUGAGACUUACCAUCGGUUGCUCAAGAUGUGCUGCAGAAAGAAGAGAAUGAAGGUGCUCAAGUUUUUGUUGGAUCACAUGUUGAAGAACGAUAUAAGCCUUGAUUUGGCUACUUACUCGCUCUUGGUGAGUGGUCUGUGUAAAAGUGGAAGAGUUGAGGAUGCUUACUCGUUUUUAGAGGAAAUGGUCUCGCAGGGAAUGACUCCAAAGCCCAACACUCUCAAGCUAUUGAUUGGAGAGCUUGAGUCCAAGAGCAUGUCAGAGGAGAAAGAGCGUGUUGAGAAAUUGAUGGAUCGUUUUUCUCAGAAAGGAAAUGUUUAGUGGUUUUGGCAUAAGAUGAAGUAAUUUCCAACUCAGCGAUAUCUGCUGCUCAUUUGAUCCCAUGCCAUGAUAGAAAAUGGAAACGACCUUUGCUAAUGAAUCCUAGUGUUAUUUUCACAAUAUUAUAUCUUGUGACGAUUUUGUUUUUGUUUUUCUCUUCUUAAAUGCUAGCAUAUUUUAGCAAAACUCCACAUUUUGUACAAUUAAGAAGAGGCGGAUUGACACAAUUUUAGAUAAAGUUUAUGUACUCUAUGAAUGUGAUUUAUGGAUGUCUUCUUCGUACUCUAAUAGACAUGAUUACUGAUUAAAGAGAAACAAAUGAGUGUAAUUCUUAUUUUGCAAUAGUUGCAUCGUAUAUGAAGUUUUGCGAGAGUUUUUACAUUGCACAAGAACAUCUUUUUAGUGUUGGGUUAUUAUCACUCUUUCUGUGGAUCCUUUAUUACAACCUAAUAUUUAUGAAUGCGUUCUGUUUUAUUUCAAUAGUAAAAUUAAUUUUGAGUUCUUAUCUUAAAUUCUGUGGGACUUAUUUUAACAGCUUCCCUGUUCUGUUCUCCGUAGUCAAGAUCCCAGUUUCAAACACUUAAUUAGCAAGAUGUGUUACUUAUAAGAUCCUCCUCCACCCUUUAAAUGUGAAAACUUGAAUUUGACACUCCUUUUUCAAACAGUUUGGAUUUGGACAUUCAUCUGGGUUAUUGAUUUCACUCCAAAAUUGGUUGGUUAUUAUCACGAGAGCAUUACUAAAUAGUUAAAGAAAUGGCUAAAUAAGUCAACAACAAUCAAAAACUAAGUUGUGAAAUAUGCACUGUUAAUUUUGUGUUAUUCUUAAGCUUUAUAUAAUUUACUUUCAUACAGUUUCUUGUUAUUUUGACACCCUAAACCCUAAAAGGGUGAACCAAAGCAUGUGCCAUUUACCAAUCCAAUUUCAAGAUCAUUGAUAUCAAUUAGGGUCCCGUAGAUUUCGUCGACUGUGUAUGUUUUCUCUAAUCUUUCUAUUUUCAAAAUUGCGAUUAUAUUAAAAAUAGUGAUUGUUUGAAAUUGCGAUUAUAUUAAAAAUCACUUUUUAUAUUUUUUCGGAUAUAAUUUGUUUGUUUAUGGCAUUGUUUUUUUGGAGACCGAAUAGUAUGGUAGUAUGGUUAAUAUGAUGGAGUAUUUAGUUUUUAACGUUGUAACCAAAAAGUUUGUAAACAGUCUACAAGUUUGUAACCUCUGUGCUUCAACAGCAAUGUUACAAGUUGAUCGCUUAAUAUAAGAAAACAACCUCGUAUAAAACAGGCUUGCGUAAGAUUGAGAAUGAACAGAGAUAAAUUUGGGGAAAAAAUAUAAUCAAAUAAUCAUUAGAUGAAUCAAUAUGAAUGUGUAAGAGGUAGAAAACAACCUAGUAUAUGUACAGCAUAUUUGACGUUGUUAGUGAAAGUUGUAAAAUGCUGAACAGAGAUUUUGGCACUGCUACUGGUACCAGCAAGGCAAGGGAAUAACCUACUGUGUUUUUUGGAUACUUUCUGAACUCAGUUCUUUUGUUAUUUUCACGUCAAAUUGAGAAAAGAUGCAAGUAGCUUCUGGCCAGAUGGGAUCAGUUGUUUGAAAAUGCAUAUCCAAACAUAGCAUCAAAGGUAUUGCCUCACAUCUCGGGAUAACAGAGAACUUGACAUUUUAGGCGAAGAUAAUCUUCUUCUAGCCACUGGCCUCUGCCACCCAAGUCUUUCUAGGAAUUCCUCAAUCAACCUAUGAAUUCAAAAUGAUAAAUAUAUAGUUUUGUAGAUUUUAAAUGGAUAAAAGUACAAAAACACAUAAAGCCUUGUAACACGUACAUGCUGCAAAUGGCCUUUUGGGAUGCAGCCAGCUCACGGUCUGGGAAAGAUUCUUCCAGCCGAAAGCUCAACCAUACGUAAAGAUCCAAGACCUGCAGUUUUAGUACCAAUCAGAAAUCGUUAAAAUUGAAGUUAAGUGGUUAAAAAUCAGUUAAAAAUGGUUUUAUGAACAUUUUCUGUCAAAAUCAGUGAAGGAAAAAUAUAGUCAACACUGUACAACAAGAAACCUUAUGGAUGGAUUCCAGCUCCUUAAGAGCACCCGCAGUCUUGGGCACUUUGAGUGAGCCUGGCGUAAAUAUUUCUCGAAGCCGGACAAGGCCUUUCUUUGCAUAAUUCUCUGCAAACUGAUUUAUCAUAAGCUGUGUCAAUUUUAUGAUCAUUCAAACUAAUCUCAAUAAGUCAUACUAACAAUGUGAUAAUUACCUGUGUUAGGCCUUGAGAUAAAAUCUCGUCAUCCAUGUCAGCUGGACUGAAUAUUAUUGCAACUAUCAGUUAAAAUUUAACUGAAAAGAUGAACAGACUGAACUACAGACACCGUGAUUUAUUAAUUGACUGGGUUUUCAAUUCAUAGAAUUGUCCUACAUUACAUGGAUAUUGCAUUCUGAAAUUGUGUUAUUUUCUGAAAAUAUAAGAAUGCACCUGAUACAGAAAAGGUAUUUCUCAUGUAAUCCGAGGGGAAGCUCAUCAAUGACAGCAGCAACUUUCUAGCAUCAGCAUGUACAAACAACACCCACAAAACAAAAGGGAACCCAGUGAAUAAUAAUAAACUGUUGAAGGUAUUCGACACUGAUAUUACAAAUGAAAAGACAAUAGCAUUGAUAUGAAAUAUCCACAAUUCAAUGGCAAGGCAGCUAUUAAAAGACAUACCAGUAAUUGAUCACAAUUAACAAUGAAAUAAUUUUCAGAUAAUUUCGCAUUGUCAAGAAAAUGUGCCUGCAAUAUUUAAAGAUAAAAGGUGAAUAAUGUAGUUUUGGGAUGUAAUAAUAUAAUAUGUUAAGACACCUAAGAAUUUUUAAAUUCAAUGAUUUAAAGAUGAAGUUGAGUGGAAUACAAUGCUUGGCCACUUCAUUAUAACUAGCAGUCACAAUUUUCUUUUCACUUGCAAUGGACAAUGACAAAUAAUACAAUUUGCAGAGUACUAUGGAUGACAGAAUGAAUUAUCAUGGAAACACAAAUAGACAGAUACAUUUUACCAGUAUUUGAUAGAAACCAUAUCUCGGGUGUAAUCGGGAAUACAUAUACAUCAAAUCGAAGGUAGGAAGUAAGCCAGCACGCUGUAUCACAAUUAGAAUACAUAAAUCAUCAAUAGUGGAUAAAGUAAACAGUUCGGAUAAAAGUGCAUAUCUACUAGAAGCUUUCUAGAUUUCAGGUUUCGCCUAGGUUGCAUACUUAGUAUAGGGUAAUUAAGUUUUUGGUUACCUCUAAAAUGGGUGAUGGAGAAUUCAAUGAUGAAUGGAGCAAGGGUAGAUCAUCUUCAUCCAAGCAUGUCACUUGUCCUUCCGGAAAAUUUGACCCAUAUCUCCCGGCUCUCCCUGCAAGUAGAAACGCAUUUAUUGCAACCAAGAAUAAUAUAUGAUCCAAAUAGACAGGACAUUAGCCCAAGGUUCAACAUUUCCACAUAUUAAUAAAAUAUAAAAAUAUCGAUUAGAACAGUAAAUCAUGGAUAUUUGAGAUAAGUUUUUUGUUCCCAAGUGGAUUCCUAAUCAGUUACUUAAAUAAACAUAAGGGGUUAAAUCACUUGGUAUCUCAAAAAUAAUUUUAAAAAAUCAACAUUAAUAAAGAUAUUCCUGUGUCUGAAGGAAAAACGAUAGCUUGAGUAGAGAUAAAGAGAGAUUUUAAGGGGGGCAUGUUAAAUCCACAAAAACUGGGAACAUUAACAAAAUUGACAGAAGUUUAAAUUCUGUAAAAUAAUGUAGCACUGAUUUUGCCAAAAAAUAUCCUUUGAUGUAACCCAGAAUCUUGACAUAUCUGAACUGUAUCCUAGUAGAUUUUUUGUCAAAAAAAUUAAUUUAUUAUAUACAUAAUGUUUAAGGCAAGUACCUACCCCAAAUUUUCCAGCAAAUUCAGCAUCCAACAAUGACAAUAUAUAAAUAAAAAGGAUGCUUUGACGUCUACUUAUCCAAACUAUCAAAUUCAAUACAUUGGAACAGCUGCAUAAAUCAUGACAAGAUAAAAUAAGAAAAAAUUAUCCAAAGCUAAUGCUCAAUAUUACACCGCUUGAAAUCUGAUGUAAGAUUUAUAGACUCUCCAGAAAAAAAAGUAAUACCGUUUUAUUGACAAAAAGUUAAAAACAACACAAAAACCUCAGUUUCAAUAUAUUCCAGAUACAAUCCUUUAAUCAAAUUCCAGAACAAGGUUCAAUUCAAUUAUAAGAAUUUCAUGCUACCUGCAAUCUGUUUGAUCUCAGGUACAGUUAGAUCCCGCACCUCAAAUCCGUCAAACUUCUUUGUACUGGAAAAUAUGAUUCUAGAGAUGUUUAGAUUAAGACCCAUUCCAAUGGCAUCACUGGCCACAAGAACAUCAAACUCACUACUUGCAUCAUUGAACAUGCUUGCCUGCAGUCCUAACAAAACUUUAAACUAAUCAAAUUCUCAGCAUGGAGGGGGACAAUGAGAUAGAAAUUGGAAACAUUUAUCAACAUAUGCCAAUAAAAAUAGCAGUAAACUAAAGGAAAACUAAAAACUAUGGACAAAAAACGAGAAGGAAUUUCCAAACAGAGCAAUGAAAUAACAUGGAAACUGCAUAAAAAGGUUAUGAUCAGCAGGAGCAUUUCUGCCAAUGAAUGAGAAAAGACAAAAAUCACAAAAGAACAAAAUAAAUGGCAGAAUGUGUGUAUGGGCGACGAAUGUUAAAUUCUAAAUAUUACAUUACCGUGAAACAAUUGUAAUUAAAAAGGAAAACUAAAAAUUACUUAGACAAAGGUUUGAGCUCACACCUGUCUUGUUCGUGUCUCUGGUGGUAGUGAGCCAUACACUACUGAACAAAGAUGAUUUCCUUCUUUCUCAAUUCUUUUCUGAGCAAUGAUAUUAACUCUUACUACUAGUUAGUUUGCAGUACAGAUACUAUAAAAAAACAUAAAUUGAAUUUGCAUAAUUCAUUAUCAGCUUACAUUAUGUUUGAUAAAAAAUCAUUACGAGUGUCAUUCUCUUCUUAUGCUAAUCAAGAUGAAGGGGUAUGUGUGUGUGUGGGUGGGGAGGCAGGUGUUGGGGAGCGGGAGGAUUGGAGCUGGGGGUGGAAUGUAAAGAGUAAAAGAGAAUUUAAUUGACUAAACCCUAACUUAGCUAACACUAACAUUGUAUCUACCCCAUUCCUAUAUAAUGUCAAUGAAAAUAGCACUAUGAACAUGGUUAAAAUGAUAGGAUACAAGUAAAGAGUCUGUGUAGGAGCUAAUAGAGGGCGGAAACAACUGCAAUUGGAUAGCUUGUAAUGAAAAACAAAAGGGAACAAUAACAGUGAAAAUGGAGGGCCAGGAAUUUUUGGGUAUAAAAUAUUUUGUUUAAAUACGAAAGCAUUCAAGUUAAAUUCAAGAAAAGUUAACACAUGUAAAAGCUCACCUUCAAACUGUAAAUCUCCUUACGUGAAAAGGCUACAAUGCAAUCACCGUUUCUUAUAUUAGAGAAAGACCCAAGAGGAACAUUCAGUGGGAUUAAAGGUGACAGUCUCUCAUAAAAUUGAACCUGCAGCACCCAUGAAGAAAACUUUGAGAAAAUUUAAAGAACAUUUUGAUGGAAACAAAAUGAAUAAGCAGAGGACCUUGACAACAGUUGUUAUUUACCACAACGGAAAAUUCGUGAGUGUAAAAUUAUGGUCUAAUGUAUAUGCACCCAUCCCAUCCCCGACAAAAAAAAAAAAGAAAAACUAAUGUUCGGAGAGUAUCAGUACCUCAACUUCAUCACCAGUAAUUUUCAAUAUUUCCUGAAUAAGGGGAACAGCAGCAGGAUCACCACAAAGGUGAAGUUCAUCAGCAGCAAUUCCUAAUAAAGCACGUGUAAAUGAAUAUCCCCUUGUAGUACAACCUAUCAUCUGGAUCCAUAAAGAGACAUAAGGUUAGACGGGAAAAAAAAUCACAAUGACAAGCAUACCGAGAUAUAGAAUAACAACUAUCAAGAUUAUGAUAAGACCGUAACCUUCUAUCCCUUUCUCAAUGUGAAUUUCAUUUAUGUCGGUUCACAUAAAACCAAAUAAUUAUUCUAGGAAAUACUUUAUAUAUAAUACAAAAAAAGGAAUCACCAAAUGGAAAUUUUACUUGCCUGAAUUUCAUCAAUAACAGCGCAUUGAUAAUCAGCUGAUACAUCAGCCAUUUCAACUGUAACAGCUUUAUGAUUUGCACCAUCAACCUCCUCUCUUUCCUGACCUGUUAUGAGAUCGCAAGGAACUUGUACCUUGUUCAAUCGUUUUGCAAUCUCCCAUGCCAACAAUCUUAAAGGACCACAAUAUAUGCCUGCAAGGUACAAAAAUACAUAAUCUCCCUGCUAAGUUUUCAUCCUCACGCAUUAUUGUUUACCUUUACCAUUGAAAAGAAGGAUAACUUACCAGAAGCACUUGACUCAAGCUGCUUCAGAGCAUGAUAUGUUUUACCGCUAUUUGUUGGACCAACAUGAAGGAUAACCCUACGAUGUUUUUCCCGGGCCUUUGGAUACCAUGAAUGAGGGCAGCUAAAACGACCAGUAAUUAAGCAUCAGCAUUCAGAAACAUGUAACUAAACUUGCAUAGUCAUAACCACUGUCGUAGAGAUUUAUAAUCAGAUAAAAGUUUGUUUAACAGAGUAAACAAACAACAUAUGGAGCAUGUUGAUACUUACGUCAAGUCAGUAAAAUCAUUUCUGAUGGAACCACUAGAGCUGCUAUAUGAAUGCACCAUGUUUGCAGCAGCACCUAAACUUUGAAACCUGAACUGAAAGUAUAGACGAAAAUGCUCCUUAUUACCUGAAUAGGUGAUGAGAUAUCAUCAACACCAUACAAACAUCCAAAGUCAGUCUAUAUUGGAAUUCAAACGUAGAAAAACAUAAGGGCAUGUUAAAUUUAGAGUUUUGAUAGUUCCAAGAUAAAGGGAAGAAAAAUCAGGAAAAUAACAGCCGAAAUUAAUUAAAUUAGUCCUGGUGGAGGUAGCUAACCGAACAGAGAGCAAGCAAAUAGGUUCCGAUUGUGACGAAGAAGAAAGGAAGCCAUUGUUGGGAAGAGAGUGUGAAUACGAAAUUGGAUAGAAAAAGGGUCAAAUUGAAUGAAAAUUGAAGAAGGAAAAAAGGUACGGCGGUGGAUGGAUCCAAGUCGUUCCUCCCUUUGACCACACAACCUGCGAACCUCACUCUCCGCCGCUUCCACCCCCAAACACCACUUUCAUAAAUUAAAAAAUAAAAAUAAUAAUAAUAAUAAAAAAUUACUGUUCUACUCUUCAAUAUACUAUGACAUAUAUAAACUUUUUAUAUUUAUUAAAUAUUUUUUUCUUUAUUUUUUAUUUUAUUUUGAUAAUAUGUGACAAAUAAAUAAAUAUAAAUGUGUGUUACCUGUGUUAUUAUAAAAAAAUUUAGAUCAUUCUUGAAAUAUCAAAUACUUCAUCUAUCAUUCUUAUUAUAGCAAGAAUUUCAUCCACACCAUAAUUAUCAUAUUUUAUACUCCACUGUUUUAAGAACAUGUUCUCACUCCCAAGUUGAGCUUAAAAUAAAAUUUAAAAAAUUGAAUAACAAUCAAACUUAAAUAUAUCUGUAUGUAUAUCUUUUUUAACAUGUUAUCCAUCUUCUUUACUUUUAUUGAAUUCCUAAUUUUCAUCUUAGACCUGACAUUGACAAAAAAAAUAUCCUGCAAAUAUAUAAAAAAAAAAAACACAGAGAUUAGUUUUAUUUUAUUUGUUAUUUUUAUAUAAUAAGAUUUAUGAUUAUUACUAGUAGUGUUUAUAAAAUGAGACAAUUUUUUUCUUUAAUAUAAAAUUUAAGAGAGCUAAAUAAAAUGUAUUACAUAUAUUUUUUUUUAAAUGUCAAAUAUUGAUAAUGUAUCAUAGACAUGGUUGGAAAUGGCCAAUUUGUCAUCGGUUCCAAAUAUGAAGCGUCGUUAUUAAAAAAAAAAAAAAACUUUAUCAUUUUAAAAAAUAAAUCAAUUGAAAUAAUGUGUAAUUUUAAGACUUUGUUACUUUUAAAAAGAAAAAGUUAAAAAUUAAUUGAAUUGACUGUGACAACUUCAAAUACUAAAAUGAAUUUAGUAAUUAAAACUGGUUGCGAGAACAAUAUUGGAUUUUGGAUUGUGUUUUAGUCUUCUUAAUUAUACUUCGUGUGACUUGAAUUUUUAGUUUAUUUUUUCUUUAGUUAUUUUAAUCUUAUUAUCAUUUAAAUAAAAUUCUUUGUCUGAAAAUUUAAUCUAACAAUUAAUAUAAAUAUGCAGUUAAACUGUAAUUAAAGUUGUGAAAAAAAUAUAUAAAAACCCAAAAUUACACAUGAAUUAAAAGUAUAAUUAAAUAUAAUAACAAGGGCUAGUGUAAUAGAAUGAUUAAUGCUGUGGUAGUGUGCCACACAGCCCAGCCCAAAUACUAUUGGGCAAGCUUAUUUUGGAUUUUUCAAGAAAAUAAAAAGCCCAAACACUAUUUUAAAUUGAAAUCAUAUUUAUGAAAUUGUAUUCAGUAUUUUUAAUUUCAUCUUUUUUGUAAUCAUUAUCGAAUAUAUAAUAUUUAAAUAUUUAAACACUGUAGCGACAACUGCAACAAGACAUCAAUGAAAAAGAUGAAUGAAUGUAGACGGCUUUUUGGGGAGACAGCUUUUCUAAAAGUCUUCUAAUCAAACAGCAAUUGGAUCAUUAUAGCAACACGAAUAAUUUAAUCAUUCUUUAUUAAAUUCCUUAAUAAAUAAAUAAAUAAAUAGUCAAAUUAAUAUUCUUUACCAAAAUAUAUGUGCAGAUACUCUUUAUUAAAUAUUUAUUAAUUAAAAAAAAUGAAAAACAAAAAAUGGGCCAUGUGAAUAUAGUGUUUGGGCCGCAUUGGGCUUCUGUUUUUGACUCUGUUUCCUCUUGCACACGUGCGAACUAAUAGGCUUGAGAUGUUGCUUUGGCUAACCACUUGCGUGGGUUCUGGUUCGGUGUGAUGUAAGAAUGUAUGAGAAAGUGGGACCCAUAUCUUAUGGUCAAACAAAGCCGACUCCCCUUUCGCAAUGGCACACGUCACCCUCGCUUCUCUGCGAUUCUUCUCACUCUCUCUAUAUAACUAAACCUCCGCCACCGUCCUCCUCCACUUCGCUUCCAAAACCACUCAAAUUCAACCCUCGCACCCUCCGCACAUGGCUGCUCCCGCCAAUUCCCACCAAUCAAAUCCUCUCAUCACUCCCUACAAGAUGGGAACUUUCAAUCUCUCUCAUAGGUANNNNNNNNNNNNNNNNNNNNNNNNNNNNNNNNNNNNNNNNNNNNNNNNNNNNNNNNNNNNNNNNNNNNNNNNNNNNNNNNNNNNNNNNNNNNNNNNNNNNNNNNNNNNNNNNNNNNNNNNNNNNNNNNNNNNNNNNNNNNNNNNNNNNNNNNNNNNNNNNNNNNNNNNNNNNNNNNNNNNNNNNNNNNNNNNNNNNNNNNNNNNNNNNNNNNNNNNNNNNNNNNNNNNNNNNNNNNNNNNNNNNNNNNNNNNNNNNNNNNNNNNNNNNNNNNNNNNNNNNNNNNNNNNNNNNNNNNNNNNNNNNNNNNNNNNNNNNNNNNNNNNNNNNNNNNNNNNNNNNNNNNNNNNNNNNNNNNNNNNNNNNNNNNNNNNNNNNNNNNNNNNNNNNNNNNNNNNNNNNNNNNNNNNNNNNNNNNNNNNNNNNNNNNNNNNNNNNNNNNNNNNNNNNNNNNNNNNNNNNNNNNNNNNNNNNNNNNNNNNNNNNNNNNNNNNNNNNNNNNNNNNNNNNNNNNNNNNNNNNNNNNNNNNNNNNNNNNNNNNNNNNNNNNNNNNNNNNNNNNNNNNNNNNNNNNNNNNNNNNNNNNNNNNNNNNNNNNNNNNNNNNNNNNNNNNNNNNNNNNNNNNNNNNNNNNNNNNNNNNNNNNNNNNNNNNNNNNNNNNNNNNNNNNNNNNNNNNNNNNNNNNNNNNNNNNNNNNNNNNNNNNNNNNNNNNNNNNNNNNNNNNNNNNNNNNNNNNNNNNNNNNNNNNNNNNNNNNNNNNNNNNNNNNNNNNNNNNNNNNNNNNNNNNNNNNNNNNNNNNNNNNNNNNNNNNNNNNNNNNNNNNNNNNNNNNNNNNNNNNNNNNNNNNNNNNNNNNNNNNNNNNNNNNNNNNNNNNNNNNNNNNNNNNNNNNNNNNNNNNNNNNNNNNNNNNNNNNNNNNNNNNNNNNNNNNNNNNNNNNNNNNNNNNNNNNNNNNNNNNNNNNNNNNNNNNNNNNNNNNNNNNNNNNNNNNNNNNNNNNNNNNNNNNNNNNNNNNNNNNNNNNNNNNNNNNNNNNNNNNNNNNNNNNNNNNNNNNNNNNNNNNNNNNNNNNNNNNNNNNNNNNNNNNNNNNNNNNNNNNNNNNNNNNNNNNNNNNNNNNNNNNNNNNNNNNNNNNNNNNNNNNNNNNNNNNNNNNNNNNNNNNNNNNNNNNNNNCCGACAGCCUGGUACCUAUGAGAAAGGCCUUCAAUGGUACUUUUAUAGCUGCUGGAGGUUAUGAACGGGAAGAUGGAAUGAAAGCCAUUGCUGAAAACAGAGCUGAUCUUGUUGCUUUUGGUCGUUGGUUCUUGGCUAAUCCAGAUUUGCCAAAGAGAUUUGCUCUCGAUGCUCCUCUCAACAAGUAUCACAGGGAAACAUUCUACACCAGUGAUCCGGUUCUCGGAUACAGUGACUACCCUUUUCUUGACGAGGACUCCAACGGUGUAGCAUCCUAGUAUUUGUAAUACUAAGCUUUAUACGAGGUAACAUUAUGUGAUCCUUGUGGACAAAUAAAAUAUAAAUUCUGUAACUGAAACAAUAUCCCUUCGGUUGCUAUUUGUAGCAUUUCUUAUUAAUGCAGUAACUAAAAGAAAUUCUGUUUUUGUAUUUACAUGUUUUCUUAUCUAAUAAUUGUAAGCAAACAAAAUAUUUGUUCCUAUGUGCAUUACACUAAUUAGACAGAAAUAAGAAGUGAAACAUGAAAAGCAAGAAAGAGGAAAAAUACAAAAAUCAAACACAUUCUGCAAUUUACUUUUUGAACUUGAGUGGUGUUGUUCAAUUUUAUUUACGCUUAUUUACUGUAAUUAAAAACGUUCUUUUCACGUUACUUACUUAUUUUAAAUUUGAAUAAUAAAAUCACAUUGUCUUAAACUUUAUCUAUCAUUUCGAUUUCUCCAACAAAAUUCGGGUGUUAUCAGUGGGACGGGACAGAAAUAACUAACUUAUGGAUAACUAUACUAUAUUGUAUUAAAAAGGUUCAUUAUAUUAUUUUAUGAUCAAGUUUUUAAAAAUUAAACUUGUAAAAAUUGUAUUUAUUUAUUUUUUUUUUCUAAUUUUUGUUUAACUGUUUCGUCUUGCCAUAAAAACAUUAUUUAAUAAUAAAAUAUUAAUAAAAAACCGUUCACAUAAAAAAAUUAAUAAUUAAUUUUUUAAAACAAAACUUUUUAUUACAAAUUUUUAUAUUUUUUAUCAAUAAACAUAUAUUAUUUUUUAAAUAAUAUUAUUUUAAGUAAUAAAAGUAAAAUAUUUUUUAAAUUUAAUAUUAUUAAAUGAUCAAGUAAUAGAAAUCAUAAAAGAAAAAAAACUAUAUAAAAAAAAUAAUACUUUAAAUAUAUUAUAUUCUUUAACAUAUUAUUAAAUGUGUAAAAAUAUGUUAAAAAAUACUUUUAAUGAUAUUAAAAUGUGUGUAAGUGUAAAACCUGAGAAAUACAGAUAGUGGGAAGUGACACAUGGCUGUGAGUGAGAGGUGGGAACCAUCUAAGACCAAACGUAUGUCAUGGGAAGAAAUCAAAAAUUUCUUAGUUCCUUUCUCCUAACUUGAAACCAGCAUUUUCUCUCCAAGCCUCUCUUCUCCUUCUUGCAUUCUCUUCCCAAAUUCUGUAAAUUUAACCACUUAAUUUCCUCACUGCAGCUGCCUAAAGCAAUAGGACACCAAGAAUUCCUUUUGCACCGAUCAAUCUCUGCUUUCGAAAAAGGGAUAAGUCGCUCUCUCCAUUUUUCCUCAUUCUUGAGUCUUAUAACAUGCAAUCUAAAGGUUGCAUGCGUUUUUGGAUUCUUCCUUUUCAAAUUUCUUUCCAAAUUUGACUUUGAAAACUGUCUUGAUCACUAAUUUCGUGAUCUAUAGGGUUGGGAUAAAAUCUAAAUUUUGUAAGGAAGCGUAGAAGAAAUUUUGAACAGUGUUGUACUAAAUUCCCAGGUAAGGGAAGCUAGAUUCUAAGUUCUUGAUUGGAAAAUAAUGACAUCAUUGUUUGAUUUUUUUUUUAGAACUAUUAUAUUUUUGAUGCAUGUAUGAAUAGAUUGAAGAAUUACUUUACUGUUGAACUGAAUGAAAAGUGCAUGUGUGAUAUAGAUGAUUAUGGUCUGUGUUUGGUAUGAACUAAUAGGUGAUUAAUUUUGAAUUGUAUGACUAUGUGUGUAAUGGGAAUUUUAUGGUUUAAGGGUGAGUAUUCAGUUUCUGUAGGUUGUAAGCAAAUGGCUAAGUUAACUUCAACAUCAAAGUCAAUUUAGGGAACUUGGGUAGUGAUUUCGUGAAUUUGGGGCUAGGAGUGGUUUUAGGCCAUCUAGAUCACUUAGAUGAAUCAUUUUUGACUUGUUAAGAACCUUAAACCAGCCAAAAACAGAUUACAAGUGGUAGAUUUGAGUUUGAGCUCUUAAGUAAUAGAAAGUGAGUUGUUUGAUUCAAAUUCUCUGCAUAAUUGUUAGAGAUUAGUGUUAGGACGAGAAUUGGACCUUUAGGCAAGUUAGAUUCAACCUAUACUUCGAAUUAGCAUCAUUAGAAUUCCAUCAAAGUGCCUAGAACAAGUUUGGAGUGGUGGAGUUCUGCAAAACUGCAGAAUUGGGAAUCUACAGAAGUGCAGAUUCACUGAGCGAGGGUUUUCGCACAGCGAGAACCCAAAAUUAAUUGGGUUUUCAGCAGAAAUUCGCACAGCGCAUCAAGAAGUGUGCGCUCAGCGAAUUUUCUGCGACAGAAUGAGUAUUUUUUAUGUUUUUGACGUUUUAGGAGUUUCGGACGUCCAUUUUGGACGUUCUGGGGGGUUUUUGACCCUUCCGGAGCCAUUGGUGAGGGUUUCCAAGUUAUUUGAAUUACUUAAGUAUUGGUAAUUAAAGAUUAUAAAGAUAUUUGUAUUAAUAAGUGAUGUUUUUCUGAAAAUAUGUAAUUCUUGUUUUCUCUUCCUUUCUUGUGUGAUGAUCUAGGUAUCUUUUCUUGUUUAUUUUGUAUGAAUUCUUCUAGUAUUAUGAGAUUGAUUCAUGCUUAAUUCUGUAAGAAACUAAACUAAUAUAAAACAUUCAUGGUAUGAGAUCAAAAGUAUGAAAGUAAGUAAAGUUAGUGUGAAAUGUAAUGUGAUUUAAGUACAUCUUUAGGUGAGAUCAAAUUAAGUUCUGGAAUGAAUAUAGAUAGCUCAGCCUUGGGGGUUUUCCUUAAUACUCUAAUGACUAUUCAAUCUCACUUAGGUUGUGUUCUCUUGGUAGGAUUUGGAGGAGAUGAUUUGAAUGGAUUUGAGUGGAUUUGAGGGUAAUUUUUUUUGUUGUUUUUUUGAGUGGAUUUGUAGGUAAUUGAGAGUGGAUUUGAAGGUAAAAUUUGUGAGAAUUAGUGUAGAAUUUGAUUGAUGUGACAGAUUUAAACAAUUUGUUUAAUGAAUAGAAAUUGAAUAUUACCAAAAUACCCCUAGUUAUUAAAAUAAUACAAAAUAAUAAUUGUUAAUGUUAUAUUUAAUUGUAAAAAUGUUUACAGUGAGAAAAAAUGGUAAUUUAAUAAAUUGAAUAUAAAAAAUACUUUAAAGUUUAUAAAUAUAAUUUUAAAGAAAAUUAAUAAAAUACUUUUUCAUAAAAAUAAUUUUAAAUAACAGAAUAAAAAAUUAAUAAAAUAAUUAAAAGAACAUUUUUUUAGAAAAUUAUCAUUUUUUCUUUAAAUACUAUUUUUGCUUAAAUAUUAUUUUUUAAAAAUAUAAUUUAACCGUGGUAUAGUUAUUAUUAUUUAUUAAUAAUUAAAGCAUAUUAGUUAUGCUUUUGGAUUACAGGAUUAAGUUUUCAAAUGAAAUAAAAUAUUUUUAAUUUGAAAUUGAUUAUAGUAUGAUGAAAUUAUGAAAUUAUAGGAGGGUAAAAAGGAUAUUUCGUGUGAAAUACCUUCAAAUCCGAGCACAUAAGUGAUGAUAAGAAAAAUGAUGUAUCCCGCAAAUCAGCUGUAUAUUUUACUUCCAAAUCUUCAAAAACGAACAUGAUUUAAUCCUCCAUCCGUCUGUGCAAUUCUCCGUUAACAGUGAAAUCAACCCAAAAGAACAUAGGCUUAGAGAAGAUUAGUUCAUGUGGUGAGAGUAGUAGGAGGUCCUAGUCUUGGUUGUCUCCAUUUUAUAUGGGUCAAGGUGAGUGAUAACGGACUAACCUUGUGGUGGUAGGGUGGAACCCAUAGCAAUUGGCUUUGCAAAGCAGUAGAGGCCACCACAAGUGCAUAACUCGCCAUAGCUCGAUAUUCAUUCCGGAUCCGGAUGAGUCUAAAUCUAACACCACUUAACAAAACUAUAACGUAUAACUUAAUAAAACUGUUAUUCUAUGAUUGCAUUGCUUGUAUGUUUCGUUUACUUUGGUUAGUUUUAAUUGACUUGUAUUCUUUUUGAAAUCUAGCUUACCCUUGCAUUGUUUGCUGUUUGUGUAUGUCUGUGUUUGAUUUACUUUGCAAUGAUCGUCCAAAUUGGAUGUGAGCAGAGGUAGGAGAGGCCCCUUUGGAGCAGGUAUUAGACGGAAUUGAUGCUGCUGAUGCUCCAGACACUGCAGAGUAGUUUAGACUAGAUAGAAUUAACUAUAUGUAUAUGACUUAGUAUCUUUCCUUUUCUUCCUUUUUGAAAGACUCUAUAACGAUAUGUAGAGCUUUUAAUUCCUUUUAUAUUUUGAAUGAUUGUAUCUUAUAAUACUUCAUCAUACUUCUACUCUUAACUGCUUUACUUUAUUAUGUAUGUUGCAUUCCACAUGAUAUAUAUAUAUAUAUAUAUAUAUAUAUAUAUAUAUAUAUAUAUAUAUAUAUAUAUAUAUAUAUAUAUAUUUGGGAUGUUACAGUAAGCAUACACACUAAAAUAACUAUUUAUUUUAAAAACCAACGUACUUUAAAGUAAAUAUCAAUAUUAUUAUUUUUAAAUGAUAGUAUUUUAUAGACUAAAACUAAAAUAUAUAUUUUAAUGUUAAAUUUUAUCAAAUGACUAUAUAAUGAAAUAUCAUAAAAUAUAAUAAUAUAGCAAAAAUAAUUAAUAUUAUAGAAAUAUCAAAUGAAAAAAAAAUUAACAAAUGUUUAUAGUAUUAUCUUUUAUUAUAUUAUAAUAAUUAACGAAUAUUAGUUUAAUAUUUACAUAAUAAAUAUAAAUAAUAAAUAAUUGAUUAAUAAAUUAUAAGACAAUAAAACAAAUAUAAAUAAAAAAUUAUUUUAAAAUAAAAUAAGUAAUAAAAAGAUAAAAUAAAUUAUAUAUACAUAUAAAAGAAAUAUAAAUAAAAGAUUAAAAAAAUAAGAAUAAAGUAAAAUAUUCAUGACAAAAUAAAUAUAAAUAAAAAAAUAAAAAAUAAAAUAAAAUAAAAUAAAUAAAAGUAAAAUAAUUUCCAUAUACAUAAUAAAAGAAACAUAAAUAAAAUAGAAAAUAAUAAUAUCAAAUAAUUAAAAAAUUAAUUUUUAAAAUACUUAUAAAUAAAAUAAAAUAAAUAAAUUCUAAUUAAAAAAAAAUAUAUUAUUAUAAUAUUCAGUUUAAAAAGUGAUAUAAUUCAGUUUAAAAUUAAUACAAUUUAAUUUAAAAUUAAUAUAAUUAAUAGUUUUUUUUAAUUUAUAUUAUAGUUUAAUAGUUCAAUUUAGUCUAGAUUAAUAAAUAAUUCAAAAGUCAGUUUGUCUAAACUCAGACAAAUUAAUUUUUUUAUCUAGUACAAAAGUAGGGUGGUGUACUUCAAUUCUAUUUGCCAAUACAUAGUUACGACGCAAUGGGACACGUCAGCCUAGCUUAUCUGCAAUUCUUCUCAUCUCUGUAUAACUACACACCCGCCACUAUCCUACGCCACUACCCUCCUCCACUUCAACCCUCACACCCUCCGCACAUGGCUGCUCCCGCCAAUUCCCACCAAUCAAAUCCUCUCAUCACUCCCUACAAGAUGGGAACUUUCAAUCUCUCUCAUAGGUAUUCACUCUCUCAAUCACCUUCUUCCGUUUCAUUUUCCGAUCAACUCCUUUAAUUUUCUCCUUUUUUUUUUUUUUUUUUUCAGGGUUGUCUUGGCACCGCUGACCAGACAGAGGUCCUACAACAACGUUCCACAACCGCACGCCGUCCUUUAUUAUUCUCAGAGAGCCUCCAGUGGAGGCCUUCUCAUUGCCGAAGCCACCGUAGUUUCCGAUACCGCUCAAGGGUAUUAUUCUUAUUCUCAUUCUUUCUCAUCUGCAUCUUCAUACCCAAAUGCAGACCCACACCCCUUUUCAUUCCAUAACACAUCUCAUUCCUAAAGGUAUCCCGACACGCCAGGCAUAUGGACGAAGGAGCAAGUGGAAGCAUGGAAACCUAUUGUCGAUGCUGUUCAUGCGAAAGGCGCUGUCUUCUUUUGUCAGAUUUGGCAUGUGGGAAGAGUUUCAAAUUCAGGUCUUUUAUCCUUCUCCUUCAUACUCAAUUCAAUUCUAAUUUCAAGUUCUAAUACUUUUGUAUAGUUGGAUUAUAGUUGAGCAAGAACUCUCUGCAUUUUUGUACAGAUUAUCAGCCAAAUGGACAAGCACCCGUAUCAUCUACGGACAAGCCACUCACACCACAAAUUCGAAGCAACGGCAUUGAUAAAGUGCAUUACACGACACCACGGCGCCUGAGGACCGAUGAAAUUCCUCANAUUGUGAACGAUUUCAGACUUGCUGCAAGGAAUGCCAUCGAAGCUGGUAAUUAAUAAUUAAUGUCCUUCACAUUUGAAAACAUUAUGUAUGAUUGUUUGAGAAGCUAACUAGAGUGAGGUGUGUGUGGUUGUGGAAAUUGUAGGUUUUGAUGGGGUUGAGAUCCACGGGGCACAUGGCUACAUACUGGAGCAAUUUAUGAAAGACCAGGUGAAUGACAGAACAGAUGAAUACGGUGGAUCCCUCGAGAACAGGUGUCGAUUUCCUUUGGAGGUUGUCGAAGCUGUUGUUAAUGAGAUNGGGUCGNAUAGAGUUGGAAUUAGGCUAUCACCUUUUGCANAGUAUGCAGAAUGUGNGGACUCAAAUCCCAAACAGCUGGGGCUUUACAUGGUUAANGCCCUGAAUAAGUAUGGUAUUCUGUACUGUCACAUGGUGGAACCGAGAAUGAAAACUGUUGCACAGAAAAUCGAAUGCCCCGACAGCCUGGUACCUAUGAGAAAGGCCUUCAAUGGUACUUUUAUAGCUGCUGGAGGUUAUGAACGGGAAGAUGGAAUGAAAGCCAUUGCUGAAGACAGAGCUGAUCUUGUUGCUUUUGGUCGCUGGUUUUUGGCUAAUCCAGAUUUGCCAAAGAGAUUUGCUCUCGAUGCUCCUCUCAACAAGUAUCACAGGGAAACAUUCUACACCAGUGAUCCCGUUCUUGGUUACACUGACUACCCUUUUCUUGAUGAGGACUCCAACGGUGUAGCAUCCUAGUAUUUGUAAUACUAAGCUUUGUACGACAUAACAUUAUGUGAUCCUUGUAAACAAAUAAAAUAUAAAUUCUGUAACUGAAAUAGUAACUAAAAGAAAUUCUGUUUUUUGUAUUUACAUGUUUUCGUAUUUAAUAAUUGUAAGCAAACAAAAUAUACUAAACUGUACCAAUCAUAAUUUAAACUCAAUUACGCUUGGAAAGAUACCAAAACACAAUAUAUGGCAAAAGAAGUGCAUAUCCGUACCUUAAAAAUGCCAACAACAAAGAAAAAGAAGUUCCAUGAGAGAAUUGAACUUUGAUGCAUUAAAUGCUUUAAGUGCAAUGAAGAUAAAUAUUGCAACAAAAUGUUGUUCGUGUUUUAAAUGCUACAUCAAAUUACUGACAGUAAUACUCAUUAAACUUCUUAAUGUAAAUUAAGAUAUAAUAACCCAUAACAAAUGUUCCAGUCUUCAUCCGUAGUCUGACCAAAAGACCCCAAAACAGAAUUAAUUUUUCUUUUACAAAAAUGUGAACAAGGCUUACAAACAUCAACUUUACUUUUUCAUCUGUAGCAUGGUAGAAUAUAUAUGUAUUUUUUUUAAAAUAACUCUUAGAACAAGCUGGGAAGUGAAUAACAGAAGUAUGUUUGACUCAAAAUGUGCAAUAAAAACACCUGUACUUUAAAAUUUUUAGUUUUAGUAAUAGCAGAAGAAGAGAAAAGAGAGAGAGAGAGAGAGAGAAAGACUAAAAGUCAAUCCAUCUAAUAAGAACGAGCUCUAGGAAGUGAAGAUUCUUGGUGUAAGUCAAAUGAAAUCUGUAUCAUUGUUGAUAGUUUAAUGUUUUCUUUAAUGAUGUUUUUAAUAUAAGAUGAACGAGUGCGCUAUUUUAUGUUGUUUAUUAUACCUAACUUUCAGGCAACGGUGUCGUAGAGCCUUAGGCGACUCCAGUGAAUUAAUGCAAUUUUGAAGUUAUAGAUAUAAGAGUGCUUCUCCCUCCACUUCACUCCCUUCUCCCUGCACCUCCCAAAUUACCAUUUCGUCCCUAAUUUAAUUUAGUCAAAGUUCAUUUAAUAAUUACUUAAUUAUCUUUGUUUCCUAACAACUAUUCUUAACUACCAACAACUCAACUCUGAUUAUAAACCCUAAUACCACUUAACAUGCACCUCCCUCACUUCCUUCGUGUGUACUGUUACUGUUCAUUGUGUCUGAAGCGGAGAGACUCUAAAUAUUGGUUUGGUGAUCGGUGGUGUUGAUCCGUGCUAGUAGUGGUGAUCAGUGCUGGUGGAUAUUUGGUGGUGGUGCUGCAGUAGAAGAUAAAGCGCGAGGAAGAAGACAAACAAAGGUUAGUUUCAGAACCAAACCAAAUAACCGCACUUCGAUCAGCGAUUAAGGCUUGCCGCCUUUCGAAAUGCGACUGCUACCAACCGCAAUGUGAGUUGCGGCUACUGUGAACCACAGUUUGAGUUGCGGCACUUGCCAACAGCAUUCUGAGUUGCGGCUUGUGCCAACCGCUCUAUGAGUUGCGGCUUGUAUCAAAUUUACGCAUAAACAUAAGGGAUAAUAAUAAUUAUUUAAUUAAUAAAUAAUUUAAUAAAACUUCUAAAUUCAUAAAAAAAAUAAAAAAAUCAACUAAAAUUAUAUAUUAAUAAAUAAUAUACAAAAAUUAUUUAAGAAUUAUAUACAUAAUAAUUUUACGAAAAUAUAAUUUUGUGAUAAUAAAAAUUAACUAAAAUUAUAUACAUAAUAAAUAAUAUAAUAAAAUUAUUUACGAAUAUAUAGUUUAGAUUAAUUAAAAUUAUUUCAUUCAAUAAAUUAAUUAAUAGUUAACCUAAAAUCAUAAUUAAUCCUUAAUCUAAGUUACAUUAAUAAUAAAUAAUAUAUAAAAUUUUAUAAACUUAAAAAAAUUAACAAACAACCUAAAAAUUAAAAAAACAAAAUUUUGAAAAAAAAAAAACGCAGCAACUGCAACCGCAGUCUCAGUUGCGUUUCACACAAACGCAGAAUGCACUUCGAGCAGUGUUUUCUGUCCUGCACCCCCAAAAAACAUCAACCGCAAAUCGAACGGCGGUUUCCGUUCCACCGCCCUUUGAACUGAGGCUCUCCUUAACCGCAGUUCCACUAGUGGUUUGCACCCCAAAAACCAUCAACCGCAAAUCGAACGGCGGUUCUCGUUCCACCGCCCUUCGAACUGCGGCUCCUCUUAACCACACUUCCAAUUGCGGUUCUGUAAAUUCGCACGAGCAACACACACCACUUGCAGCGAGAUCAAGCAACACACAGAUCAAGCAAAUGAUUUUUAACCCACAACAUAAACAGAUCUGAGAUCUCAAAAGUAAUAUACUAACUUGGAGAUAGGCAACAGGGAGAUAUCAGCAGUAGGGAGGUGCGAGCAUAUGAGAGCAAGAAGAAGAAAGGGGGGUGUAGGUUUUUGUGUGAGAUGCGACAGAGUUAUAGGGACAGACUUAUGAGGAAUAAGGUUAUAGGGAUACAAUAGGAAUUAAAAUAAAAUAGAGAGAUGCAAGACGAGACCUUGAAGGUGAAGGGAGAAAGACUCUAGAUAUAAUUAAUUAGUUCCGUGAUCCAAUGCUGCAUCUAAGACUUUACCCACCGC